This 89527-nucleotide long non-coding RNA is filed under the name Lactuca sativa (garden lettuce). RNAcentral describes it as "long non-coding RNA (LSAT_LNC006675)". Lineage: Eukaryota; Viridiplantae; Streptophyta; Magnoliopsida; Asterales; Asteraceae. The record is from RNAcentral.
UGAUAUUAGAUUUAGUAGUUAGAUAACCUCAAAAUUUGUAAAGUGUAAUUGACAUUAGAUGAUGAAUAAAAGGUGUUUUAUUUAUGAGUAAAGUGUUGCUAUCUCUUGUCAAUCGUUUACUAUAUUUCUUUUGCAUGUUUUGACUUCCAGAAUAAUUUUGUUUGGUAUAACAUAUUAUUCAAACCUCCACAGUCGGUCAUAUGUCGGAAGUAGGUAUGAAUCAAGACUGUCAUGAUUGGUUGCAGAGGUCUAAGGUGUUGGACAUGGCUACAACAAUCAUGAGUGCUCAUAAGUUCUGAGCAUUGGACUCAACCCACGCUCACUGGAAUCACUUCAUGGAAUUCUAUCUCGAGUGAUCGUGAGACGGUAAUAUCAUAUAAGUCUUCAAACCUAGAGAUAUGAUUUGUUACUUACAAGUUGGUUAUGCAUUGACUGUACGAAACCGCAUUGGUAACUCGAUGUUAUAAAACGUACUUUUGUGUGUAAUUCAAUGAGUGGUAGAACAAACAUAUGAGUCGAAGUUUAUCUGUUCCUUCUUGGAUUAGAAGCUGAUAUCUGGGCCCCUCGAUGAUUUUGUUUUGACCCAUGUACCGGGCCCGGUCAGAACUAAGUUGAUGUGUUCAAUUAAGUUCUAUGUCAAACAAAUCGGAAAUCGGGAAACAAAUGCUGGACAAUAAGCAAGACAUUGUUCCAUGUAUUUGUCCGGCUGAUAUCUAGAACAGAGGAUUAUAUGAUCACUUAUCUUAAAUGGCGUAUCAUCAUCUUCUCAGUUCCGAGAGACCUUGAAAGAGCUACGAUUGCCGGUCGGUUCCUGAAGUACUAGAGAUAUAGUUAUUAGACUUAUCCAAGUGGGAGACUGUUGGAUAAGGUGUCUAAGUCCAUAACUAUUUCGGGCUUGUACUUGACCCGACCCGGCAUGGUCCAUUUGGGUUGCAUGGCACCAUGCAAUUGGAUAGACUAAAUGAGAGAAAUAACACUUGGGAAUUAUUAAUAUAUUAUAAGUUCUAAUAUAUUAAUAAUAUUAUUUAAUUAGUUUGAUCAUGAAUUACUUUAGAAUUAAUUAAUUGAUCAAAAGAUAACUAACUAAAUAUAUGGGUUGAUUAUGUAAAUCAUCCAUAACUUGUAUAGUUGGAUAAGAGGCUCCAUGGAUUAUCAAGUUGGGUUCCACCCAUAGGAUGCUCCAUGGGAGUUACAAACCCAUGGGUCAUGGAAAUGAAGACUCAUGACACAUUAGGGUUUACAUGGUGUAUCCCUAGAUGUGUCAACACUAUAUAAGAAACCCAUUCUCCACCAAAAUUGGCUACACAUAUGAAACAAGAGGGCUAGGCCGAUUUUAGAAGUGUGUAUUCUCUCUAAAGUCAUUCCAAAAGCAUUUGGUGUUGUGUGAAGCAUCUGAGGCAUCACACUUGGGGUGCUAGGCUCACAAGGUUUCAAGGAUCAUAAGCAACAAUAAGGUAAGUUAUUCUAUCUUACAUUCAAGUUAAAAAUUGUUCCCCAUGUAUGCUAGAUAUGAAUAUAACCUUGGAAUUCAACUUUGCAUGAUAAUUAGACAAACAUAGAUCCAAGGUUACUAGGGUUGCAUGUACACUUAAGAAGUGUUAGAAUGCUCAAAACCCAUCACGGAGGAUGCCAUGUACAGUAUCAUAACAAUUGCAUAAUAGUAAAACAAGCAACAACAUCCAUUGAAUUUAAAAUACAGUUAAUACAUGUUUGUUCUUAGAAUUGAUUGUAUGACACCAAAAAUGUAUAGCAAAAUAAAAUAAGAGUCUUGAACAGGCUCCGUCUUCUCAAAAACCUGGGUGAGUAUACAUGUUUACUGGUUCCCUGAGAAUACAAGUUAUUGUGAAAAAAGAGUAUCAACAUUUAAGUUGGUGAGUUCAUAAGCAUUUAGUAUUUGAAGUUUGUAUUUGUUCCAUGAAAAUGUUAGUAUGUUCCCCAGAAAAUCCAAUAUUUUCUCUAUUAAAUGAAAAGUAGUCUUAGGCCUUAAGACCAAAAUAUUUGUAUGAUUUUGUACUCUGGAAUAGUGUGAGUGUGUGUCUUCCAUAAAUAUAUGUUUUCCGUGAUACAAAAUAGUGUACUGCACCUGUAUGAACUCUAUAGUGUAAUAGUUCAGGAAAGUAACGGUAGGUAGUCCUACUACUUAAAAUAAAACCACUGGAGUAAUGUUUGUUUUGUAAACCAAAAUGUUUUAGUUAACAUUAAAUGUGAAUGAGAUUAUAACCAUGCUAAACUAACUAGUGGCUUACACAAAGUUCUUCAGGCAUCGAAAAGUUAUGACAUUUGUCACAUGUAGACCUGCCGGUCCAACUAUAGGUAACAAUCGAGGUGCGGGAUUGUCAGUCCCGUAAAGAUCUAUACACAAAUUCACGCUCUCCCUCUAGGAGACUCUGGUUAUAAAAGGACUUACCAAGAACCUUACUAAGUACCUUGAAGUAGUGUCUCACAUUCUAGUAUUAACUCGUUUACAUAUAGUGUGUAUAUGUUUUCUUGUUUUUGUAAAUGAAUAAUGUACUUGUAAUGAAAAGUAAUUGUACUUAUGUAUUGAUUCAUGUAAUGUAUUGUUGAACUAGAUAAUAGUGUGAAUGGAUCUCAAAACUAUACCUAUUAUAGUUUACAAAUGUUAUGUUUGUAUUGAAAUGAUUGAAAAUGUUAUUGAAAUAAUUUUAAUACUCAUAUAUUUACUUGGCAUGUAUAAUUAAGGUUUAACUGACAGACGGACCCGUGAUCCUACCUUAAACCCACAACCAAACAAGGAACAGGAGUCAAGCCACGAGCAAUAGUCUUAUGUAUGUUAAAUCCUAAUUAUACAUAAAGAUAUAUAUGAAUAUGACUUGAUAAAAACAACAAUUUAAGAGUUUGAAAACAGUUUAAAAUAGUUUAAUAAGUUUAUAAAAGCAUUAAUAUCUUAAAAAUGGAUUGUAAUCGCAUGUAAGUGUUAACACAACUAUUUUGUGUUUUGCUUGUAUUCUCCCCCUAAAAGCAUUUAAAAAUGGUAAAACAUAAGGGUAUGAACUCACCUAAUGUGAGUGUUCGAGUGAAGAUACGGUGUAAUAUAGUUAAUUCCACAAGUUAAAUCUCGUAACAAAAUCAAGACCUAAUAGCAUUUCACGCAAUAUAUAUGUAUAUAAUUAGUGAAAAUAGUGGUAAAUAUGAUAUGGUAUAGCCUAAAAAGUAAGAAUCACUUACAAUUAGGGGUAUUAGAAUGGAACUGAAAGCGUCAUAGGUGAUUUCAGUCACCUUUGGGUUUUCGGUCACUUGAUGAUUCAAGUGGUGUUCUUGGUGUUCUUGGUGAAACCAAGAGGAUCAAGGUGUUUUCGGUUGGGUUUAAGGAGAUAGAAUGAUGAUUGCUUGAUGGUAUGAAGAACACUUGAAGAACUCAAUAUGAUCCUAUGAAGAUUCAAGUGGUUUUCAGAUGAUAGUUGAGAGAGAAUGGUGGGUUUUCGGUUGUGUUCUUGAGAGGGAAAAAAGGUGUUUUUGGCUAGAAGGUGUGAUAAGGAGGUAUUGAUUUCGGUCCCCAUGUAUAUAUGGCCGAAAACAUGAUGGGACACCUGCUUUGGGAAUAGCAAAAAACUUAGAAUCUCAUGCCAAUGGAUAGGAUUUACGGGUUCUCGGUCAGGAACUCUAUCCGAGAAGGGUUUUCGGCCAAGAACAGUUUGCUGUCUGAACGGUUUAUGGUCGAGAGCUUGAUUUCACUUAUGCAAAGGUUUUCGGUCCUCGCAUUUGGAUGAUUUAUUUGUAACACUUAUUAAUAAAAAGGGGUUUAGAAGUCUGAGAUGAAUAGCAAAGUUGAGAUGUCAGAUAGCGAAUGUGUGAGUCCAGAGAGCAGGUCGAACGAAAGUGUUUGAUGGAAACCACUUCAAAGUCUCCAAUAAAUGAGAAGGUAUGUAAUUUUAUAAUCCCACUUAAUAUUUCUUCAAGUUUUUAUGAUUCUAUUUUAUCAAAUAUAGAUGAUGCUUGUGCUUACCUUCAUGAUUUGUUGAUUUCUAUGAGUAGUAUGUGGAAAACAAGGAAAGUUGAGAUUUAUGUGCAAAAAAUAGAGUUGAGGAGAAAUUUUAUAGAGUAGAAACUUUAAGUUUCAAACUGAGUAAUGUUACAUUAUAUCAUUAUUCUAUAAGGUUAGACAUUAUAUUGUUAACUAAACAGACAAAUAUUUACUGUAAUAAUGCCAAAAGACUCUAUGGAAAUCUCACAUUACUAUAUCAUUCAUCUAAUAUCUGUAAAAAAAAUAGCAUCAUAAACUUCUACCUUUUAUUCAUUUUAGAAAGGAAUUAGUUAAUGAGGUUACAUUUGAUUGUGGGAAUAAGGUUUCUCCAAUGAUCAAGUACCAAAUGAUUCUUAUGCUUAUGGUGUUGUGAAUAUUGAUGAACAUUUGGAUGUUGAUGAAUUGGUUGAUAUUAUUAAUGAAACUUUGAGUAAGGAUGAACAAAUGAAAAUUUUUAACAAAAUUGAAUCUUCAAAACAAUAUUCUCAAGAAAAUUUUUCUGAUAUCGAAGAUGAAUCUUAAAAAAUAUGUGAAUUUAAAGAAGAGGAAUGUGUUGAUUGUUCGAAUAUAUCAGUCACUAAAGUUGGUUCACUAGCUAAAAGCAAACGGAUAGUUGAUUCAAUAUCGAAGCUUAAUGUUGAUUCAUCUUUGACAGCUGAAACUAAAUUUACUCAAGUGAAAAUUAAUAUUGAAUAUAUCACAAAAAAUCAAAGUAUAUUUGAUGAUGUUUCUGGUGAUAAGGAAAUUUCAAGAGUUGUUGAAGCAAAAGUCUUUUAGUAUACAAAUGAGUAUACAAAAGUUUUGAGUUAAAAAGGGAAGAAUUUUCUAGAAAUGGAGAUACUAGGAACUCAAGUUACAAGACUUGUUGAAUGAGGAAAACAAGAAAGUUAAUUAUGGGGAUUUUACUCAAAUGAAAAUGUUGUGAAAAUGAUUUGAAUCAAAGAUCAAAAAGUUUUCAAUGUUAGAAAAGUCAAAUAUUGUAUUCCAAAGAUAACAAAAAUGACAAAAACGGUGUUUAAGUUGUGAAAGAAACUCAAUCUUCUGUUAACGACAGGUAAAAAUCCAUUGAUAAGGGUAAUCCAUGUUAAAAACAAAUUUGAUUAUGUUGCAAAUGUCAUUGACCAUAUUUUUAGCAUGAAUUUUUUUAUUGGUUGAAAAACGAUUUUGAUUCCUUUAAUCACAACAAAACUUCGACUCUUGUUUAAAAUGAUUUUUAUUUUUAUUGUCAUCUCUUCCAGAAGAGUUAAAGGAUCAAAACUCAAAGGUCCAAAAGUUACAACAAAAAGAAUAAAAAUCAACUUGAAGAAUAAUCGAAACUUUCUCAACAAAAUUCACAAAAUAAAUAGACGUGAUCUUCAAAAUCAAAAACUUUCUCAACAACAUUCACAAAAGUGUUCACACAAGAAUUACCAACAUCAUCUUCAAAACAAUUCACCAAAUAAUUUUCAAAAAGGUUCACAAACUCAUGUUCAAAAUAAAAAUAAAAAUCGUUUUAAACAAGAGUAAAAGUUUCGUUAUAAUCAAAGGUAUCAAAAUCCUUUUUCAACCAAUAAACAAAUUCAUGCUAAAAAAUGUGGUCAAAGAAGUUUCCAACAUAAUCAAAAUUGUUUUCAAAAUGGAUCACGCUUUGGAUAUCAACAUAGAUAUCAAACUCGAUUUCAACCGAAACCUUGUCAAUCUUUUUCAAAAUCAAAUCAAGAAAAACACACAACCAUGUUUUUUAAAUCCAAAAUCGACACAACCAUCUAUGGUUCCCUUUUCUAAAGAUAAAACAGAUUUCGACAGUUUCAACCAUUGGUUUGAGCACAAAGGUAAAAGAUAUCAAUCAUAUGAGUUUUCACAAGAUCAAGUGAAACAAGCUUUUGAGAGUGACUUGUGUGAAUCUACAAAUGGAAGUACUUCUUCAAAAAAAACAUUGUCAAAUCCAUUAAAAUGGAGUGAUCUAAAAUCCAAAACAAAAGGUGAGUUUUCUAAAAAUAAAGUUGAAAAAGAAUAAAUCAAUGUUGAUGCUUCGAUAUCGUAUGAAUAUGUUCCUUUACCAAAAAAAAUAUUGAAGGUUAUUUAAUGAUCAAUUUUAAAUUCAAAGUUCAAAAUUAAAUUUUUAAUUCUACUUUUCACACUACAUUCCAUGCUAAUUCACAAGGACCCAACAAGCCUUGGGUACCUAAAUCUCUCUAAGUGAUUGCAUGUAGUAUGUGACAAGUAAUACGAUGAGAAUUGGUACAUUGAUAGUGGUUGUUCUCGUCACAUUACUGGAUGGAAAGAGUGUAUGAGAGAUUUUAGGAAGCUUCAAAAUGAUGGAGCAGUGAAGUUUUGGAAUAAUAACAAAUACAAGGUGAACGGCAAUAGAAAGAAUCACAAAAUGGAAAUUUUACAAUAAAAAUAGUUGCUUGUGUCGAUGGUUUGAAACAUAACUUCAUAAGUGUAUCUCAGCUGGUUGUUGGAACGGGAAAUCAAGUGUUGCUCAUUGAGAAAGCAAGUGUGAUCUCCAAUAAAAUAACAAAAGAAGUGUUAUUGAAAUCAAAAAUAAAAGGAGAUGUGUUCACAUUGGACAUAAAGCCCAUUGAUGGUUUAUCAUUAAUUUGCUUAUUGUCAAAGGAUUCGUCAGAUUUAAGUUGGCUUUGGCAUCGAAGAAUUUAACAUUUGAAUUUCAAAAAUCUUAAUAAACUUGUUUUAAAUGAUCUUGGUCACGGAUUACCUCUACUUAAAUUUGACAACGAUUCUUUAUGUGCAACUUAUGAGCAAGGUAAACAACAUCAACAAGGACAUUCAAUUGUCAUCAACUCGAAGAUAGGUGAGCCUGUUGAAUUACUACAUAUUGAUUUAUGUGGUCCCUCGACAAUUGAGUCGCUCAAUGGGAAAAGUAUAUCUUAGUGACAGUAUGUGACUUUUCACAUUUUACUUGGGUUUAUUUUCUCUGAAAAAAGUUUGAAAUCGCUCAAGUCAUGAUUUAUUUCAUCAAAAAUAUCUUAGUAAGCUUGAAGAGAACAAUCAGGAGAAUCAGAAGUGAUAAUAGGACCGAAUUCAGGAUUCGAGUUCUUGAUUCAUUCAUGAUUAGUCAUCAAAUUUCUCAUACACUUUCAGCUCCAUACACAUCACAAUAAAAUGAAGUAGUGGAAAGGAAAAUUUGAUCUUUGUGUGAAUCAACUAGAAGGAUGCUUACAUAUACGAAUCUAACAUAAUAAUAUUGGGAUGAGGUUGCUUCUACUACUUGUUUCACUCAAAAUCAUUCUUUCAUACAUUGAAGAUUUAAUAUCACCCCUUAUGAAAUGAGUAACAAAAGGAAACCUAACAUCAAUUUUUUACAUGUUUUUGGUUGUAUAUGUUUCAUUAUGAAUUUGAAAGAUCAUCUUUCCAAAUUUCAAGUGAAGGAUGAUGAAGGAAUAUUCCUUGGAUAUUCAUAGAACACAUUAUCCUAUAGGGUGUCGAACAAACAAGCAAUAAGGAUUGAAGAGUGUGGCAACCCGAACCUUUUUUCGUUAACAUUAGUCCGAUUCUGUUAAAUAAAUUUUGAAAUUUUUGAUGGGUUUUGAGCAUUCUAACACUUCCUAAGUGUAUAUGCAACCCUAAUAACCUUGGAUCUAUGUUUGUCUAAUUAUCAUGCAAAGUUGAUUUCCAAGGCUAUGAUUCUAUCUAGCAUACAUGGGAACAAUUUUAACUUGAAUAAAAGAUAGAACUACAUACCUUGUUCAUUUUGAUCCUUGAAACCUUCUGAGCCUAGCACCCCAAGUGUGACGCGUCAAAUGCGUCACACAACACCAAAUGCUAUGGAGUAAACUUGGAGAGAAAGUAUAACACUCUAAAAAUCGGCUCUAGCCCUCAAGCAUGCAUGUGUACCCAAUUUUGGGAGAAACAUGAACUUUAUAUAGUGUUGACACAUUUAGGGUUACACCAUGUAAACCCUAAUGUGUCAUGACUCUUCAUUUCCAUGACCCAUGGGUUUGUAACUCCCAUGGAGCAUCCAAUGGGUUCAACCCAACUUGAUUAUCCAUGGAGCUUCUUAUCCCACUAUAUAAGUUAUGGAUUAUUUACAUAAUCAACCCAUAUAUUUAAUUAGUUAUCUUUUGAUCACUUAAUUAAUUCUAAAAUUAAUUCUUGAUCAAACUAAUUAAAUAAUAUUAUUAAUAUAUUAGAACUUAUAAUAUAUUAAUAAACCACAAGUGUUAUUUCUCUCAUUUAGUCUAUCCAAUUGUAUGGUGCCAUGAAACCCAAAUGGACCAUGUCGGGUCGGGUCAAGUACAUACCAGAAAUAGUUAUGGACUUAGACACCUUAUCCAACAGUCUCCCACUUGGAUAAGUCUAAUAACUAUAACUGCAAGUAUGACUUCAGGAACCGAUCGGCAAUCGUAGCUCUUUUCAAGGUUUCUCGGAACUGAGAAGAUGAUGGUACGCCAUUUAAGAUAAGUGAUCAUAUAAUCCUCUGUUCUAGAUAUCAGCCGGACAAAUACAUGGAACAUUGUCUUGCUUAUUGUCCAGCAUUUGUUUCCCGAUUUCCGAUUUGUUUGACAUAGAACUUAAUUGAACACAUCAACUUAGUUCUGACCGGGCCCGGUACAUAGGUCAAAACAAAAUCAUCGAGGGGCCCAGAUAUCAGCUUCUAAUCCAAGAAGGAACAGAUAAACUUCGACUCAUAUGUUUGUUCUACCACUCAUUGAAUUACACACAAAAGUACGUUUUAUAACAUCGAGUUACCAAUGCGGUUUCGCGCGUUCAAUGCAUAACUAACUCAUAGUUAACAGGUCAUAUCUCUAGGUUUGAAGACUUAUAUGAUAUUACCGUCUCGCGAUCACUCGAGAUAAAAUUGCAUGAAGUGAUACCAACGAGCGUGGGUUGAAUCCAAUACUCAGAACUUAUGAUCACUCAUGAGUGUUGUGGCCAUGUCCAACAUCUUAGACCUCUACAGCCAAAUCAUGACAGUCUUACUUCAUAUCUACUUCCAACAUAUGACUGACUGUGGAUAAUUUGAAUAAUAUGUAAAACAACAUAAAUAUUCUGGAAGUUAAAACAUGCAAAAGAAAUAUAGUAAACGAUUGACAAGAGAUAGCAACACUUUACUCAUAAAUAAAACACCUUUUAUUCAUCAUCAAAUGUCAAUUACACUUUACAAAUUUCUNUAUCUAACUACUAAGACUAAUAUCAUCCUUUAGCCCUAUGCUCCUAGCAUGCUGGAGAUGCUUAACCCUACCCAGUCUCUUCGUGAGGGGAUCCACCGGGUUCUCAUCCGAUGAUACCCUCUUUGCCAUGAGAAGUCCUUCUUCUAUAUGAUGUCUGAUGAAAUGAUAUUUUCUGUCAAUGUGUAUGGAUCUCCCGUGAUCCCUUGGUUCCUUGGCUAAGGCAACAACACUUUCAAUAUCACAGAAAAUCUCUAUAGGCUUCGAUAUAGCUAGUACAACUCCAAGGUCUCCGAUGAAGUUCUUUAGCCAUAUAGCCUCUUUUGCCGCCUCGCUUGCCGCUAUAUACUCUAAUUCGAAAGUUGAAUCAGCCACUGUCUCCCGCUUGGAACUUUUCCAAGAGAUUGCUCCUUCGUUUAAGGUAAAGACCCAGCCCGACUGAGAGCAGAAAUUAUCCUUAUCAGUCUAGAAGCUUGAAUCACUAUACCCUACGACUCUCAAGUCAUCAGUCCCACCGAGGGUAAGGACCCAGUCCUUAGUCCUCCGCAGGUACUUGAGAAUGUUCUUUACCGCUGUCCAAUGAGCCUUACCAUGAUUCCCUUAAUACCUGCUAACCAUGCUUAAAGCAAAGGCUAUAUCAGGACGAGUACAGGUCAUAGCAUACAUGAUCGAGCCUUCUGCCGAAGCAUAAGGUACUCGACUCAUUUCUGCUAUCUCAUCCUUAGUACUCAGGCUCUGAGUCUUACUCAGUCUAGUGCUACUUUGGAUGGGUAACUCUCCUUUCUUGGAAUCUUGCAUGCUGAAUCUCUUCAGCACCUUAUCCAAGUAUGUACUCUGACUAAGUCCAAUUAGUCUUUUACUCCGGUUUCUAAAAAUCCUUAUUCCUAGAAUAUAGGCAGCUUCUCCUAGGUCCUUCAUAUCAAAACACUUCCCAAGCCAGGACUUAACUUCCUGCAGAGUUGGGAUGUCAUUUCCUAUGAGUAGUAUGUCAUCCACAUAGAGUACCAAAAAGCUAACUAUACUCCCACUAGCCUUGACAUAUACACAAGAUUCAUCUUCACUCCUAGAGAAGCCAAAUUUUUUGACCUUCUCAUCAAAGCAAAGAUUCCAUCUGCGAGGUGCUUGCUUUAAUCCAUAGAUGGAUUUCUCAAGCUUACACACUCUAUUAGGGUACUCGGUGCUGACAAAACCCUCUGGCUGACUCAUGUAAACAUCUUCAGCCAACUUUCCAUUAAGGAAAGCGGUUUUGACAUCCAUCUGCCAUAUUUCAUAGUCAUGAAAUGCAGCUAUGGCUAACAGAACCCGAAUAGACUUAAUCUUGGCUACCGGAGAAAAGGUCUCAUCAUAAUCCACUCCAGGAAUUUGAGAGAAGCCCUUUGCAACCAGUCUAGCCUUAUAAGUGUGUACUUUACCNNNNNNNNNNNNNNNNNNNNNNNNNNNNNNNNNNNNNNNNNNNNNNNNNNNNNNNNNNNNNNNNNNNNNNNNNNNNNNNNNNNNNNNNNNNNNNNNNNNACUGGUGAAAAGGUCUCAUCAUAAUCAACUCCUGGAGUUUGAGAAAAGCCCUUUGCAACCAGUCGUGCCUUAUAAGUGUGUACAUUACCAUCCAUGUCGAUCUUCUUCUUGAAGAUCCAUUUGCACCCAACUGUCUUACGACCUGGCACAUUGUCAACCAAGUCCCAGACCUAAUUGUCAUACAUGGAUUGUAUCUCGCUAUCUAUUGCCGCUUUCCAUUUAGCAGACUCAGGGCCUAACAUGGCUUCCGCAUAGCUGUUAGGUUCAUCCAGGCCUACUAUUGUCUCAUCACUAAUAAGUGUCUCACCUUUCGCAGUAAUAUGGAAACCAUAGUAAUGCUCAGGUACAUUCCUAACCCUUGUGGAACGCCUCAGAGGUACAAACUCAUCAAUUGGCUGAUCAACNGCCAAUGAAAAUACACCUCUCGCUUCGAGGUUCGAGCUUGUCAUGAGUCUCGCGUCUCACAAAAGCCUCGCAACCCCAAACCUUGAUGUGGGCUAGACUAGGAACUUUUCUAGUCCACAUCUCGUGAGGUGUUUCAACAACCUUCUUUGUAGGGACCAGAUUAAGGUUAUGGGUGGCAGUCUCUAACGCAUACCCCCAAAAUGAGAUUGGUAGCGUAGCUCGACUCAUAAUGGAACGAACCAUGUCCAACAAGGUUCGAUUACGCCUCUCAGCUACACCAUUCAACUGUGGUGUCCUGGGAGGUGUCAAUUGUGAGACAAUCCCACAUUCCUUAGAUAGUCGAGGAAAUCAGUACUAAGAUACUCACCACCACGAUCGGAUCGAAGCAUCUUAAUGUUCCUGCCCAAUUGAUUCUUGACUUCUUGUUUAAACUCUUUAAACCUUUCAAAAGUAUCUGACUUAUUCUUGAUUAAGUAGACAUAUCUAUAUCUACUAUAAUCAUCUGUAAAAGUCACAUAAUAACUAUUAACAUCCCUUGUGGCAGUUUUGAAGGGUCCACAUACAUCCGUGUGUACAAGAUCCAACCAACCUUCACCCCUCUCACAUUAACCUGUGAAUGGUGACUUUGUCAUUUUUCCAAGUAAGCAUGAUUCGCAACUCUCAUCUAACUUUAGGUCAAAUGACACCAAGACUCCAUCCUUUUGGAGUUGGCCUAUGUGUUUCUUGCUUAUAUGUCCAAGACGACAAUGCCAUAAUGAUGCUUUAUCCAAGUUAUUAUUAUUAGUAGAAUCAAUACACAAUACAUUAUUUCCUAAGUUAUCUACAACAGACACAACUUCAUACACACCAUCACAAGGUAAUGCUUUAAAAUAAAACACAUUAUUAAAGAAAGCAUUUAUUCCACCAAUUUCAUUAUCAAAAGAACAGGUAAAACCUUGUUUAUACAAAGCAUGAAAGGAAAUAACAUUUCUUGCCAUUUCUGGUGAAUAACAACAUUUAUUCAAAUCUAAAGCAAAUCCACUACUAAGCAACAAAGUAUAAACUCCAAUCUUGGUGACAGGUGAAACUUUCCUAUUCCCCAUGAUCAAGUUUAUCUUUCCAUGCUCCACAUUCUCACUUCUUCUUAGUCCCUGCAAUUCAGAACAAAUAUGAAUACCGCAACCGGUAUCAAGGACCCAAGAGUUAGAAUAGAGUGAAUUAUUAGAUGAGAUAGUGUAAAUACCUGCAUGGUUGGGUUUAACUUUCCCAUCCUUCACAUCUUGCUGGUACUUUCGGCAGUUACGCUUCCAGUGCGCCUUUUUGUGGCAGUAGAAGCAUUCAUCCUCUUUGGGAUCAGAAGAAGGUGUAACGAAACCUUUCUUGGUUCCACUAGAAGAGGAGCCAUCAAGAGUCUUACCCUUGGUACCCUUCGAAGGGUUCUUUCUCUUCUUCCCUCUACCUUUCCCGAUUGCCAGGACAGGUGCUGAGUUUGGAGUAGUAGCAGGAGUGGUCACAACCGACUUGCCUUUAAGACCUGAUUCUGCGGUCUUUAGGAGUCCCUGAAGUUUGCUAAGUGUAACUUCCUCCUUAUUCAUGUGAUAUGUAAUGCGGAAUUGAUCAUAACACGAAGGUAAGGAGUUCAAAAUAAUAUCUAUUGCUAACUCCUCGGGGAAGUUCACAUUCAACUUCAUCAAUCGAUCCGCAUACCUUUGCAUUUUCUGCAUGUGGCUUGUGACGGGUUCACCAUCUUACAUUUGGGUGGUGAUCAUAGAGGAGAUGAUUUCAUAUCGCUCUUGACGAGCACUCUGAUGGUAGCAGUCCAUCAAAUCCUGGUGCAUCUCAAAAGGAUAGUAGUCUUCAUAGGACUUUUGGAGCUCGGCUGUCAUGGUUGCCAUCAUGAUGCAUGCCACUUUGGUAGCAUCUCUUUCAUGUGCCUCAUAUUCAGCAAACUCCUCAGGAGUAGCAGUUGGCUCAGGCACCUUGAGCUCCUUGUCAAGAACAUAUUCCUUGUUCUCGUAACGAGUGACCAUCCUGAUGUUUCUGAUCCAGUCAGUAAAGUUGGAUCCAUCAAAGAUGACUCUCCCACAAAGGUUCAUGAGAGAGAAGGAGCCAGUAGGGUUUGAGCCAGGAGUAGAAUUAUUAGAAGACAUCUGAAGAGAAGAAAGAUGAGUUUACUAUAGAUAUAGGGAUAGUCCUUAAUAAGACACCCAAAUGUAAUAUUUAAGACUAGGAUCCAAUCACAAUAUAUUAUAACCUAGAAGAGGGAUGCCGUAAUCCAAGUUAUAACAUAUUUGAAAGGUAGGUGAAUGACGCUUCACCAUUUUCCACCAUGACAAUGAAAUAUAAAUUAUUAGGUUUUAUUUGGUUUUUAGAAAUUCCUAGAUUCUAUGAGACUCAUUGAACUUUUCAAUGGCAUGUUUCAAUCUCGAGUGUGCCCUGCAUGUUUUGUGACUAGGAUAUCGAGGAUCGCAAAACAAGGUGUGAAGUAACGAUGCAAAUUACUUGGUACCCUUAAUCUUUUUCACUUAAUCGUUGUGCCGGUAAACCACACGCGCUCCUUCCGACCUCAUGAAAAACCUUAAGUCACCCUUUUCCUUCCUUGUUAAGUUCAAGUUAGUGUGUCGGUAAACCACACACGCUCCACCAAUGACAUAAACAAGGUGCAAAGUGUAAUAUCAUGGAUUAGAACCUUAUUCACAUUUUUCCUAAAGUAACUAAGAUUGGGAAUUUAUAAAACAUUUAGUUACUUUAUAAUAAUCAUUAUACUUUUAAUGAGAAUUUUUAAGUCAUUGUCCUACCCGUUCGGCUAACGACCCUCCACCAGUCAAGCAAGCGGUGGGUGAGAGUGGACACUCAUUAAGUUGCCAUUUUAUAGGCAACAACCUUAUACCCACCUUAUAGACUGGCUUCGUGAAUGAGGCGUACUAGCGGUAAUACAACUUUGAUCUUAUACAUAUAGAUAUUAUUAUUAACUUAUAAUAUUAUAAGUAUAAGGGUUGAAUUUUAACUUUUAAAAUUCUAAGGGUUGGAACUAAACUUUUAAUCAAAACUUUACUUGUUCCAAAACAUGAGGGCAAGUUUUGUAAACUUUCAAAACUUUUCAUUUCUUGUAACUUAUGAGUUAAUUAGAGUAUUAAAAAAUGAAGACUCUUCAUUUUUCUAACUCUUGUGUUCUUUUAAUGGUUUUAAUUCAAGUGUGACUCUUGGUUUUCCAUAACUUGAGGACAAGUUAUGGACUCCAUUAAAACACAUUAUGAUCAAGAAUUAAACUACCAUGUAGGUUACAAGUAAUUCCUAUGAUCAUCUAAAUUCAUAAGAUCAAGAAAAUGAAUAUCCAUAUCAAAGUUUCAAGACCAUAAGAACACAUAUAAUCAUGAAAAAUUGAUAUUUGCCAUUGUAAAUGGAUUAGAACAAACAUUAUACCAUCAAAAACAAGUUUUAUAACACCAAAACAUUUUAGGGUAAUGUUUCUAGUCCAUUUCCAGCAGCAAAAGUCGAAAAUCUGCAUUUUGUAGCUCCUACUCUCCGAGUGCACGAACCUACUCGGCGAGUAGGUUGAAGAUACACAUGAACUCGGCGAGUCCCCCCAUGGACUCAGCGAGUUCAUCAGGCAGAUUGCACAAAAUCGACUUUUUUCAAAUAUUUAGCACAAAUAACAAACAAACAAGCCUAGGCUCUGAUACCACUGAUGGGUUUUGAGCAUUCUAACACUUCCUAAGUGUACAUGCAACCCUAAUAACCUUGGAUCUAUGUUUGUCUAAUUAUCAUGCAAAGUUGAAUUCCAAGGCUAUAUUCCUAUCUAGCAUACAUNCAAUACAUGGGAACAAUUUUAACUUGAAUAAAAGAUAGAACUACAUACCUUGUUGUCAAUUUUGAUCCUUGAAACCUUGUGAGCCUAGCACCCCAAGUGUGAUGCCUCAAAUGCUUCACACAACACCAAAUGCUAUGGAGUAAACUUGGAGAGAAAGUAUAACACUCUAAAAAUAGGCUCUAGCCCUCAAGCAUGCAUGUGUACCCGAUUUUGGGAGAAACAUGAACUUUAUAUAGUGUUGACACAUUUUGGGUUACACCAUGUAAACCCUAAUGUGUCAUGACUCUUCAUUUCCAUGACCCAUGGGUUUGUAACUCCCAUGGAGCCUCCAUGGAGCAUCAAAUGGGUUCAACCCAACUUGAUUAUCCAUGGAGCUUCUUAUCCCACUAUAUAAGUUAUGGAUGAUUUACAUAAUCAACCCAUAUAUUUAAUUAGUUAUCUUUUGAUCACUUAAUUAAUUCUAAAAUUAAUUCUUGAUCAAACUAAUUAAAUAAUAUUAUUAAUAUAUUAGAACUUAUAAUAUAUUAAUAAACCACAAGUGUUAUUUCUCUCAUUUAGUCUAUCCAAUUGCAUGGUGCCAUGCAACCCAAANCCCACAUGGACCAUGCCGGGUCGGGUCAAGUACAUACUGAUGGGUUUUAUCCAUAAGAAAAUCCUAUGUGCUCACGCGAACCCUAAUGCUUGGAUCUAGGUUUCUCUAUUGUACAUGCAAUUCAUCCAAGAAUAUAAACCCUAGAUCUAGUAUAUGAUAAUCAAUACAACAUAUGAAUUAGGAUUUAGAUCAUACCUUGAUUGUUAUGUAGUAAUAACAAUCUCAAAUCCUCCUUGUAAUGACUUUAGAAAGCUUAGAGUCACAAAUGUCACUCCUCUAAUGGUUCACAAACACCAAGAGCAAGAGGAUGAAGAGGAGAAGAGAAGGAGGCUGCCCAAAACAUGUGAAAACCCUAGAGAACAAGUUCACCACGUUUUUGGGGCUUAAGGGUUCUUUAAAUAGUGAGGCUAUUACGGUUUUCUAACAAGCAAACCCUAAUUUGGAUGCUUAGGCCCUAAGCAACCCAUGGACUCCUUCCUUAAAGGCCUAGGACGAUUUCUAAUGGGUUUCCCCAUAGAAUUCGUCCACCCCUUUAAUAUGGAGUCCAUUAGCUCAAUAUUCAACUAUCACACAAUUGACAGUAUUAGUCCCUUAUUCUUAUAAUAUAUUAAUAAAUCAUAAUUAAUCCUUUCUCUCCAUAAUUCAUCCUAUCAAGUUGCUUUGAUGAAGGCAACCCAAAAGGACCAUGCACCAUCGGGUCAAGUAUAUACCAAAAUAGUUAUGGACUUAGACACUAAUCCAACACAUACCAGAAAUAGUUAUGGACUUAGACACCUUAUCCAACAUUUUUAUCUAGUUCCGUCAAAUUCCUAUGGUUUAGAAAAUCAUUUAAGUUAUAUAAUUGAAUUUUAUAUAAGAGUCGGAACCAAAAUUGCGCGAAAACCCAAGUUUCCUUCGAAAAUCAGCAGAUUUCAGCCUAAGUGGUGUUCACGAUUGUGAACUCGAUCAAGGCUGUAAACCCGUUCAUGGUUGAUGGACCCCACCACCGACCAUACACCCAGCCUAUAUAUAAAUGACUCCUACCUGCAUUUAUACUUUCUGGCCAUGAACACCCUUUCUCUCUCUAAAAUCAUCACCCGAAAAACUCAAGUUUUCUUUUCCUCUAUCACUUAAAUCCAACUUAGAACACGUUUUGGAGCAUCAAACAUCUGUCUUUUCAUCAAGUCAAACAUUGUUGUUCUUGCAUGCACGACCAUAAACCCUUCAAAUCUUCAUAUUUUACCAAGAACAGAUCGUGAACCCUUCCAAGACCGUAAACCCUUCACAUACCGUUCACGGCCGCAAUCAGCAUCAAUUGGAAUCUAGGUUGAAAACCUACUUGUUCCACUUCGAUCGAGUCUUGGUGACAUUCCAAAACUAAAAUCAAGUGUUUUCUAACACUUUAAUUAAUGCUCUCACUAAUUUAAAUGCAAAUAUGUGUUUAAUCAUUAUUAGGAUUUUGUUAACUUCUCAUACAACAAACUCGAGGGUCAUCAUAUCCAGUCUCGUUGUCCGGCACAUACAUGCAACUAACGGUGAGUUCAUACCCAUAUGCUUUUACAAGUAAAAGCACAAGUAAUUAGUUUUUAAAAAUAUAAUUUAAUUAUUAUAUUUCCUUAUCGUUAACACACAUUUGAACGCAGAACUUACUAAAUAUGAAGUAUAAACAAAGCUAUUAUUUUCAUAAGGAUACAUGUUAAUAACAAAAAGGGGUUUUCAUAGUAUUAUUCGUGAAUUCAUUGAGAGAACUACAUUGUGAGACAACACUUUCAGUAUACAGCACAAUACGUUUUCAAUUAGUUUUAUUUUAUGUAAUCAAACUACUAUACUUUACAAGUAGUAGCCAAGGUUUUCAUUCAGAGCAAUGCUUUAAUAAAAUAAGUAAGGAAGAUACUUGUACUUUUCAAUUUUUAGAACAAUUAAGACAACAGCUCACACUUAGGGAAAAUAUAGGAUUUUCCAGGACAAAUGUUAGUACUUUACAAACAAUCGGUUUAUCAUCCAACUAACAAAUAUUCAUUAAUAUUUCUAUAAUCCUUAGUUUAUGCAUCCAGGUUAUGUAAGAAGAAUAUCUGAUAUGUCACACCCCCGAACCAGACGGCGGAAACGUCCGGGGGCUAUCGUGACUCAAUUGAAUACCAUCACAAUGAAUAUACAUGAAACAUAACAUCAUACAAUACCAAGCAUUGGAAUAUUACAACUGGUAGCGUUUACAUUCAGUACAUAGUUUCAAAAUAUUACAUUCCCAAAAGUAAAUUGUUCGAUAUUAAUUAAACAACAGCAAAACGUCAUAGAGUACAAUUCUUCCUUCACUUUAUCUGUUACCUAAGAAUACAAGUAUUUUAAAAACGUCAACAUAUGAAAUGUUGGUGAGUUCAUAAGUAAUGUUUGAAAUCCAAUAUUUUGUAUUGUUUUGAAAACCACCAGAAAAAUCUGAUAUUUUCUGAAAAUUGUAUAGUAUAAAAGGUGUGAAGAUCCGAAAGUAUGCUUGUUUGUUUCUAUAAAUGUAAGAGUACGAUUUGUAAAACUCGGUAUGUAAUUCGUAGGUGUAUUAAUUGAAAACCCUAGGAAAACCCGACGUUUUCCCAUUGCUUUGCAUUAAAUAAUUUUAUGCUUCGUUAUUUCGUUACGACAGGUGUAUUCGUUACGACAGGUGUAUUCGUUGAGCUCCGGGGACGUUGGAUUAAUUGUGGAUUGUGAAUUGUUGUAACGUACAUUAAUGAAAACGACCAGUUGACAACCAUACAAACGAUCCCUUAGGCGUCGCUUGCACUUAUUCACUUAACCCAACCCCCCGGACUCAUGUAGCCCCACGACCGAGGGGAAAAAGAGGGUGCAAAGCCCCGGUAUUUCCCUACGUCGUUCAAGGCUAUAGUGAAUGCGAAGGGCCCUUAGCCCAACUCGCAUUGGUGAAUUCUCGACUUUGCUAGCAGUACCGAAGGACCCUUGGGGACCAGCAGCACGUUGCCAUUGAAAGUCCUUUUACNNNNNNNNNNNNNNNNNNNNNNNNNNNNNNNNNNNNNNNNNNNNNNNNNNNNNNNNNNNNNNNNNNNNNNNNNNNNNNNNNNNNNNNNNNNNNNNNNNNNNNNNNNNNNNNNNNNNNNNNNNNNNNNNNNNNNNNNNNNNNNNNNNNNNNNNNNNNNNNNNNNNNNNNNNNNNNNNNNNNNNNNNNNNNNNNNNNNNNNNNNNNNNNNNNNNNNNNNNNNNNNNNNNNNNNNNNNNNNNNNNNNNNNNNNNNNNNNNNNNNNNNNNNNNNNNNNNNNNNNNNNNNNNNNNNNNNNNNNNNNNNNNNNNNNNNNNNNNNNNNNNNNNNNNNNNNNNNNNNNNNNNNNNNNNNNNNNNNNNNNNNNNNNNNNNNNNNNNNNNNNNNNNNNNNNNNNNNNNNNNNNNNNNNNNNNNNNNNNNNNNNNNNNNNNNNNNNNNNNNNNNNNNNNNNNNNNNNNNNNNNNNNNNNNNNNNNNNNNNNNNNNNNNNNNNNNNNNNNNNNNNNNNNNNNNNNNNNNNNNNNNNNNNNNNNNNNNNNNNNNNNNNNNNNNNNNNNNNNNNNNNNNNNNNNNNNNNNNNNNNNNNNNNNNNNNNNNNNNNNNNNNNNNNNNNNNNNNNNNNNNNNNNNNNNNNNNNNNNNNNNNNNNNNNNNNNNNNNNNNNNNNNNNNNNNNNNNNNNNNNNNNNNNNNNNNNNNNNNNNNNNNNNNNNNNNNNNNNNNNNNNNNNNNNNNNNNNNNNNNNNNNNNNNNNNNNNNNNNNNNNNNNNNNNNNNNNNNNNNNNNNNNNNNNNNNNNNNNNNNNNNNNNNNNNNNNNNNNNNNNNNNNNNNNNNNNNNNNNNNNNNNNNNNNNNNNNNNNNNNNNNNNNNNNNNNNNNNNNNNNNNNNNNNNNNNNNNNNNNNNNNNNNNNNNNNNNNNNNNNNNNNNNNNNNNNNNNNNNNNNNNNNNNNNNNNNNNNNNNNNNNNNNNNNNNNNNNNNNNNNNNNNNNNNNNNNNNNNNNNNNNNNNNNNNNNNNNNNNNNNNNNNNNNNNNNNNNNNNNNNNNNNNNNNNNNNNNNNNNNNNNNNNNNNNNNNNNNNNNNNNNNNNNNNNNNNNNNNNNNNNNNNNNNNNNNNNNNNNNNNNNNNNNNNNNNNNNNNNNNNNNNNNNNNNNNNNNNNNNNNNNNNNNNNNNNNNNNNNNNNNNNNNNNNNNNNNNNNNNNNNNNNNNNNNNNNNNNNNNNNNNNNNNNNNNNNNNNNNNNNNNNNNNNNNNNNNNNNNNNNNNNNNNNNNNNNNNNNNNNNNNNNNNNNNNNNNNNNNNNNNNNNNNNNNNNNNNNNNNNNNNNNNNNNNNNNNNNNNNNNNNNNNNNNNNNNNNNNNNNNNNNNNNNNNNNNNNNNNNNNNNNNNNNNNNNNNNNNNNNNNNNNNNNNNNNNNNNNNNNNNNNNNNNNNNNNNNNNNNNNNNNNNNNNNNNNNNNNNNNNNNNNNNNNNNNNNNNNNNNNNNNNNNNNNNNNNNNNNNNNNNNNNNNNNNNNNNNNNNNNNNNNNNNNNNNNNNNNNNNNNNNNNNNNNNNNNNNNNNNNNNNNNNNNNNNNNNNNNNNNNNNNNNNNNNNNNNNNNNNNNNNNNNNNNNNNNNNNNNNNNNNNNNNNNNNNNNNNNNNNNNNNNNNNNNNNNNNNNNNNNNNNNNNNNNNNNNNNNNNNNNNNNNNNNNNNNNNNNNNNNNNNNNNNNNNNNNNNNNNNNNNNNNNNNNNNNNNNNNNNNNNNNNNNNNNNNNNNNNNNNNNNNNNNNNNNNNNNNNNNNNNNNNNNNNNNNNNNNNNNNNNNNNNNNNNNNNNNNNNNNNNNNNNNNNNNNNNNNNNNNNNNNNNNNNNNNUGAUUUUUAUACUUUGUUGGGCUAGUUUAGGUUAAUUAUGGUUCAUAAUAUUUAAUUUAUUUCAUUCUAGGCCCAAUAUGGCCCAAAAUGUUGAAAUAAAUGAAUGUGGGUCCAAUUAGAGCCCAUUUAAAGGUUCUAAUCCCAUGAUAGUCAAAUUGGAAGCUUAUUGGCCCAUUGAGUCCAAUAAGGAAGUCCUAGUCCAAAAUGGACCUAAACAAGAACUUCUAGGGUUUCCAAUUGCUUAUUGACUAUUUGUAGCACUUGUAUGGUGUAUUUGAUUGAAAUUCUGUUGUCAUAGAGUAAGCAUCAUACAUGCUCUUUGAGUUUUUGAUUCUACAUUUUACUUGAGUGUAGUGAUUACAAGACACAAAAUUUCUAGUUGUGACAUCAUCCCCCCGUUAGAGGGAAUUUCGUCCCGAAAUUCUGUUUGAAAGCUAGAUUUGAGAAUGCUAGAAUAGGUGAGGGUACUUUUGCUUCAUUUGGUCUUCGCGUUCCCACGUGAAUUCUGGCCCACGCUUCGCGUUCCACCGUACUUUCACGAUCGGGAUGCGACUUUGCUUAGUACGCUUCACCUCCCUGUCCAUGAUUUCAACCGGCUCUUCAACGAACAGGAGAUUCUCAUUGAUUUCGAUCUCGUCAAGGGGAAUGACGAGUGUUUCAUCCGAUAGGCACUUCUUUAGAUUAGAGACAUGGAACACGGGGUGAACACUGUUUAGCUCUGCGGGUAGCUGCAGUUUAUACGCCACUGGACCUAUUCGGGCGACGAUCUCGAAAGGUCCAAUGUAUCGUGGGUUCAGUUUUCCCCGUUUUCCGAAACGAAUAACUCCUUUCCAGGGUGAGACUUUCAACAGUACUCGAUCCCCGACCUGAAAUUCUAAGGGCUUUCGUCGUUUAUCGGCGUAGCUCUUUUGUCGGUCGCACGAUGCUUGUAAUCGAGCUCUGAUUUGGACGAUCUUUUCCAGGGUUUCACGAAUGAUCUCCGGUCCUGUUAGUGCCUUGUCUGAUGUAUGCGUUUUUGCUAGUUGGGUAUCACCUACCUCAGCCCAACAUAACGGUGAUCUACACUUACGCCCGUAUAGUGCUUCGAAAGGAGCGACCUUGAUGCUCGAAUGAUAACUAUUGUUAUACGAGAAUUCGAUUAAAGGUAAGUGGGUAUCCCAAGACUUCCCAAAGUCUAUCACGCAUGCGCGGAGCAUGUCUCCGAGCGUUUGGAUGGUUCGCUCGUUUUGACCAUCCGUUUGCGGAUGAUAAGCGGUGCUCAUGUUGAGAUGAGUUCCCAUUUCCUUAUGGAGUGAUUGCCAAAAACGUGAAGUGAACCUACUGUCCCNNNNNNNNNNNNNNNNNNNNNNNNNNNNNNNNNNNNNNNNNNNNNNNNNNNNNNNNNNNNNNNNNNNNNNNNNNNNNNNNNNNNNNNNNNNNNNNNNNNNCCGCCGGUGGUGACGUUGUUGUUGUUGCGAUUGUUGUUGUGGUUGAUGAUUCCCUGUUGUUGCUCCAUCUCUAAAGAUCAAUACCCCAAGGAGGGGUAGGACCGGUGGGGCCCACAUGGUAAGCAGGCACCCUGAUCGGGUAAGGGGGGUUGAUGACUUCGAACUCUGCGUCCGAAUCACCCCCUUCACUAUCAUCGGGUUCCUCUUCGAAGUUCUCUUCGUCUUCUUCGGGUUCGGCAGGCUCGCCUUCAUCUCCAGCCUCUGGUUCCCCGUCAGAUUCCUUUUCGGGGUCUUCCUCAGGCUCUUCCUCUAACCAUCCGUUAUUCCCCUGAUUAGGGAAAUAAGGGUCUCCAGGGUGAUGAAAACCAUCCAUGCUGUCUGCGUNUGUCUGCGCGAGUAUGUAAAUAUGCUAUCAUUAUUCCUAGAAUGCUACAACUAUUGUACAGACUAAACAAACGUUCUCUUUUUGGUGAUAAAAGGGUAUAGUUUUAGGUUCCCUAGCUAUCCCGAUCUCAUCAGAACGUGUGUUAGUUAUACUUUGGAGAGAAUGUAGUUGAUCAGGCUACAUCCACUCCUUGGUACCACUAAGAACAGUCCUGAAUUAACCGAGAUACUAGCAUUAUUUUGUUUGGUUCGGCGUUAUGUUCCUUGUUCCUAAUGCAAGCAAAGAUGUUUUAUUGUUGUAUUUUACUUGUUUUGUUCAGAGUUAUGUUAGUCCCUCUUUUGGUUUAUAGUUGCAUAUCAAUGUAUGGUUCGAUAUGCUAGUUCACUAUAAACAGAGCUCUGAUACCAACCUGUCACACCCCCGAACCAGACGGCGGAAACGUCCGGGGGCUGUCGUGACUCAAUUGAAUACCAUCACAAUGAAUAUACAUGAAACAUAACAUCAUACAAUACCAAGCAUUGGAAUAUUACAACUGGUAGCGUUUACAUUCAGUACAUAGUUUCAAAAUAUUACAUUCCCAAAAGUAAAUUGUUCGAUAUUAAUUAAACAACAGCAAAACGUCAUAGAGUACAAUUCUUCCUUCACUUUAUCUGUUACCUGAGAAUACAAGUAUUUUGAAAAACGUCAACAUAUGAAAUGUUGGUGAGUUCAUAAGUAAUGUUUGAAAUCCAAUGUUUUGUAUUGUUUUGAAAACCACCAGAAAAUCCGAUAUUUUCUGAAAAUUGUAUAGUAUAAAAGGUGUGAAGAUCCGAAAGUAUGCUUGUUUGUUUCUAUAAAUGUAAGAGUACGAUUUGUAAAACUCGGUAUGUAAUUCGUAGGUGUAAUAAUUGAAAAUCCUAGGAAAACCCGACGUUUUCCCAUUACUUUGCAUUAAAUAAUUUUAUGUUUCGUUAUUUCGUUACGACAGGUGUAUUCGUUGAGCUCCGGGGACGUUGGAUUAAUUGUGGAUUGUGAAUUGUUGUAAACGUACAUUAAUGAAAAUGACCAGUUGACAACCGUACAAACGAUUCCCUUAGGCGUCGCUCGCACUAUUCACUUAACCCAACCACCCGGACUCAUGUAGCCCCACGACCGAGGGGAAAAAGUGAGUGCGAAGCCCCAGGUAAUUCCCUACGUCGUUCAAGGCUAUAGUGAAUGCGAAGGGCCCUUAGCCCAACUCGCAUUGGUGAAUUCUCGACUUUGCUAGCAGUACCGAAGGACCCUUGGGGACCAGCAGCACGUUGCCAUUGAAAGUCCUUUUACGCUGUGUUGGAUCAUGUAAGACCCAACAACUCGUAAGGUUGAUGUCUUCGGGCCUAAAGAUCAGGUCAUUGGGCUAGCUAGGCCCAACAAACAAGAUUUUACACUUUUGGGCCCAAAGAUGGUGUAUCGACGUCUGUGCACUCUCACGUGUGUAUUGAAUUCCCAAAUUUUCCGUGUAUGAAUCGAGUUGUCGUCGUGUUAGUAGUUUCGGAUUUGUUAUUGAUUCGAGACCGAAUCAAUUCGUUUGAUAACGAUUUUUGGUGUUGUUGUGUGUUGUAAUUCGUCGGUAGUCGCAGUGUCAAUAUUUGAUCACAACGGAUGUAUUGAAUUAACAUUGAAAUUUUUCUGUUUACAGCCCCUCUUUAUUUUGUAAAUUUACUUUUUCAACCCUUUGAAUAAAUUAAUUUCCGGUUUAGUCCUUAAACCAUUUUUCUUGGCAUUCUAACACCAAAACUUAUUGAAAUUGAUAUUUUUCAGCACAUUUUUAGUUGAAAACAGUUUUAGUCCCUCAAAAUACAGUUUUCUCGGCUGUAACCUCUCUUUUUCGCAAUUUUUACACUUUUGGCCCAAAUUGGAAAAUUUUUGCAACUUUGGUCCUUUUUAAUUAUGAAAAGCAUUUUUAACCUUUGAAAAGGACUUGGAACACUAGUAGUCCACUGUUUUACGGAAAAACACAGUUUCAGCCCCUCAAAUUGGAAAAUUUCGCAUAUUGGGCCCUAUUGGGCCGAAAAGUUCAUUUUUAGCCCAUUAAGUUUAGAAAUUUACAUUUUAAACAUUCUAAAGUGUAUAUUUCUGGAAAAAUUCCUUUAUGAAACUGUUUUGACACUUCUUAACCUCCAGAAUUUGUAUUUUGACAUUUUGGGCCCUUAAACUUCAUAUUCUUAGCAUUUUAAGUCCAAAAAUGUGAUUUUUAGCCCAAGAUGUUCAUCUAAACCAACUUGGUUAUUUUUCUAGUAAUGGCUUAUGUAUGAUGAUAUGUUUUAGCACUUGAUUCAUGCAUCAUAACACAAAUCUCGAUUUUUAGGUCCUUUUGACUAGUUUCAACACCAUAAACACACAAAAGUAUGUAAAUAAACAUAGAAAUCAUACAAGGCAUACACAUAAUGAUAGAUCUACACAUUUGCUUGUAUUCUCCCCCCCCCACAAAACUUAUAAAAACCGAAAAUAAGGGGGUAUGAAGCUCACCUUUGGAUGUGGUCUCGGUUUUGAAGAAGAUUUGUGGAAGUUUGGUGCUAUUUUCGGCCCUAUCAAGUUCCUUGGAUGGAUCUCGAACUUAGUGGGUUCUAAGAUGCAAGAUCAUGAACUUGAAUGGAUUAAGAGAUGAUUCUUGAUGAAAAGAAUUAGCUAGAUUAUGGGUCUAAGCAAUAUCUUACCUUAGAUGAUGAUUUUUAUGGAAGAAAUCCCUUGAACACCUCUUAGAUCUCGAAAAUUUGGAGAGAAAUGGAGAGAGUUUCUUGAGAGAAAAUUUUUAAGUGAAGUGUGUGUGUGUUUGUUUGGUUUCGGCCGAGAGGGAGAAGAGAGGAAAGAAGAGAGAAUGAGCUUGCAUGGAAAGAUGAGAAUACAUGGAUGUUUGAAGUGUAAUAUUUAGAUAUCCUCCAAACAAAGAUGAUGUGUCAUGCAAGAAGUCAACUCCUCCCUUUUAUUUGGGCUUGGGCCGAGAAUGGAGGGGGAAAAGAGAAUGUUUGGGCCUUAAAUGCUUAAGCCCAAUUUUCAUGGUUAUGUUGAGUGAUUUUUGGUCCAAAUAAAUAUAAAGGUGAUUUUUAUGACUUGUUAGGGCUAAAUUAGGUUAAUUAUGGUUCAUAGUUAUUAAUUUAUUUCAUUCUAGGCCCAAUGUGGCCCAAAAUGUUGAAAUAAAUGGAUGUGGGUCUAAUUAGAGCCCAUUUAAAGGUUCUAAUCCCAUGAUAGUCAAAUUGGAGGCUUAUUGGCCCAAUGAGUCCAAUAAGGAAGUCUUAGUCCAAAAUGGACCUAACAAGAACUUCUAGGGUUUCCAUUUGCUUGUUGACUAUUUGUGGUACUUGUAUGGUGUAUUUGUUUGAAAAUUAGAUGUCAUAGAGUAAGCAUCUUACAUGCUCUUUAAGUUUUUGAUUCUACAUUUUUACUUGAAUGUAGUGAUUACAAGACACAAAAUUUCUAGUUGUGACAUGAUAGGUCAUGGAAUGUGUACUUUCCGCCUCAUUCCCGGUUCCUUGUUUGGUUGUGGGUUUAGGGCAGAUUCACACAAUUAACUAUCUGUUUGAUAUUGGUUUAUACAUAGCUAGUGUGAGCUAAGUGGUUAUAGAAGGAAUUGGUAUUAUCAUACUUUUACUAGAAAAAUAUUGGAUUUUCUUGAGAAAAACUUUCAACAGAUAUCAAAGGACCAAUACAGUCAAUUUUUUAAGUAUCUAGUGAAUACUUAAGGGUUAUGUCAUGAGGAUCCGACAACCAAUGGAAUGUGUGGCCUCCACCUCAUUUCUUGUCCUUGUUUGGUUGUGGGCUUGAGGCAGAACCACACAAUCGAUUGUUUGUUUGAUCUAGAUUGUAUAUGAUUUGUAUACACUAAGUGCUCGCAGAAGGAAACUGGUACAAAUCUUUUCACUUAACAUUCAUUGCAUCAAAAAUUAUAAGGUUUUUCUGGAGAAACACAACGUACUUUUCAAGAACAUAGAACCUGUUUUCUAAAAUAAAACGCUUAUUAACUCACCAGCUUAAAUGUUGAUACUCUUUCAAAACCUACUUGUAUUCUCAGGACACUAGUAGACAGAUACAUUCGCAUGGUUCAAGAAGAUGGAGCAUAGUAGCCUCGAGUCUUUACAUGUUAUUUACUUUUGGAGUCAGUCAUAUAUGAUUCGAAAACAAUGUAAACUUUAUUUUAUUAAUACAAUGGUUGUUGUAGCUUUUAUUACUAUUAUUCAAUUGUUGUGAAACUAUACACGACGUCGUCCGCCCCCGAAUGUUUCCGUUGUUCCGGUUUGGGGGGUGUGACAAAGAGACAUUUAAUUUAACUUUUAAUGACUAUUAUUUUAAGAGAUUCGAGACUAUUUUUCCUCAAAAUCCAAUUCAUUCUAAUUCAAAGGAGGUAUUUGAACAAAUUGUUGCUUUGAUAUUGAUAUUGAUUUAUUUUUUGGUAUUUCUGAUAAAGCAAUCAAUGUUAAUGUGAAUAUUAAAGAUAAUCAAGUUCCUAAGGCAUUAAAACAUUCAGAUGACUCUACAGUCAUAGAUAAAAGGUCAGAUGACUGCAUAAAUUUGAUACAUGGUGAUCAUGUCAAAGGGUAUCAAUCUUUCAUACUAUUUCCACUUGAGGGGAGCAACAUCUUACAUAAACUCAAUUUUAGGGGGAGCGACUGAUAUCGAAUUCUAAUGUUGAAGGCGAUCAAUAUAUAGCUAAUUUAUGUGUUUAGGGGAGCAAGUUUGAACACUUGGUGAGGAUGUCAAUCAAACAUAUGUCAAAGUUAGACAUUAAACCAAUGCCUAAGUUGAGCAGGAUGCUCAAGACGAUGCAAAUAUAUAUGAUCAUAUUAAUGAUACUCUUUCUGUUGUAGAAUUGUUUUCUUAAUCAUAAGAAAUCUAUGAGUAUGUUGAUCUUCACUUUGAUUUAUCUUAUCCUCCAAUGGAGAAGUGGACUCGUGAUUAUCCCAAAGAAAAAAAUUCAUGGUAAUUGAUAAGUUAUAAAACAAACGAGAAGAUCGAUUAGAUCUUUGUAACAGGUAUUGCGAUGAACACAAAACAAUAAAUAAGACAAGAGUGGAUCAAAAUAUGUCGAAUGAUUAGAUCAAACAAUCCUCAGCAGAGCUUGACUAAGAACUUCCGCUGUAGAGGAUUUAGGGUUACAAGAACGAUAAUAAUAAAAUUCUGAAUAAUGCUCUGAUCAUUCUAUUCUAUCGUUAACCUAAGAUGCAUGCAAGCACCUAUAUUUAUAAUAAACCCUACUAAACUCACGGAUGGACAGGCCCAUACCGGAGAUACAAAAAUGGACUUGCUAACGAGCCCAAUAGAUGCAACAUAUAAAACACGACCCAACAAUCUCCCCCUUUGCAUCAAAUUGGAGAGAGACUACUUCUUUUUCUUGCUUGGGCCAGCAACGGAAACUUUCUUCGUAGUAUCAAACAGACGAGAGAUUAGCGCGAGAAUAGUCUGUCUGAACCGAAUGUACCAUUGAAUCAUGUCAUCGAAGUACUUGACAUCAUCCGCUGUGUUCUGCUUGCAUCUGUGGAUGAUCCCCAAAACAUGCUCUAAGCAAGCAGUGGUGUAGAGGUGUUUGUCAGCCAAGGCGAAAAGACAUUUCUGUCCUUCGUUCCUGGUGAACAUGACCGAAUUCCUUCUCGAGUCAAUUUUACCCAUCUGCAUUUGGUUGAGAUCACUGGCAGAGCCAACAGGAGAUAUUGUUGGUUUCUUCUUAAAUACGCUUGCAAUCUCCUGAUCCAUCAGUGCAACUUCCAUGAUGUAGCACACGAGCAUCCUCUUGAAAUGGUCGAUGAUCGGACCGUAUUCAGCUUCGUUGGUGAGUAGGAUGUUGUGCAAGAUAAUCCAAUCAUGGGGAUUAAGGUUUGGAAGAUCUGCAAGGGAAAUAGCAUGUUCGGUUUUGGCAGAUCCCCGAAGUACCUUGAACCGAAUGUUAAUGAAGUUCCCUUCACUAUACAGCUUCAAGACCCGAACGUUGACAAUUUUCUCAGCGCUCCAAGUCUGAUAUUGGGGUUGAGCAGCCUUCAGAUAGAAAUUCAUCAAAUCCUGAUCAACCUGUGGAUGAGGAUGAGGGAUUUUUGCAACGUUGGAGAAGGCAUGAAAGAUGAACGCCUUUCGGGUCAGUGGCAUGUCGAACUGUGAGUCGACAGUGUUGGAACAAUCUAGAGAGAUUACAGGUUCCAGCCACAAGAUACUCGGUGUGUCAAUGGCUUCUUUUAUCAUCCUCUCGAGAGUCCAGGCAGGAAAAAGAGUUUUCCUACUCUCAAGAAGGUCGUGGGCUUCCUUCUGUUUUCAUUCGGAUUCUUCAGCCUCCCUAGCCACACGAGCAUUGAUAUCAGCAUCAUUGUUUCGACUUUUUCACUUCAACAAUUCAGUGAUUGUCUCUCUAUCUUCAUCUUCAUCUUCCUCAGCAAUCUUCUUGCAUUUAUCUUUCACACUAGAACCGGAGUGCGUUGCCUUUGAGGAAGGAGGUGGUUAAGACAUUGAUUCCUUCUCUCCCCCUUGUUUUGGAAUGGACACGAAAUCAAGUAGCCCUUCAAUUUUGCUGAGUAGAGCAAGGGCGGGAGCAAGCUUCUCUGCAAGGUCACGCCUCACAGUGUAGUUUAGAAUGGGAUCAUGUGCUUCGAGGAUGUUGGAGAUGGCAGAGUGGACAUCCAAAACACAUGACUUGAUCACCUCCCUUUUAGACCGAAGAGAGUCAAUCUCCUGUUGAGAGUUGGAGAGUUGAACAUUCUUGACCUUCAGAGCGGUGGUCUUCUUGGCUAGAACAUCCAUAAGAGAGUUCUCGGCAGCCAAAUCUUCCUGUAGCUUCGAGAGACGCUCGUCAAUGGCUGUGCGAAAGGCUGAGUUGUCGUCUGAAAGCGUUUGACGAAAUGAAGCGAAGGACUUCAACUCAGUUGAGACUGACGUUUCCAGCUGAUGAACAAUAGGUUCCAGCGUAGUUUUUGUAGCAGUGGCACUCUCCUGUAAAGACUUUAACAAGGUAGAGGCAUCAGAAAAUAGUUUAUCGUCUUUUUCGGUCGCAGCCUAACAGGCUUUUGUUGAGGCAUCUAUAGCGGAGGUUGCAGAAGCAAUGGAAUCUUGCUGAGCUCUGGAGAAAGUGUUAACAAGCUUCUGAACUGCAUCUUCAGAAAGGGAUGACUGAGAAGUGGAAGAGGUGGCGAUGAGCAAGGCAAUCUUGUCAUGGAGCUCCUUGAGAUGUCUUUUUGUGACGGCAGCUUUGUCAUCGUCAUCACUCUGUACUUGAAACGGACUAUAGUAGACCGAGUCAAACGUCAUAUUCUCCCCGCCAAAGAGUGGUUCUUCUCCCUCUGAAGCAUGACCAGGAGAAGGUGGUGAUGGUGAAGUUGGUGGUGCAGAAGUAUGGGUAGGUUCGGGUUGGGUUGUUUCAGGUGUUGGUGUAGGUUCGGGUGCUAUUGUGGUUUCGGGUGCUGGAGUGGUUUCGGGUGCAUCAGUAUGAACCCCCGUAUCAGAUAUGUUGGCUCUAACAUCUGCAGUGGAUGUUGUGGUUGCGUCGGUGAAUAUUGGUGUUGGUAUUGGGAUGGAAGUGGGUGGUAUUGAAGUAGUGGAAGUUAUGGGGGGAAUAGAAAUAGGAAUGGUUUUGGGUGGAGUGUUGCCACGUGGAGAGUCAUCAGAAUCUGAACUCUCACCCUCAGACUUGCUUGAGGAGGAAGCGAUAAUCAGCUUUCACUUCGGAUGAGUUUUUCUUCUCUUAAGCUGUGGAGACUAAGCAGGCUUGGUGGGUUUCCUCUUCUUUGGAGAUGGGCCUUUUGCCCCUUUUGCCACCUGUUUCCCCUUAUCAGCCUUUUUGCCUCUUGAAGCAGGCUUGUCGGCAUCAUGUAUUGACUUCAACAUCUCCGGAGUAAGAUCCCUCGGACCAGAACGCUUGAAUUCCUUGUAUGUCCUGAUAAUCCGACUAUCAGCAGGAACAUCACCAUACAUAGUUUCCAGAAUAGAACCGUUGAAUGGAAACUNAGCGUCCGACACAAUGAUCUUCGUGGUAUGGAAGGUACCAAUCGAAGACAUUGGAGCACCAGCGACAAUGGGGACGUGGUACUUGUCCAUCACCCAUUUCGUGAUAAGAUUCCAGAACCUCGCAUACGAAAUCUCUGAAUGCCUGAAAGUAGAGGAGAGACUCUGGAUGAGUUGUUGCCAUAGAACAGACCCAUAAUCCAUGUUGAUCCCAUUGUAGAUACCAUACAUUAUGGAUAGAAAUAAACGGCUGGAACCAUCAGAUCCAACACUUCUUUCGGAUAACCCCUUGAAGAGAACAGUGAACAUCCCAUUCCACUGUGGAGGUAGGCACGACUUCUNAUGUUAUAAACAUGUUGAACAAGUGACCCAUUGGAAUCGUUUCAGGGUUAACUCUCGAAGAAUCAGGUUCAAACCCUAAUAACGAGCAAAACCUUUGCUUUGAAAUUGACGCCUUGUGCUCAAAGACAUUAAAAAAAAUUCUGUCAACGACCUUGUCGUAGUGAGCGGUCGCAAAGAUCUGUGACAAGAACUCCAUCGGAACAGAUUCAGCCCUGGUAAGUGCAGGAGCGAUUGGAGAAAACUUCAGACACUCGAUGAUGGGGAACAUGAAGGUGUCGUAAGCAUGAGGGGUUAAAUCAAUGAUUAGGCUUUGUUGUGGGCGAAUGGGCAAAAUGUGGGAUGUUGCGUGAACGGAAGAUGAAUCUGCCAUUGCUUGAAGAAAGUGGAGAAGAUGAUGAACAGGGAAGGAUUAAGGAAUUUUUGCUCUCUGGGAAUUUUAAUUGCAGUAAAGAGGUAAACAAAGGAUUAUGUUGCCUUUUAUACUGGGGGUUAAAGAGAGAGAAAGAUCUUCCCAAAUCUUCGAUUGAAAAUCGAAGGGUUUUUCGGAGUUGACUGAUGCGUGACAGUUAGUGUUUCCGAUGAUCACGCAUGAGAGAGAAUGUCAGGUCCCUAAUAACACGCCUUCCCAUCAGGCGCCGUUUGGAGACGAGACGGUUCAGAUUCACACGCGCCCCUCUUGCGCCGUUUGGAGAUGAAACGGUUCCGAUUCGCACGCUUUCCCUUUUAGCGCCGUUUGAAAUCAAAUCGAUUAGACUACCGCCUGAGUCAGCAUGUCAUCAUCUUAUCCCUUUAAAUUGUAAUGGCAUCUUUUGAAAAAUGCUCCCACGUGGAUUAAAAUCAACCACAGCCUUUAAUCAACCGCCAAUCCAAGUAAAAUGCCUUGUAAUUAAUAGAACCUGAAUUUAGGAAAAUCAAAGAUUUUCGUGCUUAGCGUGUAAAAGAAAAGAAACAACGCAAUAUUUUUGGGAAAAUAUGUGAUGUCAAUAAAGACACGAAACAAAUGAUCCCGGGCACGAAUCUCUUCCUUCAAAGUCAAGAGAGACCUUAAAGUGUUUGUGUGGUUUCCCGUUGAAUAACGAUCAAACACUUAUUAAGAAGUGUUGAAAGGCUUCUUUUAACUAGGCUUAUUAGGGUGGCUUUCGCUUCGAUUCAAACUUCCUAAUCUUGAUAUAAGAUAGAAAGCGAACGAAGUACUUGUGAGACCGGUGUAGUCUAUUGAACAAGUAGGUUGGAGAUAAUUUAAUUUGGCUAGGAAAUAUGUAUAUAAAAUCUCAACAAAAAUUUAAAACUGGAUCCCAAGGGAAGAAAUGUUAUUGGUGUUAACAAUUUCAUAGGAAUCACACAAAAGAAAAUUUUGAGAUUUCAUGGAGGUACGUCCGUCAAUGCAUUAGUGAAAACUAGAGCAAAUUAAUUGUUCACCGUCAAUUCGUAUUGGGUAUUGAAUUUUGGGUUUCACUUAGAUCGUAGUGGCACGAAACUAAGAUCAUGAACACAGUAAUUGUGUAACCAUAAACCUCAGUGGUAAUUUCUGAGAGUCUCAAGGGUUACGUUUGUGAAACGAAUGUGAUGGAGAAAUGCAAUUUAGAUGGUGUAAGAAAUCAAAGUACCUCUGCUGUGAAAAAUAGGACCAAGCAGAAAACUCUUAUCUCAUGUGAGAAGAGAGUUAGGUAGCUCAUGAUUAGAAUAAAUAUGAUAGCCUAAUUGGGAAGACAAGGUUUGUGUAUACCAAGUCAUUAAGGCUAUUAUUCAGAAUCAGGUGAGGCUUUGGACACAUACAGCAGCAUGCUUCUAGGGACACUUAGCUAAUUCAACAAUUUCCCCAUAAACGAACACACAAAUAAAAUUAAAGCCAAAAAGAAAAUAAAGAACAAAAUAUUUUUGGAGUUUUUGAAUUUAUAUAAAAAAUAUAUUUUUGGAAUUUUUUGAUAAUAAAAAAAAAUAAAAUGAAAUAAAACAUAAGACAAAAAAAAAAACAGAAAAAAAAAAUUGGAACCGAUCCCGAACGUUCGGUGUAUUUUGGUUGUGAAAAACUUUGGAACCGAACCCGAGCGUUCGGUCUAUUUUGGGUGAGAAAAAUUUUGGAACCGAACCUGAACGUUCGGUAUAUUUCGGUUGCCAAAGAAAAUAGGUUUUAAAAAGAGAAUAACUUUGACAAUAAGAUAAAUGCAUUUGGAACAAUUAUACAUAAGAUCUACAACCAAGAAAACUACCUUUGAUUGAUGAGCGAAAAGCAGAUUAUUCAACCGAACCCGAGCGUUCGGUUCAUUUCGGUACAUUAGUACAAGACCCGAACCCGAAUGUUCGGUCUAUUUCGCUUCUUACUUUUGAGUUUGAGAGGUAAUUUUUGGUACUGACUCCGAUUCCAUCAUACCUAGCCCCUGUAGAAUUUUGUUGAACGACGCUUCAAGAAGAGCUUUGGUGAAGAUGUCAGCCAGUUGAUCAGUGGUUCGAACAAAAUGAAUUUCGACGUUCCCAUCUUCCACAUGAUCCUUAAUGAAGUGAUACCUCAGUGCUAUGUGCUUAGUCUUGGAGUGUUGCACUGGGUUAUGACAGAUCCUAAUUGCACUUUCAGAGUCACAAUAUAGUGGGAUCUUUUUCAUAUUGAGUCCAUAGUCCUGGAGUUGACUUUGGAUCAAAAUCACUUGAGAAGUACAGGAGGUAGCUGCAAUGUAUUCUGCUUCAGCUGUAGACAAAGACACACAAGUCUGUUUCUUUGAUUGCCAGCUAACUAACUUCCCGUCAAGGAAUUGGCAGCCUCCUGUGGUGCUUUUCCUGUCUAGUCCACAUCCUCCCAGGUCUGCAUCUGAGUAGGCUUGAACGAAGAAGCCUGAGUUGGAUGGAUACCAUAGGCCUAAAGAGGUAGUUCGCUUGAGAUAACGGAGUAUGUUCUUCACUGCAAGCAUAUGAGGUUCACGUGGAUUCGCCUGAAAUCUAGCACAGUAACAAACAGAGAACAUUAUAUCAGGCCUGCUAGCAGUAAGAUACAUCAGAGAACCGAUCAUCUGGCGAUAUAGCGUAAUAUCAACUGCUGGCUUAUCCAAGGAUGGAGUGAGCUUGGUGCCGAACGCCAUUGGAACUUUAACCUUUGAAUCUCCCAUCAUGCCAAAUUUUGCAAGGAGAGUCUUCGUGUAAGCUUCCUGAUUAAUAAAGAUGCCUUCGGGUCCCUGUCUAAUAUUUAAACCAAGGAAAAAGUUAAUUGGACCCAUUGAGCUCAUUUCAAAUUUAGUCUCCAUCAGCUUUCUGAAUUCAGCCGUUAAGCUAGGAUUCGUUGAGCCAAAGAUGAUAUCAUCGACAUAAAUUUGAACAAUCAUAAGGUGGUUACCUUCCUUCUUACGAAAGAAGGUUGGGUCAACCGAACCUUGUUUGAAUUUGGACAUCUUUAAAAACUUGGUUAGCGUUUCAUACCAGGCCCUCGGAGCUUGUUUCAGUCCAUAUACGGCUUUGUCCAAAAUGUAACAGUGAUUGGGGUACCUUUCAUUGACGAAUCCAGGAGGUUGCUCCACGUACACCGUUUCUUCAAGUUCUCCAUUUAGAAAUGCGCACUUGACAUCCAUUUGGUAGACCUCAAAGUUUUUGUGUGCAGCAUAGGCAAGAAAUAUUCUAACGGAUUCCAGCCUAGCUACAGGAGCAAAAGUUUCUUCAUAGUCGAUUCCUUCCUCCUGACAGUAUCCUUUCACCACCAGACGGGCUUUGUUUCGUAUCACGUUGCCUUCCUUGUCCAUCUUAUUUCUGAAGACCCAUUUGAGACCAACAACUGAGGCAUCUUGAGGAGUUGAAAUGAGGCACCAAACUUUAUUCCUUUCGACUUCAUUCAGUUCGUCUUGCAUAGCUUAAACCCAAUCGGAGUGAUCAAGAGCAGUGUUAACUGUCUUUGGUUCAACUUUUGAGACGAAGGAGUUAAACAUACAGAAUUCUACUUUUGAAAAUAAGGAAGUUUGUUUUGCCUUUAGCUGUGAUCGGGUCAGGACCUUUUCAGAGACAUUACCGACAAUCUGGGAAACAAGAUGAUCUCUGGUCCAUUUGACAAGAGGAGGGUAAUUUGGAUCAUAAGAUGGAUCCAAUUCAGCGUUUACCAUCUCUUCUAGUUCAGAUUGACUGUCAUUGUCAUAAAGCAUAUCGGCAUUCUCCCCCUCGACAGAUGAGGUUUCAGGUGUAUCUUGAGUUUCCGGAGCUAUAGGGGUUUCGGGUGGUGUCGAGCUUUUGGGUGUUGACGCACCUUCGGGUGUUGUAGCACUUUCGGGUGUUGUAGCACCUUCGGGUGUUGUAGCACUUUUGGGUGUUGUAGCACCUUCGGGUGUUGUUGUGCGUUUGGGAGCAGCUUGAGAACUGUUCUCCCCCUCAACAUGUGAGCUCGGCUGUGAUGAAGAAGAUGGGUCCUUCCCCUCAACUGAAGCAUCGUGCUGUGGAGGUUUGUUGGAACAUGAUCCUCUUUCAUUCAUUUGCUUGGCAGUACAAUUCGAUUUGCAAUCGUAGCUCUCAAAGACGCUGNNNNNNNNNNNNNNNNNNNNNNNNNNNNNNNNNNNNNNNNNNNNNNNNNNNNNNNNNNNNNNNNNNNNNNNNNNNNNNNNNNNNNNNNNNNNNNNNNNNNNNNNNNNNNNNNNNNNNNNNNNNNNNNNNNNNNNNNNNNNNNNNNNNNNNNNNNNNNNNNNNNNNNNNNNNNNNNNNNNNNNNNNNNNNNNNNNNNNNNNNNNNNNNNNNNNNNNNNNNNNNNNNNNNNNNNNNNNNNNNNNNNNNNNNNNNNNNNNNNNNNNNNNNNNNNNNNNNNNNNNNNNNNNNNNNNNNNNNNNNNNNNNNNNNNNNNNNNNNNNNNNNNNNNNNNNNNNNNNNNNNNNNNNNNNNNNNNNNNNNNNNNNNNNNNNNNNNNNNNNNNNNNNNNNNNNNNNNNNNNNNNNNNNNNNNNNNNNNNNNNNNNNNNNNNNNNNNNNNNNNNNNNNNNNNNNNNNNNNNNNNNNNNNNNNNNNNNNNNNNNNNNNNNNNNNNNNNNNNNNNNNNNNNNNNNNNNNNNNNNNNNNNNNNNNNNNNNNNNNNNNNNNNNNNNNNNNNNNNNNNNNNNNNNNNNNNNNNNNNNNNNNNNNNNNNNNNNNNNNNNNNNNNNNNNNNNNNNNNNNNNNNNNNNNNNNNNNNNNNNNNNNNNNNNNNNNNNNNNNNNNNNNNNNNNNNNNNNNNNNNNNNNNNNNNNNNNNNNNNNNNNNNNNNNNNNNNNNNNNNNNNNNNNNNNNNNNNNNNNNNNNNNNNNNNNNNNNNNNNNNNNNNNNNNNNNNNNNNNNNNNNNNNNNNNNNNNNNNNNNNNNNNNNNNNNNNNNNNNNNNNNNNNNNNNNNNNNNNNNNNNNNNNNNNNNNNNNNNNNNNNNNNNNNNNNNNNNNNNNNNNNNNNNNNNNNNNNNNNNNNNNNNNNNNNNNNNNNNNNNNNNNNNNNNNNNNNNNNNNNNNNNNNNNNNNNNNNNNNNNNNNNNNNNNNNNNNNNNNNNNNNNNNNNNNNNNNNNNNNNUUAGUAGUUAGAUAACCUAGAAAUUUGUAAAGUGUAACUGACAUUUAAUGAUGAAUAAAAGUUGUUUUAUUUAUGAGUAAGGUGUUGCUAUCUCUUGUCGAUCGUUUACUAUAUUUCUUUUGCAUGUUUUGACUUCCAGAAUAAUUUUUGUUUGGUAUAACAUAUUAUUCAAACCUCCACAGUCAGUCAUAUGUCGGAAGUAGGUAUGAAUCAAGACUGUCAUGUUUGGUUGUAGAGGUCUUGGACAAGGCUACAGCAAUCAUGAGUGCUCAUAAGUUCUGAGCAUUGGACUCAACCCACGCUCACUGGAAUCACUUCAUGGAAUUCUAUCUCGAGUGAUCGUGAGACGGUAAUAUCAUAUAAGUCUUCAAACCUAGAGAUAUGAUUUGUUACUUACAAGUUGGUUAUGCAUUGACUGUACGAAACCGCAUUGGUAACUCGAUGUUAUAAAACGUACUUUUGUGUGUAAUUCAAUGAGUGGUAGAACAAACAUAUGAGUCGAAGUUUAUCUGUUCCUUCUUGGAUUAGAAGCUGAUAUCUGGGCCCCUCGAUGAUUUUGUUUUGACCCAUGUACCGGGCCCGGUCAGAACUAAGUUGAUGUGUUCAAUUAAGUUCUAUGUCAAACAAAUCGGAAAUCGGGAAACAAAUGCUGGACAAUAAGCAAGACAAUGUUCCAUGUAUUUGUCCGGCUGAUAUCUAGAACAGAGGAUUAUAUGAUCACUUAUCUAAAAUGGCGUAUCAUCAUCUUCUCAGUUCCGAGAGACCUUGAAAGAGCUACGAUUGCCGGUCGGUUCCUGAAGUACUAGAGAUAUAGUUAUUAGACUUAUCCAAGUGGGAGACUGUUGGAUAAGGUGUCUAAGUCCAUAACUAUUUCUGGUAUGUACUUGACCCGACCCGGCAUGGUCCAUUUGGGUUGCAUGGCACCAUGCAAUUGGUUAGACUAAAUGAGAGAAAUAACAUUUGGAGAUUAUUAAUAUAUUAUAAGUUCUAAUAUAUUAAUAAUAAUAUUUGAUUAGUUUGAUCAAUAAUUAAUUUAGAAUUAAUUAAGUGGUCAAAAGUGAACUAAUUAAAUAUAUGGGUUGAUCAUGUAAAUCAUCCAUAUCUUGUAUAGUGGGCUAAGAGGCUCCAUGGAUUAUCAAGUUGGGUUCUACCCAUAGGAUGCUCCAUGGAUGCUCCAUGGGAGUUACAAACCCAUGGGUCAUGGAAAUGAAGAGUCAUGACACAUUAGGGUUUACAUGGUGUAACCCUAGAUGUGUCAACACUAUAUAAGAAUCAUAUUCUCCACCAAAAUCGGCUACACUAAGAAAACAAGAGGGCUUGGCCGAUUUCAAGAAGUGUGUGUUCUCUCAUAAGUAUUUACAAGAGCAUUUGGUGUUGUGUGAAGCAUUUGAGGCAUCACACUUGGGGUGCUAGGCUCACAAGGUUUCAAGGAACAAAAGCAACAACAAGGUAAGUUAUUCUAUCUUUCAUUCUAGUUAAAAUUGUUCCCCAUGUAUGAUAGAUAGGAAUAUAACCUUGGAAAUCCAACUUUGCAUGAUAAUUAGACAAACAUAGAUCCACGGUUAUUAGGGUUGCAUGUACACUUAGGAAGUGUUAGAAUGCUCAAAACCCAUCAUCUCUUUCUUCAGCUUCUUUUACAAUUUUGUCGUUGAGAUCGAUUUCCCUUUCCCUCGCCUUCCGCUUCAACGCAUCAGCGAUUGUUUCCUCUUCCUCAUCAUUGUCAUCCACUAUUGGACCCUUGCCUUUAUCCUUAGGACCCGAACCUGAAGCAUGCUCAGUCUUUUGUUGUUCUGGCUGGGAAGUGGGAGGAGGUUGAAACAAAGAUGUGCGUCCUUCUCCCCUUGUUUCGGAGGUACCAUCGCCUAUGAAACACCUUCAAUGCGACUCAACAUCCCAAGGGCAGGACGGAAUUUGUCAGCAAGAUGCGUCUAACAGAAAUAGUCAGAAUAGGGUCAUGAGCCUCCAAAACGCUCAAGAGAAUAGCGUGGAUAUCGGAGACACAGCUUUUGACGACAUCCCUUUUAGAGCGAAGCUGAUUAGCCUCGUUGUUCGCCUGAGAAAGUUGGAGAUUUUUGGUCUUGAGUUGAGUGGUCUUGCGAGCAAGCUCAUGCAUGAGUGAGUUCUCCAUGGCUAGAUCAUCUUGAAGCUUGGUGAAACGCUCAUUGAGAGAGGAAAAAAGAGCAACAUUGUCCUUUUGAAUAUCUUGGCGAAGAUUGACAAAAAUUUUCUUCUCAGCGGCAAAUUCUUCUUCGAGCUUGGUUAUUGAGUUGGUCACUUUAGAAGCGUUCAACUCAGCUGCUCCCUAUAAGGACUCAAGAAAAAUGUUAGCAUCUUGAAUUAGUUUAUCGACUUUUUCGGUCGCGUCGGUACACACUUUGGUUGAAGCGGUAAUAGCAUCUAUGGCACGAGAAAUGGAAGCCUCAUGUGCUUUGACAAAGGAGUCAAGCAUUUUCUGAAUAGCAGAUUUAGAAUUUGGAUUGUGAGAGGAAGAAGAGGCCAUGAGAGUGUCAAGUUUUGAAUUCAGCUCCUUGCAACUCUUUUUGGUAAGAGGAGCAUCAUCAUCUUCAUCACUUUGAACACGAUAAGGGUUGUAGUAGAAGGAAUCAAAUUCCAAGUCUUCUAUACCAAGGACAGUGUUGGUUUCGGUUGAAGGUGUGGGAGAUAAUGGUUUGGUUGUUUCUUGGACUGAAGACCGAACCCCUGUAUCAGAUACGUUGGUUUGAUCUCUAGUGGUGGUUGUUUUGGUUGCUUGAGAAAAGAGAGGAGUGGGAAUAGGAAUGGUAGAGGUAGGUUCGGAUGUGAUAACUGGGAAGGUUGUUGGUAAGGAAAUUGGAAUAGAAGCAGGUGGAGAAGAAGGAACUGGGGAGCGAACAGGUACCUCAGGUGUGGGUGAUCUAGGUGGAGUAUCACCACGAUCCGAAGCCUCCUCGUCAGAUCUUUCGCUCUCUGAUUCUGUAGGAGUAGGAGGUUUGUUGCCUGGAGGAACAUACUCAGAAUCUGAAUCACUAGAGGAUUGAAGAAUAAGUCUUCGGGCUGGAUUUUUGAGCUUCUUCUGCUUAGGCUUUGAAGGAGCAGUUUCGUCUGACUUUUGCUUCUUUGGGGUUUGCCCCUUAGCUGGUUUAAUGACUCUCACAUCCUUUUAUUUUUCGGGUUUCUUUCCCUUCUUGAAUGACGUCAACGAGUCAAUUUCGGGUCAGGUCAAAGUCAAACGAAGUCAACGAGAAAAACUGGUCGACUCAAUUAAACCUUGUAUAUUAGGGUUUACUUUAUGUAAUUACUGUACAACUCACUAUUUUAAUAAGAAAGCAUCAUUUGGAAACUCGUGUGUUUAAUUUUCCUUAGCCUUGAUAGUGCUAAAACAUGAACCAAAGCGAUAAAACACUAUUUCACACUCAUCGGGAGUGUGUAGUACACUAAAACAUGGCUUAACGAGGUUUACAAACAUUGCGUUGCGAAUCCGGAUACUUAAAAAGGUCAUAAAUGGAACCACUCUUAAAUCUCUUUCACUCUAUCUCUCCAUAUUAGAAAUCUCUCCCAAAUCUCUCCAAGUAUGUCAAAUCUCUCCUAAAUCUCUCCAAGAAUAUGGAAUCUCUCCCAAAUCUCUCUCAAAAGUUUCUGUAACUUUUUGUAAUCAUUUGGACCAUCCCGACCCAUAACCGGGUCAAAAACGGCUUGAAACGGUGUAAAAACGAGUAAAGUAGCCAUAAGGACCCGAAACCUACUCUAUAGGGCCGAACCCUCUUAGAGCCAAAAGUCCUCUUAAGGACCGAACUGCUGAGAAGCGAACUCUAGGUUCGAACCCGAAGCCUCGAAGACUACAUUUACACAUUAAUCAAAAUAUUGGAUUUUCUGGAACGCACACUACUUUUAAAAGAAAAGGAUUUCAUAAUUGUAUACAAAAACUUAUGAACCCACCAACCUUUGUGUUGACACUUUUUCAAACCACUUGUAUUCUCAGGGAAUCACUAAAUAGGUAAUCAAGUUCUUUUGAGGAUGGGACGUUAAGGCGUCAAACAUUUCACAUUUUGUCAACAUAUUGUAAUUGAUUUGGAAACAUGUAAUUCAUACAAUGAUGUAACUUUUUCAAUUAUAUAUAUGUUGGUUGUGUUUGCUUAAAUCACUAUUGCAAUUGUUGUUAUCAUGCUAUACAUGAAGUCCUCCACCCCCGGACGUUUCCACCAUCCUUGGUCUAGGGGUGUGACAGACACACAGGCAUACAUAGCUUCUGGAAUCGAUCCAAUGAAGAAAAACUUGGAAGGAUCUGUGACGAUAAUCUUUGUUGUGUGAAAUGUUGCGAUAGAUAAGAGAAGGGAGUCCGCCAUGAUUGGAACGUGAAGGCGAUCCAUUGCCCACUUUGUGAUAAUUGACCAGUACUUGCCACAUGAAAUCACAGAAUGGGGAGAAGAAGAGUAUAAACUCUGAACACGUUGUUGCCAUAUGACCACCCCAAAGUCCAGAUUUACACCAUUGUACAACCUAUAAAGCAUAGUCAUAAAUGACUUGCUUGCUCCAUCUGAUCCAGCGCUACGCUCUGAGAGGCCCUUGAAUAAGAGAGUAAAGAGGCGGUUCCAUUGUGAGGGAAGGUAAGACUUAGGGUUUCAGUGUACCCCAUUUGGUAGAACAUCGAGAACAGUUGACCAGUAGUGAUGGAGCCAGGGUUUACCAAAGUGGCUUCGCAAGCAAGACCAAGUAGGGCACAAAAGAGAUUCUUUGAAAUCGAGAUCUUCUCGUUGUGAAUGUCAAAGUGAAUCCUCUCAGCAACCUUGUCAUAAUAAGCGGUUGAAUAGAUGUGAGAGAGGCAAGUCAUGGGAACCACUUCCACCUUUGUAAGAGCAUCGAUAAUUUGAGAGUAUUUGAGACAUUCUACCACGUACAACAUGUAGGGUUCAUAGACGAAUGGUGUAAGGUAAAUGAUGAGGUUUUGUUGUGGCUUAAUGGUCAGAAGGUUGGAGUGAACAGAGGUAUCUUGAACAGAAGACGAUUCCGCCAUUGAUGAAGCUUGAGUAGAAGAUGAUGAACAGUCAAAGAAAUCGCCUUUUUCUUUUAGAAGAUUUUUGAGUGGUAAAAGAGUAAAGUUGAUCGUGAGAAACCCUUUUAUACGUGAGAGUAGGAGAGAGAAUGAUCCGGCUAAAAUCUCAUCCUUUUGUUAAACGUUUCCUGAUGCGAUGAGUAGUAGACAGUUGGCCACCCCGAUGAUGACGCAGGAGAGAGAAAAUACGUUUCAUUUUUUACGCGCCUUUCCAUAGAAAGUACCUUUUUCAAAUCGACGAAACGAUUGGAUAAUAGCUGACUCAUCCAUUAUGAUUUAUCUGAAAUGUCACCCACAUAAUUUACAUGAACCGUUGUCAUUCUUAUUAUAUCGAUUGAAAAUCAUCAUAAUGCUUUUUAGAACCCAAGCUAUAAAGUUAGCUCAUAUAUAAAAUAGAACCAGACUUUUGGAAAAUCAAUGAUUUCCAUGCAUAGAGUGUGAAUGAAAUAGAAAUAAAUCGAACUUUAUGGGAUAUUGUGAUGUCAAGUAAGACAUGAAACAGUAGAUCCCGGGCACAAAUCUCUUCCUUUCAAGUCAAGAGAGACUACAAAGUAUCUCUGUGGUUUCCCAUUAAAAUACGAUCAAAGACUUUUGAAGAAGGAAUGAAACGCAUCUUUUAGAUAUGAGGCAUGUAAGGGUGGCUUGCUCUCUAAUUCAAAUUUCGGUACUCGAUAUAAGACCAAAAGAGAAUGAAGUACUUGUGAGACCAAUGUGGUCUGUUGAACAAGUAGGUUUGAUAUGUAUUUAGUAGCUUGUUGAAACUGAGAAAUCUCAAUAUAUAUAUAUAUAUAUAUAUAUAUANNNNNNGAAACUGAGAAAUCUCAAAAAAAUAUAUAAUUGGAUCCUUGGGGAAGAAAAGUCUUGGUGAUAGACAUUUUCAAAAGAAUCUCUCAAAAUAAAAAGAGAUUUCAUUGGUGAAAGCUAGAACAUAGUAAUUGUUCACCGUCAAUGCAUUAAGAGUAUUGAAUUGUGGGUUUCACUUAGUACAUAGUGACACGAGACUAAGAUCAUAAACAUACAUUUUUGUGUAACCAUAAACCUCAGUGGUAAGUGCUGAUAGUCUCAAGGGUUACAUGAGUGAGAUGAAGUGUAAUGGAGAAAAAUGAUGGAGGUGGUUUAAGAAGCAAAUGUACCUCUGUUAUAAAAGUAGGACCUAGCAGAAAACUCUAAACUCAAUAUGAUAAGAGUAAGGUAGCUCUCGAUUAGAGUGAACGCAACAGCCUACUUUGGAAAACAUGAUUUGUAUCUAUAAAAUUAUUAAGGCUUUACUCAAAAUCAUUUGAGGCUUUGGUCAACAAGCAGCAACAUGCAUCUAAGGACACUAAACUAGUCUUAUGAAAAGAAUUUAUACGUUUUGCAGCUCCAGCAUAGAGAGUAUUUUUGAAAUAAAAUGAAAAAUAAGUGUGAAAGAAAAAAAAUAAGAAAAUUGAAAUAAAAUGAAAAAUAUUUUUGUAUUUUGUUAAAAAUUUCGAAAGAAAAAUAAAAGCAAAAACAAAAUUAUUUUUGUAUUUUAUAUACAUACAUAAAAAUUUGAAAAGAAAAACCUAAAAAUAAGUGUGAAAAAGAGUAUACAAAAGAAUACAUCCAAAGUCCCUUUUAAUGAAAAAGUAGCGAACGAGUUCAGAAGGAUCGAACCCGAAAUAGACCGAGCGUUCGGUUCAAUUCGGUUCCCGGGUGGACCGAACCCGAAAUAGACCGAGCGUUCGCUCUAUUUCGCUUCUUACCUUUAAUGAAGCGAAGGCGAUUUUGGUACUAAUUCUGCUUCCAUCAUUCUUAGGCCUUGUAAGAUCUUAUUGAAACUUGCUUCAGGUAAAGCCUUGGUGAAACAAAGCUGGUCUUUGAUCAGUGGUCCUAACAAAAUGAAUUUCUACGUUACCAUCUUCCACAAGAUCUUUGAUGAAGUGAUACCGCGGUGCUAUGUGCUUUGUCUUCGAGUGUUGCAUUGGGUCAUGAAAAAUCCUAAUUUGCACUUUCAGAGUCGCAAUAUAGUGGGAUUUUCUUCAUGUUCAGCCCAUAGUCCCUAAGCUGACUCUGUAUCCAAAAAACCUGAGAUAUGCAUGAGGUGGCGGCUAUAUAUUCAGCUACACCCGUGGAGAGAGAGACACGAGUUUGUUUCUUUGAUUUCCAGCUAACCAAUUUACCAUCUAGAAAUUGGCAUCCUCUAGUAGUGCUUUUACGAUCCAAUCCACAACCCCUUAAGUCAGCGUCUGAGAAUGCCUGGACAAAGAAACCUGAGUUGGCUGGAUACCAUAGACUGAGAGAGGAAGUUUGCUUCAGAUAGAGAAAUAUGUUCUUCACUGCUAGCAUGUGAGGUUCGCGUGGGUUAGCUUGGAAUCGGGCACAAUAGCAAACUGAGAACAUGAUGUCGGGUCUGCUGGCUGUGAGAUACAUCAGUGUCCCAAUCAUCUGACGAUAAAGCGUUAUGUUAGCAGCUAGCUUGUCCAAAGAUGGUGUAAGCUUAGUUCCAAAAGCCAUAGGGACUUUCACUUUGUAGUCUCCUAACAUCCCAAACUUGGAAAGUAACGUCUUUGUAGAUGCCUCCUGAUUGAUAAGAAUGCCUUCGGGUCCCUGUCUAAUAUUUAAGCCAAGGAAAAAGUUAAUUGGACCCAUCGAGCUCAUCUCAAAUUUAGUUUCCAUUAACUUCCCGGAUUUAGCUGUUAGAUUGGGAUUCGUGGACUCGAAGAUGAUGUCAUCAACAUAAAUUUGGACUGUCAUAAGGUGGUUACCCUCUCUCUUACUAAAGAAUGUUGGGUCAAACGAACCUUGUUUAAAUUUAGACAGUUUUAAGAAUCGAGUUAGGGUUUCAUACCAUGCUCUGGGAGCCUGCUUCAGGCCAUAUACUGCUUUGUCUAGAAUGUAGCAGUGAUCUGGAUGCUUCUCGUUCAUGAAGCCUGGCGGUUUCUCAACGUACAUAGUUUCUUCAAGUUCUCCGUUGAGAAACGCACACUUUACGUCCAUUUGAUAAACCUAAAAGUUCUUGUGUGCAACAUAAGCAAGAAACAUUCGAACCGACUCUAAUCUUGCAACUGGAGCGAAGGUCUCUUCAUAAUGUAUACCUUCCUCUUGACAGUAUCCUUUCACCACCAACCAGGCCUUGUUGCGAAUCACAUUCCCUUCCUUGUCCAUCUUAAUUCUGAAUACCCAUUUCAGACCGACAAUCGAAGCAUCAUUUGGAGUUGGAAUUAGAACCCAUACUUUGUUUCUUUCAAACUCGUUCAGCUCGUCUUGCAUGGCUUGAACCCAAUCAGAAUGAUCAAAAGUUGCAUUCACCAUCUUCGGUUCAACAUUGGAGAUGAAGGAGUUGAACAUGCAAAAUUCUACUUGAGAGAAUAGUGCAACUUGUUUCGCUUUCAGCUGUGAUCGAGUUAAUACCUUUUCAAAAGAUUCCCCAUGAUUUGACUUUGAGGAUGGUCUUUGGUCCAUUUAAUGAGAGGAGGUUAAUUUAGAUCACAAGAGGGAUCCAGUUCUGCAUUGAUUUCUUCUUCCAAUUCUGAUUGUGUAUCAUCAUCAGUGACAUUCGUAUUCUCCCCCUCGAAUGAUGACACGAGUUCAAUUUGUAGAUUAGAACGCUCCCCUUCGUUUGGACUUUCGGUUGAACUUGAUGAUUGUGAUGAUGAAUUCUCCCCCUGAAAUGAUGAACCUUGAUCAUUUGGUAGAGACGAACCCUCCCCCUGGAUAGAAGAACAGUCACCAGAAGGUUCGCUUAAGUCAGGCCUUUCAGUUGCCCUUGGUUGUUCAGUUGCCAUCUUAUGUGCAACAUCGUCAAUAAUUUUCUUUAAACUGUUGAUUCUGUUAUCUUCAGCCUUGGACUCAGAAUCAAUAGAUUUUUUUGGUUCAUCGAAGAGAAGCAUAUAUUGCUCGAAAAGAUUUGAAAUAGGCACAGUGACUUGACUAGACUUUGGAAAGAUAUCCUGCAUUGCACCUUCAGUUGCCUUCAACUUCUUGACAUAAUUGUCAUCGAAAGUGAUAUAGUAUGUAUCUUCAAUCUUCUUUGAGCGUUUAUUCAGAACUCUAUACUCCUUAGAGUUCAAGGAGUAGCCCAGAAAAAUCCCUUCAUUAGCCUUAGUAUCAAACUUGUUUCUAUUCUCCUUUGAAUUGAAAAUGAAGCAUCUUGAACCGAACACGUGAAAGAACUUCACAUUUGGCUUACGGUUGUUCAAGAUCUCAUAAGGAGUGAUUAAGAAUCGCUUGUUUAGAUAUGAUCUAUUCUGAGUGUAACAAGCAAGAGAAAUAGCAUCAACCCAUAAAUAUAAAGGAAAGGAAGCGAAGCUCAGCAUAGUUCGAGCCGCUUCGAAUAGAGAACGAUUUCUCCUUUCGACGAUUCCAUUCUGCUGUGGAGUAUAUGGAGCAGAGAAAUUGUGAGUUGUUCCCUUCUCAGCUAGAAAUCUUCUAAAUUCUUGUUCUAAAAUUCCAAGCCAUUGUCGCUUCUCACAUUACGAACCACUUUUCGUAGUUGAACCUCUACUUGCUUUAUGAAGAGUUUGAGCUUGGGAGUUGCUUCUGAUUUUUGCUUCAAGAACAAUACCCAAUUGAAGCGAGAGAAGUCGUAUAAGAUGACAAGAAUUUACUUGUUUCCACCAAUUCUUUCAAUGGAGGAAGGACCACAUAGAUCGAUAUGUAGCAGCUCUAAUGGUUCUAUAACCUUUGUGUUGAUAAUAGAAGGAUGACUUUGUCGACUUUGCAUUCCAAUUUCACAAGCUGCACAAAGAUGUUCUUUGUCAAAUUUGAGAACUGGAAGACCUCGAACGUGAUCUCCAAGUACCAGCUUGUUGAUAUCUUUGAAAUUAAUAUGAGAGAGCCUUCGAUGCCAUAACCAACUUUAAUCUGAGUGUGCCUUCGUUAGCAAGCAAACAGCUAGUUUCCCUCGAAUUGGAUUGAGAUUCAAAGGGUACAUUUCCCCCUUUCGCAUCGAUUUGAACAAUAUAUUAUUUGACUUCUUUUCGACAAUCUUUGAGCCUUCUUCAUCAAAGGAGACCUUCAAUCCGGUCCCAACUACCAGCUGUGAGACACUGAUGAGGUUGUGCUGCAACCCUUCUGUUGGGUUUUGAGCAUUCUAACACUCCUAAGUGUACAUGCAACGCUAAAUACCUUGGAUCUAUGUUUUCUCUAUUAUACAUGCAAAUAUGAACAUCCAAGAUAUUAUCCUAAUCUAAGCUAUAAAACAAUGAAUAUAACAAGAUAGAAUACAUACCUCUUUAAUGUAGAAUGUCUUCAUGAAGCUUGAGUGCCUAGUUCCCCACGUGUGACACCUCAAAUGGUUCACACAACACCAAAUACACUUGGAAUAACUUGAGAGAAAUCUACACUUCAUGAAAUCGGCUAGCCCUUCUUUUUCACUCACUAGUGGCCGAUUUUGGUCAAGAAUAAGAUGCAUAUAUAGUUAGGGUUACACCAUGUAAACCCUAAAUGUCAUGGUCUUUCAUUUCCAUGAUCCAUGGGUACAAAUACACCAUGGAGCAUCCAUGGACCAUCCUAUGGGUUUUAGCCCAACUUGAUUAUCCAUGGAGCAUUAGCCCACUAUACAAGUAUGGAUGAUUUACACAAUCAACCCAUAUAUUUAAUUAGUCUUCUUUUGAUCACUUAAUUAAUCCUAGAUUAAUUCUUGAUCAAUACUAAUUAAAUAAUCUUAUUAUUCUUAUUAUUAAUAUACUAGAACUUAUAAUAUAUUAAUAACCAUAAGUGUCUUAUUUCUCUCAUUAUAGUCUAUCCAAGUGCAUGAUGGUAUGCAACCCAAAUGGACCAUGCCGGGUCGGGUCAAGUCUUACCAAAUAUAGUUAUGGACUUAGACAUUAAUCCAACAGUCUCCCACUUGGAUAAGUCUAAAACUAUUAUUGCGUAUGACUUCAGGAACCAACCGGCAAUCGUAGCUCUCAAAAGCUUCUGUCGAACUCUGACCUUGUAGAUGAACUCUGACCUUUGUCAGUGACUUGUCCAUUAGAUAAGGGAUCAAAUAUUCCUCCAUUCUAGAUAUCAUAUGGACUAAGACAUGGAUUAUAAUCAUUCUCUCUGUCCAUUUGUUGUUUCCCGAUUUCCGAUUUAUGAUGACUGACUAAUUUAACAAAUCAAAUCAGUCCUGGCCCGACCAAGCACUUCCAUUUGUCUUCAUCAAAUCAUCGAGGGGCCCACAGAUAUCGCUUUUAUCCCGAAGGUAAAAGGAACGGAUAAACUUCGACUCAUAUGGCUUGUUCUACUACUUGUUGAAUCAUACACAAAGGCACGUUUUAUAGCACCGAGUUACCAAAUGCGUUUUCGUGCAAUCAAUGUACUAUCAACUCAUAGUAACAACUCAUAUCUCUAGGUUUGAAGAAUAUAAGAUAUUAUCGUCUCAUGAUCACUCGUGAUAAAAUCCAUGAAGUGAUUCCAAUGAGCGCGGGUUGAAUCCAAUACUCAGAACUUAUGAGCACUCAUGAGUGUUGUAGCCCUUUGUCCAACACCUUAGACCUCUACAAGCCAACCCAUGACAGUCUUAAUUCAUAUCUACUUCCAACAUAUGACCGACUGUGGAUGGUUUGAAUAACUUAGUCAUUCCGGAAGAAUAACCUAGUUUAUUCGGGAAGUCAAAACAUGCAAAGUGAAACACAAUAAUAAUUGAAUCCAAUAUGGUAUCAAAACUUUGAACAUAAAUAAAACACCUUUUAUUUAUCACCAUAUGAUUACACAUUAUUCAUUGUAUACUGUUUCAGCUAUCAACUUUAUUCUUGAAUUUAAAACAAUAGUUGUCCCAUGCUCCAAGCAUGUACACUAUGUUUUCUUAAACACUAGUCAUGCCACACACCAAGUAUGCAUACUAUGUUUGUCUAUGAUCUUUACUUUGUGAACUAGAUCAAUUGAACAUAACUUCAAUGAUUCUCUUUUCACACUCCCAAAUCCUUACUGCAAAUGCAAGAAUUCCAAAUUCAUGCCAUUUACUGAAAUCUGUUAGAUUCUAAACUUAUAUGCAUUGAUCCUCUUGUAAUGAUUAUGCACAAAGUCAGAAAGACUUGACAACAAUCAUUACAGAGUAUUCCAAAGGAGAUCAGCUCCUUGGAAACAUCCUUCUUGCAUUAAGUUUCCUAAUCUUAAACAGAUUGAAAAUUCUAACUUUGAAACAUUUCCAGAUUCCAUUUUGACUAUCACUUCUGAACAAGAGUUGCCUCCUUACAGAUUAUGUCAAUAUGGUCCUUCCAGAAUUAUCACUAUACUUCCAACUGUCCUUGAGCAACCAAUCUUUGGUAAACCUUAGAUUGUCCUCGACAAUUGUUUAAUCCUUUUAGUCAUAUCCAGUUCUAAACCUUUUCCCUUCUUAAUGCCCCAGGCAUUUGGAAAAUUUUAGAACGGAUGAAUAUAGCACAUGUAAUCGAUCCUAUAUCCGAAGCAUAUGGGACACGAUUCAUGAUGUCUCACAUAAAGACUAAACCAGUCUUUUGCUAUAACAUUUCCAUUUCUAUUUGCCAAGUUCUCAUAAUUCAGAUUAUGAAAAGGGAUGCCGUAAUCAUAAUCAAAUUUUAGAACGCAAAUAAUGGACCCAUAUACAGAAUUUCUUUAUGUUGAGCCAUUCCAACAUGAAAUUCAUAUAUAUAUAUCCUUGACUAAAUACGAUUAAAACCUCAAUCUAACCUUUUAGAUUUGAGAUGAAGUAUAAUUUCCUCUCCCUUAAUUAUAGCAAAACAAGUUUUCCCAAUUGAAACCUUUUGUUUUCUAUAAAAGUAAAUUAAUGAAAUCGUCCCUAUGGUUUGGUCAAAAUUACACGUUUGGUCCCUAACUUUUUUUUGCACUCGAAUCCUCCCUGUGGUUUGAUUUUGUUGCGUUUUUCGUCACUAUGGUUUGGUAAAAGUUGCAUAUUUGGUCCCUAACUUUAUGUAUGUAAGGGACAAAAAAUGCAAGGGAUGAAAAACGCAACAAAAUCAAACCAUAGGGACGAUCCGAGUGCAAAAAAAAGUUAGGGACCAAAAAUGCAAUUUUGACCAAACCACAGGGACGAUUUNCUUUUGUUUUCUAUAAUUAACAUUGCUAACUUGCAAUACUUAUCAUAAUUAUCAUGCUCCCACUAACAUGAUGAUUAUUAGCAUGACACUUAUGCUCCCACUAGCUUUGACAUGUACUCAGAAAUUAGCUGACUUUCUUACCAAAGUUCAGAUUUCUGAUACUAGAUUGUUUUGAUAAAACCUUAUCAUAAUCAUACACGUUCUCUUAGAUAGCUUAUAGGUGUGUCUAAACAAUUUCAAUAACUAUGAAAGGGAUGCCGUAAUCAUAGUGUUGAUUGUUUUGACCUUUGCCACUUCUCAGAAGUCCAAGUUAGUGUGCUGGUAAACCACACACACUCCACUAACGACUUUGAGAAUGCAAAUAUCACAAUUGCUAUCUAACUAAANACUUAGUGAAAGUGUUUCCUCACCAUCAUUUUCAUGAAUCGGAGAGAAACCUUAUGACACUUAGAUUUAAUGGUGUAUGUGUUCUUAUCCAUGUGAAUUGUCAAAACCAUAGUCACAAGACAAGGAUGAUGACAAAUCCAAACUCAUAUGGACUGAACUCAAUCUUAAUUGUUGGCCACCUGGCAGCUCAAGGGCCUGCCAUUGCUUCCAAGUUGUUGUGCAACCAAUUGAGAACUCUAAGAACUCAUAUGCAAAGCCAACUUUAAUUGGAAUGGGCACAGAAUAUGUCAACACGAUAGGUUAUAAACCUAAAGUCGUGUGCUAGUGACAAACUUCAGGUGUUAUUCUUGAUUAGUUCUUGAGACUUUCAAGUACCUUUAAGACUCCCACUGUCCUCUUGACCUAUAAGACUCCCUUGUCAAACAUCCAAGAGAUAGUGCAGAUUCUAAUCAAGACAAACACUUCACACAAUUGUCGUUAGUUGGUCUUUGUUUUAUCCAAAACAUCACAACUUACCAAUUUCAAAUGUACAAGAGUAGGAAACUUUUACUCUUACAUUUGACAAGUGUUUUAAACCUUCUUUAAGACAUGUCACUCAAAUUACAAUCUUGGAGUAUGACUCUAAGACUUGUAUUGGAACGAAGUAUGACUCAUCUUCUUGAUUUAACCAUUUCAACAAUUCAAGAUCCCUCUUCUUAGUCAUAAGAAUGCACUAAGAUUUCCUUAGAGAACUAAUUGUGCUAUGGUUUCUUAAUCAUUAAGAUGAUCACAAAACUGAUACUAAAGUACUCUCCCAUCUUUUCAGAUUUGAGAAACUUCUAUCCUUCUGCCUAAUUUGAUUCUUCUUAUUCGCUCUGCCAUACAUUGGAACCUUUUCCAAUGUCUCAGAGUUACACUUAAGCUUGUAAGUAUAAUCAUAUUUACUGAGUUUUAGUAAACUAUGACGAAUAGUCUUAUCGAUCUUUUGUGGUGGACUUGACCAGUGCACAAGAAUGUGUACUCAAUCCCUUAGUCCUUCACUUGACUCACACAUCCAUGUGAAGAAGUAGUUAGUCUUAAUUUUUUCAAUGCUUGAAAUUUCUCAUUAAUCAUGCUAUACAACUUGCAUGAUUCCAAGUUUCUAUCCAAUUGAAACUUGGGUGAUGAGAAUCUUUCCUUAUUUGGUAAAUUUAGACAUUACCACAAAUGAAAGAAUCAAAUUCAUAUUUCCACUCUUGCUUUUAAUGGAAUCAUAUAAGCAACAAUUUUUCCUCAAAUGCCAUUGCAAGGAUAUUUUAAAAUCAAUAAAAUCAUCAUUUUUCCUUUUAUUUUAAAAACAUUGCAGAAAAACUAUCCUUACAAUGCAAAAGAGCAUGAAAACUUUGUUGUUAUCUAUUCCUAAGCAAUAUCUCAAAACUCCUAAGAAGUAGCUCAAGAAUCCAAUCUUCAAACUAUGUGAUAGAAAUCCAUCUACGCGAUCAUAUUCAGCAUAUUCUUUCUUUAAGUUCCUUUGCUUUUCUUUGAUUCUUAAAACAUCAACAUGUGACCAAGUCACAUCAUGUAUCAAGAAUCUCAGAAUAGAAACUUAUUAGAGUUGAUAGUGAACUUUACCUGAAGUAGAGUAAAACUUAUUGACUUUAACAUCCUUAGGUAAAUUUGGCAGCUUUGUAACUAAUGCCCCUUCCUUUGGCAAUAUAAACAUAUGGAUCCUUUGGUAAUGGUACACGGAACUAUCACAGACUUAACUUUUCUCUUUACCAUUUGGUCAGCUGAGUUGACUAUGGCCGAUCCCUUUCCAUUGGGAAGAGAAAGCUUUACUGGAUAUCCAAUGUCAUCAUUGUUAAUGUCCAUAAACUUUUAGGAAGUUGAUCUUAGCAAAUAGAUAAGAUCAUUAAGGGUCUUGCGAUAGUCUAUUUCAUUGGUGUCCCAAAGGAACUCACUAUGUGACUUAGAAAGUGAUUGAGCCACCAACUUUCUCAAGACUUUGACACCCAACUCUCCCGGCUUGUCAAUAUGUGUCUACAUCUCCAAGAUGUGACCACACAUAGACCUUUACUUUCCAAUAGGGCUUGAGUGACCUUAAACUUUUCAAGAACUUAUGGGUUAGGGAGAAUAAUUGGAGGAGGUGAAAGAAGUAAGAUUUCCAAGGGACAUCAUCUUCAUUUAGGAAAGCUUGUUUCAAGAGAUUUGUGAAGAUCAUAACUGUCUAAACCAAACAUCUUUUGGGAGAUAUUCAAGAUAGUUGAUCUAAAGUCCUUAAUAUGACACCCAAUAUGAAAUAUUAAGGCUAGGACCCAACAAACUAUUUUAUAACUUAGAAGAGGUAUGCCGUAAUCCAAGCUAUAAAAUAUUUGAAGGUAGGUGAAUGACGAUUCACCAAUUUCCACCAAGAUAAACGAAAUGUAUUAUUAGGUUUUAAUUGGAUUUGAAACUCCUAGAUCUUUGAGAUUCAUUGAACUUUUCAAAGGCAUGUUUCAAUCUCGAGUGUGCCCUUCAGGUUUUGUGACUGGGAUGCCGAGGAUCACAAAACAAGGUGUGAAGUAACCAUGCAAAUCACUUGGUACCCUUAAUAAAUUACCCCUCAAUCGAUGUGCCGGUUAACCACACACGCUCCAUCGAUACUAUGAUAAAUAUUAAGUCACCCUUUACCUACCUUGUUAAGUCCAAGUUAGUGUGCCGGUUAACCACACACGCUCCACUAACGACUUAGACAAAGUGUAAAGUGUAAUUUCAUGGAUUAGCACCUUAUUCACAUUUUUCCUAAGUAACUAAGAUUGGGUAUUAUUAAGAGUUUAGUUACUUAGUAUUAUCAUUAAUACUUUUAAUGAAGGGAGAAUUCUAGUCCUGUCAAACCCGUUCGGCUAACGACCCUCCACCAGUCAAGCAAGCGGUGGGUGAGAGUGGACACCCAUUAAGUUGCCAUUUUAUAGGCAACAACCUUAUACCCACCUUAUAGACCGGCUUCGUGAAUGAGGCGUACUAGCGGUAAGACUGACUUUACUCUUAUACAUAUAUAUAUUAUUAACUUAUAAUAUUAUAAAGUAUAAGGGUUGAAUUUUAACUUUUAAAAUUCUAAGGGCUAACUUGGAAUUAAAGUAUUCAUAAGUGAAAACUUUACAAAUUCCAAAACUUGAGGGCAAGUUUUGAAACUAUUCAAAACUAAUUAAUUCCAUAACUUAUGUGUUUAAAGUAGUUUUAAUCCAAAAACUCUUCAAGUUCCAUAACUUGAGGACAAGUUAUGGAAGACUUUAAACUAAUAAAAGAAUUAACUUUUCUUUAUUUUAUAACUUAUGGAAUUAAUUAAGGUUACACUUUUUUUUUUUUUAUUUUAUUUUAUUAAAUGAAGAGACUCUUGGUCCUCCAUAACUUGAGGACAAGUUAUGGAGUCAUAAAACCAUUUAAUUAGAACUAGACUCUUCAUUUUUGUAACCUUUGCCAAUUUUUAUGAGUUUUAUGAUUCUUAAAUGUGACUUUUCAUAUAACUUGAGGACAAGUUACAAAAACACAUUUUAGAAUCAAUUCUUAGAUUAAUUUGGAUUAAAACCAACUAUCACAUAAUUUUAUUCAUUAAUCUAAAUUCACUCAUAAAACAAGGUAACACAAAAAACUUUUGGUGAUCCAUAACUUAUUCUUAAGUUAUGGAAUCCUUUAAAACAUUAACACCAAAUUUUGUAACUCCAAAAAAACUUUGAAUCAAUUUUUUUUUUAAAACCUUUUCAUAUCCAUAACUUAUGGAGGUUUCAAAAAAUAAAACUCUUUAGAUCAAACUUUUAAAACUAAUAAAAUAAUCAUAUUAUUUUAUCUUUUAUUAAAUUUGACCUAAUUCAACUCAUAAAGCAAAUUAUUCAAAUUUUACAAAUAAUUAGUUUUUCACAAGAACAAGUAAUUAUCUUAAAAUUUGACAAACUUCAUGUUUUUUUUUUUUUUUUUUUUCAACUUUGAAAAUAAAAUAUUUGCAUCAAUAUAACAGAAAACAACCCGUGGCUCUGAUACCACUGUUGGGUUUUGAGCAUUCUAACACUUCCUAAGUGUACAUGCAACCCUAAAUACCUUGGAUCUAUGUUUUCUCUAUUAUACAUGCAAAUAAGAACUUCCAAGGUAUUAUCCUAAUCUAGCAUACAAAACAAUAACUAUAGCAAGAUAGAAUACAUACCUCUUUGGUGUAGAAAGUCUUCAUGAAGCUUGAGUGCCUAGUGCCCCAAGUGUGACACCUCAAAUGGAAUCACAAUCAUCAAAACACUUAGAAUGACUUGAGAGAAUUCUACACUCAUCAAAAUCGGCUAGCCCUUUCUUCACUAUCUCUAGUGGCCGAUUUUUCCUCAAUAAUAAGAUGCUUAUAUAGUUACACAAUUAGGGUAAACUCUUAAUUGUCAUGGCUUUCCAUUUCCUUGGAUCCAUGGGUACAAAUACACCAUGGAGCAUCCAUGGACCAUCCUAUGGGUUUUAGCCCAACUUGAUUAUCCAUGGAGCAUUAGCCCACUAUACAAGUAUGGAUGAUUUACACAAUCAACCCAUAUAUUUAAUUAGUCUUCUUUUGAUCACUUAAUUAAUCCUAGAUUAAUUCUUGAUCAAUACUAAUUAAAUAAUCUUAUUAUUCUUAUUAUUAAUAUACUAGAACUUAUAAUAUAUUAAUAACCAUAAGUGUCUUAUUUCUCUCAUUAUAGUCUAUCCAAAUGCAUGAUGCCAUGCAACCCAAAUGGACGAUGCCGGGUCGGGUUAAGUCGUACCAAUUAUAGUUAUCGACUUAGACAUUAAUCCAACACCUUCAACGUAUGGUACCUUUCUGAUUGAGAAAUCGCCAUUUGUAAUCAUCCCAUAGCCUUUGAUAGUGCCAAACAAAUUAUUUCCAUAUUUUACCAUUCCACCAUCCCCGAGAGACCGAAACUCCCUCAGUUCUUCUCUUCUUCGUAUCAUGUGAUGCGAGCAGCCACUAUCAGUGUACCAUUCUUUGUUAAACUGCUCGUCACGUAUAACCUGCAAAAUAUCAAGCAGAUUUAGGAACCCAAAGUUUCUUGGGUCCUUGUGAGCCUUGAACAGGACAUGGAAUAGUAAGAGAAACAUCAACCAGAUAACUUCUUUUUAUUAGAGUUGUUUCAUCUCUUCUUUUUAUUGUAAAAACUUUGAUUUUGUUUGAAUUAGACUCAUUUGAUUUAGAUGUAGGAUUUGUAGUUUUGAAGUCUGCAUGCUUUUGGGUCUCUUUCGGCCAUCUGUCGUCUUCUGGAAAGAUAUUUCCUUUCCCCUUUGAAUGUUUAGAAGAAGAAGAAUUAGAAUAAGAAUGAGAAGAUUAAGGUUUAGAAGCAAUAUUAGAUCGUCGAUUAUUCCUCUUCCUUGGUUGAGAAUGAAAAUAUUCUUCCCUUCGGUUCUUCUAAUUGAACCUGGGACUGAACCCAUCCUUUCGGCUGCUUACAUGUUGAGGACCGAAACCUUCCUUUCGGUUACUUGCAUGUCGAGGACCGAAACCUUCCCUUCGGUUGCUUACAUGUUGAGGACUGAAACCUUCCUUUCGGUUGGCUCUUGGUUCUCCUUGUGACUUAUUUGUCUUUUCAUACCUUACGUAAUGAGGAUUCUGGGUCGCCAAAACUGGUUUCUUUCUGAGAGAUUCUUCUUGUAUCUCAGGUUACAUUGGUGUUUUCGUUCUGCCACCGGUUAUAGAUUUUUAUGAAUAUUGUCCUUUUUCUUCGGUACUUGAGCAUGGCUUUCGCUCUUUGAUGAACUCGUCUCACUGGACGCUGUCACUGGUUCGCCCGAAGAUGUUUUGGUGCCGCUUGUGCUUGGUACAUCAUAUCUUGUAGGUUCAUUAAGUGGUUCUGCCACAUACUUACCCUUCACUCUCCACGAGGUUUUCUGAGAUAGACCUUUUGUUUCAUAAGUGUUAUCUAUAGGUGCUGACCAGAAAAAUUCAUCACAUCCAUUAGCAUUAUCUUCUUCUACCAAUGCUAUCAGUUCGGCUGGUUGUUGUGGUGUGAUUCCUUGAACUGUGUAAACUUGAUUUGGAGUGGUUUGAAUCUUUUGAUAUACAACAACUUUUUCCUUGAGGAUUUUGGUCUUGUCUGUCGAUGAGCGAGUGAACUCAACGGAGUUUUUAGAAGUUAUAUUUUUACUAGUUUCGGGUUCACUCUUGACAAAUUCAGAACAGUCCACCACGUCCUCUACAGAUAUUUCACUCAUGUCAUCAUCCUCAUUAAGUUUAGAUUCAUUUUUGAACAUCAAUUUUAUUUUCUGAACUUAACUUGGCAUUUAAUGAAUAAGAUUUCGGUAUAGUUUUGGUUCUCAGUUUUAGUCUGUCGUUUUCAUCCAACAGAUUUUUGAGCAUGUCCUUAUGGUCUUUUGACUUUAUGUAGGACUCUAUUUUGUCAAGACCAAUUUUGUAGGUAGGAGAUAUUUCGUCAGAAGAUACAACAUUUUCAUAGUUGUAGGCUUCGGCAUCAACUUCAUCCUCCUUUAACUCAAGGAAGGGUAAAAUCAUGCAAUGUAUCUUCUUUACUAUUUCACAAUCAAGAUGUGACUGAGUGAUAUUAAAAUAUAAUCUUUUCGCAAUCAAACAAAAACAUUUCGUUGUUUUAAAAGCUUAAGAUUGUCUCGUUGCAAAUAGAUUAACUCAUCCUUAGACCUAAUUAAUUCCUUCUCCUUCUAAUCAAUCCAGAUUCUCCUCUCCUCACUCUUCGAUGAUAUCCUGCUAAUUUGAUCAGUCAGGUUAGAGUUUGUGACACGAGUUUGGGUAAGACUACUAUUUAAACUAGCGAAUUUAGAUUUUAAGCUAUUUAGUUCCUUUUCAUAGUUAGUAGUAGGAAUUUUCAGAGAAGUGAGAAUAUUUUAUACCUUCUUGAUCAACUCAUCACAUCCGUUGAUCUGUGCACUGACAGGUUUCGCAGCGAAACACCUGUCCUCUCACUCCUUCUCUUCAUCCAGCCCACCAUCUGUUGUGUAUCCUCGCAUCUGUGAUACACCUUCCAUCACCAUCAAACAUCUUCCCUCAACAUUUUCUUGCCAUGAGUCAGCUUUCUCACUUCUUCGUCCUCUGAAUCUGUGGACCACACCUGCACUCCACCAAAUUCAUCAUUAUCACCUGUAUCCUGUACAAUCAAAGCAUUCAUGGUGUUAUUGUUAGUUGCUGAUUUCUUUUUCUUGAUCUCCUCCAAUCUUCUCAUGAGAUUCGCUUCCUCAUCGUCUUCAUCAAUUUUUUUCAGAUUUCUUCUUCAACACACAGUCUUUGACAAAGUGGUUCUUGCCUCCACAAUAAUGAAAGUCAAAACCUGAGUCACCACCAAUCUUUGUUUCCUUCUUAGAUUCUUUAGACCUUAAACCCAUCUUUGGUUCCUCCUUCACCUUUCAGAACUACAACUUCCCUGCCAGUUUCGGUUCUUGUUGGCGGGGAACUUCCUUUUGAUAAACUUUCUUGGAUUCGAAACCAUCAAGGCAUAGUCUUCACCGGUUAGAUCAUAGUCAGCUAGAUGUAAUUCUUCUUCUUCUUCAACAACACUCUUUCCAUUGGAGAUAAGAGCUAACGAACCCAAGCUGGAAACUACAUUCGUUUCCUUUGAUACCGCACUUUCAUGUGACUUCAGAACUCCCACCAGUUUCGCCAGAGAGUAUGAUUUGAACUGUUCGUGUGCCUUCAUUGUGGACACAACUGUCAUCCAAUCGGGUCCAAGACCAUUCAUGAAGGUAACCUUCUGCUCAAUAACCUUCCUUUCGAUCCCGUGCUUUAUCAUCUUACUGAGAAGAUGAUUAAACUGAUCAAAGGCCUAAAUGAGUUUCUCUUUAGGCUUCUGUUUGAAAUCACCAAAUUCAAAAAGCAGCAAGGUUUGAAUCAAUGUUCCAGAUCUUCAUCACUAGACUUAAAUUCCUUUAACCUAUCCCAUAUUUCUUUUGUUGUAGCACAUGAACUCACCAAUCGAAAUGUAUCCGAUUAUAAAGCAAACCUAAUCAUUCUUAAGGCUUUAAUGUUGCACUGGAACUUUUCUUUCUCAUCUUGAGGAAUGUCUUUCACAUCAUUCACGAGCUGAUUGUACUCCUUUUGAGUUUUGACAAUCUUUGAAGUGCUUGAGUGAGCAAACGGACCAACUAUGAUUGCUUCUGAGAUCAAGUACCCAUUAUCCUCUGAGCCGAUUACUUAAUCUUCAAAGUGGUGCAUCCAAACUUCAUAAUCCUGAGUGUAUAAGAUUGGAAUCUUUGUUGUUGAUCCAAUACUGUUAGAGAUGUUGAUUGGAUUGGAUUGUGUAGAGUCUAUGUGUUGUAAAAGUCGAAGUGUUAGUUUCUUUAAGUUUCGCAUGUUAGUUAUGUUACUAAGUCACAUUUUGUGCGAAGUGUAUUGUAAUAGACUUAGUAUAUUUUUUGUUCACUCGAGUUGCCUAUAAAUAGGGACUGAGGUUAGAAGUAGAAAGUGCUUCUCACGAGUAUUCAUACUGCUUAUUUUGUAAUCAGUUCUUUAUCAAUAUAAGAUCUGAUUAAUAUUUACUCUCACUGUUCAUACUUUUCAUUCAUUCAAACAUGAUUGCUUUUUAAAUCUCAAUAACAAUUCUCUUCAAUUGGUAUCAGAGCAGGAUUCAAACUGCAUUGAUCUGAUUUUUGUCUUAGAAUCAUUUGCUUUUUGAGUAGUAACUUUACUCAAAAUUUUCCGCGCAUUUUGGUUUUGAAAAUCACUCUUGAUCUUCAGAUUUGAAUCGAUUAUGCAUUUGAAUUGUUUAGUCGAGUGAUCGAUUAGCAAUCUGUGAUCAAUUCGUUUGAUCAAUUCACAAAUUCAUCAGGUUUUUCAAGAUUUCUAAAAAUUUCUCGUGUUCAUCAAUGCCGAACAUCAACAUGAAUACCAUGACAUCCUUCUCUCACUUACUCGGUUCUUCAACCAAAAUUCCGAUGUUAAUCCCUGAAUACUAUGAUUAGUGGGCUGAUAGGAUGGAGGAUUACUUAAAUGGAAUCGAUGAAGAGCUCUGGAAUUGUAUCAUUGGAAAAGGUCAACUUCCUAAUAAUGUUCAACAACAUGGACAAUCUACUUCUUCAGAAGAAGUUGCUAAUCAAGAAAUUCGCAUGAAGCAAAAAGAGAAGAGAUGCAUGAGGGAACUAAGAGGUGCUUUUGCCUCCUGUAGUCUACAAUUACAUUCGUAGUUGUAAAACAGCAAAGGAAAUCUGGAUCACUUUGAAAGAGAAGUAUCAAGGUAGCGUAAAGAUGAAGAUCAACUCUGUGAAACAAUGUCUUGUUGAACUUAAGGAAUUCAGAAAAAAGGAUGUUGAAACUCUCAAAAACUACUAUGAUCGUCUGAAUGAGCUUGUUUAUCGCUGCAAUUAGUAUGGAAUCUCAAGGUCUCUCAUGGAAUUCAAUCUAACAUUCAUCAUGGGCCUUCGCAAGGAAUGGAGAAGUGUGAGUAUGAUGAUAAAGAAUCAACAAAGUUUUGAUACAACCAGCUUGAAUGAUCUCUACAACCAGCUGAAAACACAUGAAAGUGAAGUUUUAGAAAUGUUUGAGGAAUCAAAACAAAGUCUAGGAGGUCCUUUGGCUUUAGUUUCAAAGGUUACUGAAAUUGAUACUGGUGAAAAGGAAGGAUCAGAUAAUGAAGGUUUCUUAAUGAACUCUGAUGAUGAAGCUGUUGCAUUCUACUCAAACAACAUAGUUAAGAAAUUUUUCAAAAAGCCUUUUAGUCCAAAAGGAAAGUCAAAUGAUGCGAAGAGUGGUGUUGCAAAAGCUAGAGGUGAUGAGAAGAAGAAAUUGGAAAAGAUUAAUGAAAAGCAAAAAGAUGCGAAGGAUGUGAAGAAGCUAAAAGGUGAUUCUGGAAUUUAUUGUCACUACUACAAUGGUGCAAAUCACUUCGCAACUGAUUGCAUGCUGAGAAAGAAAGAGGAGAAGAAGAGCAAAAUUAAAGAUGAAGCCUACUAUUCCGAAAAGCUCGAAGAAGUGCGUGCAAAGGCGAAAGGAAUGUCAUUAGUAGCAAAAGGAGAGUCUGAUGAAGAAGAGAGUGGAACAUAUCUGAUCUGGUCUUCAGGAUCUGAUGAUGAAGAAAUGAGGCAUCCAACUCAUGGUGCAAUGUUCGCAAGCUUUGAAGAAAAUUAUGAAGAGAAUGUUGCAGGACGAUGCUUUGAGUUUAAAUCCACAGACAAAUCUCCAAUGACUACCAAGGUACGUGCUAUUCUUGAAUCUUUUAAUAUUCCUUUCUCUGCUUAUGAUGCUGAAAUUACUUCAUUUGAUGAUAUUGUGGCUUAUUUUGAUUUUGUUAUUGUGUCUGCUAGUACUGAAGCUCAAAAAUUAAAUAUGCAACUAGUUGAGACACAGAGAGAAUUAGAAAUAAAACAAAGCAGAGUAGAUAAACUUGAAUUGCAGAUCAAAAAUGUAAAUUGUGAUAGAGACAAUCUUGGAAAAGAUGUUAGGUUGUUACUAGCACAAUGAAAUAUCUAUUGUAACUCUGCUAAACAUUUGUAUGCGAAAUUAACUGCUUUACAUCAUUCAUCUGAAAUUAGCAGAGAACAACAUAGGAAACUUUUACCUUUUCUUGAAUAUGAACGUGAAAAAGUUUGUGUUGUUUCUUAUGAUUGUGAAAACACUAUUGCACAAUUUGACAAAGUACCUGAUGAUAGAUUCGCAUAUGGUAUUGUCAAAAUUGAUGAAUUCUUGAAUGUUGAUGAGUUGGUUGAAAUUGUUAAUGAAAGUUUGACAAAGAAUGAACAAGUGAAAAUCUUAAAGAAAACUGAAAACUCAACUCUUGAUUCUCAACUCAAUUAUGCUGAUGUCGAUGACAAUUCAGAUAAUGUGAGUGAAAUCAGUAAGAUUGAAGAGGAAGAAAAGGUUGAUUGUUCUCAAUUGUCAAUCAUUAAUAUCACAUCUAAGAUCAAAGGUAAAGAAAUUAUACUUGAUUCAAUAGUAAAGGAUGAAAAUGAUAAACCCUCUACUUCACAACUUAGUGAAUUUGAUAAUGUGGAAGUUGAAAGCUGGAAGUCUGAUGACACUGAUGAAGAAAAAGAAGAAGUGAAGAAUUCGCAUGAGACAACUCAACGAGUUGUUGUUGAUCAUGUGUUUGGUGAUACAAAAGAAUUUGACAAAAUUCUUUGUGACAAAGGUGUACAUUAUUUGGAAACUAACACUGUGGUUUAUCCAAAAUUUACAUGCACAGAUAACACAAUUUUUCCGAAUCAAGUUUUUGUCACAACUGGGAAUGUUGAGAAUAUUAAACCUGAAUUCAAUAAAAUGGUUGAAAAUGAUAAUCAAAGGUCAACUACUGAAGGUUUCUUUGCAAAUCAAAACACAGUAGAAAACAAUUUGACUCAAAAUUCUUAUGUUUUUCAAAGUCAAAAAUCAUCACAAAAAUGGGUGGUUAAACGUCAAAAAGAAAACAAAGUUUUUGAAAAAGAUGAAAAACCAAAAAUGGAAGUGAAACUAAAUUCUCAUGAAUUCAAAUUGAUGGUUGGAAAGUAUUCAACAUAAAAUAAUGUUUCAAAAAGAAAAGCAAGAAAAGCAAUCUUUUGGCAAGUUGUGUCAAAUGAUAAAUCAAAAAUUGAAAAAGCACAAAUUUCAAAAGAAAAAUCAUCAAAAGUUCAAAAGGAUACAAGUUUUCACAAACCAAUAUAUUCUGUUGACAAAAUUCCAAAAAAAAAUAUUGAUAAAUUUGUUCGGAAAUAUGACAACAUUAGAAAAUUUGAGACUUCGCAAAAAUUUGUGAAUAAUCAUAAGUUUCAUAAUGUUGGAAAAUCAAUGAAUAAUUCAUCAACUUUGAAUGUCAAAACUCAAGCAAAACCAAACUUUUCACCAAAUCUACCAAAUUUUCCAAAUCCUUCAAUCUCAAAACCGACCAAAGUUUCUUAUACAAAAGGAAAAUCUGAUGUUUAUACGAUCAACCGUUGGCUUGAAGGGAAAGGAAAACAAUAUCAAAAUGGGAAGUUCUCAAAGCAACAGAUAGAGACUGCAUUUGACAAGUUCAUGAAUAACUCUUCUAUGGGUAGUUCAUCAUCUCAUGAUUCGCAAGUUCCAGUACAAAAAUGGAAACCAAUUAUCAAAGUUGCGAAUGUUGUGAAAGAUGAGAUGACAGUCAUUGGAAAUCCAAAAUAGUUGAACAACUAUAUUUCAAUAUCUAGAACUGAUGAUGUUGAUUUAAUGGAUAGUGUCUCAGAUAAAGUGAAAACAUGGUAUUUAAAUUCAAAGAAUUUGUUCAAAAAUACUAAUGAUGGACCCAAUAAGUUUUGGGUUCCUAAUUUUUUUUCAUUAAAUGCAGGUGAUGUGUGAGGAGCAAUAUGAUGCAAAAUGGUAUAUUGAUAGUGGUUGCUCUCGUCACAUGACUAGAAGAAAGGAAAACUUGCGAGAUUAUAGAAGCUUGGAGAAUGCUGGAGUAGUCAAAUUUGGAAAUAAUCACAAAUGUCAACUGAAAGGAUAUGGAAAAGUCACAAAUGGACAAUUCACAGUUAAUAGGGUUGCUUAUGUUGAAGGUCUUCAACAUAACUUGAUUAGUGUUUCGCAACUUGUUGUGGGUACUGGAAAUCAGUUUGUGUUUAAUGAAGAAGGAAGUAUCAUUUCAAAUGCGAAGACAAAUGAAGUACUUCUCAAAUCCAAAAGAUAUGGAGAUAUGUUUACACUGGACAUCAAACAAAUCGUGGGCAAACCUGCUGUGUGUUUACUAUCAAAGGCAUCUAAUGAUGUUAGUUGGCUAUGGCAUAGAAGAUUGUCACAUUUGAAUUUUCGCAAUAUUAACAAACUUGUCACUGAACACUUAGUUCGAGGUUUACCUAUACUAAAAUUUGACAAUGAUACUUUAUGUACAGCUUGCGAACAAGGAAAACAACAUAGAAAAGGUCAUCUGAUUGUGAUAGAUUCAAAAAUCGUAGAACCAUUGGAACUUCUUCAUGUUGACUUAUGUGGACCGUCGACUGUUGCUACAAUCAAUAAAAAGUGGUACAUUUUAGUUAUUGUUGAGGAUUUUUCUCGAUUCACAUGGGUAUUUUUUCUCAGGUUAAAAUCUGAAGUUGCUCAGACGAUGAUUGAUUUUAUCAAAAAGAUUGAGUUUAGUCUUAAAAAGAGUGUUCACAGAGUUAAAAGUGAUAAUGGUUCUGAGUUUAAAAAUCAAACACUGGACUCUUUUCUCACAGACAAAGGCAUUCCGCAUAAUUUCUCUUCACCAUAUACUCCACAAUAGAAUGGUGUUGUUGAAAGAAGAAAUAGGUCUUUAUGCGAAGCAGCCAGAAGCAUGUUGNACAUAUGUGAACUUACAUCAAUAUCUUUUGGCUGAAGCUGUGUCGACUACAAGUUUUACUCAGAAUCGUUCAUUCAUUCAUCGAAGAUUCAAUAUUACUACAUAUGAAAUACUCAACAAUCGAAAACCUAAUGUAAAAUUUUUCCAUGUUUUUGGUUGUAGGUGUUUUAUAAUGAUUCUAAAAGAUAAUUUGACCAAGUUCCAAGCGAAAGCUGAUGAAGGCAUAUUCUUAGGAUAUUCGCAAAAUUCAGUUACAUACAGGGUGUUAAACAACCGAACAAGAAAAAUUGAAGAAAAUUUCAACUUAACUUUUGAUGAUUACUAUCUUAAACAAACGGAUAGUAAAUUUGAACAUAAAUCAAUUCUUGUUAAUUCAGAUACUAAGAUUGAUAAUUCAAAAAUAAAUGAUUUUGAUUAUGACUUAAUUUUUGGAACUCCUGACAGGGCAAUAGAUGCGGAAGUUAAUGCUCCUGAUAAUCAAACAUCAGAAACCUCAAAACAUAACGAUGAUUCAACAAUCACUUCAACGUCGAUAUCUUGUGAAAGUGUGCUUGAACUUCGUAUGGUGGCAGAGCAAACUUUCGAGGGGGGAAUGAAAGUAUGAAUCUUCAAGUUGAGGGGGAGCAUUCGCAAAAUCAACAGGAAUAUCAUUUUGAGGGGGAGCAUCAAGAUGAACAUCAUGUUGAGGGGGAGCAUGAUGAAACAUAGACAAUUAAUCUUGAUGAAAAUGAUGAGUUUCAUGAAUUAAAUGAUAAUUUUUCUGUUGCAGGAUUUGAAAAUGAAGAUAUGUAUGAAGAUGCACCAUUGGAAUUUAAUCAUGAUUUUCCACCACUUGAGAAAUGGACAAGAAAUCAUCGCAAAGAACAGGUGAUUGGGAAUCCACAAGAUGGUGUGUUGACAAGAGCUCAAAUUCGUGCGAAAAAUGAGGUACUAAAUGCGAACCAAGAAUUGUGUAUGUUUAAUGUCUUUAUUUCAAAAAUAGAGCCAAAGACAGUAAAGGAUGCUAUGGCACACUUAGAUUGGGUUGUUGCUAUGCAAUCUGAACUGGCUGAAUUUGAACGAAACAAGGUUUGGAGAUUAAUUUCUAAACCUUCUGAUGUUUCAAUUGUCGGAUUAAAAUGGAUUUUUAAAAAUAAAACCGACAAAGAUGGCAAUAUUAUUCGCAAUAAAGCUAGACUAGUGGUUAAAGGUUAUUCGCAACAAGAAGGAAUAGACUAUGAAGAAACAUUUGCUCCUGUUGCAAGACUCGAAGCAGUUCGCAUAUUUUUAGCUUAUGCAGCUCACAAAGACUUUGACGUUUUUCAAAUGGAUGUUAAAUGCGCAUUCUUAAAUGGAGAACUUGAAGAAACAGUUUAUGUUGAACAACCACCAGGGUUUAUAGAUAAGGAACAUCCUGAUCAUGUCUACAUUCUAGACAAAGCAGUUUAUGGGUUAAAACAAGCACCAAGAGCCUGGUACGCAACACUUACAAAUUUCUUGAAACAAUCUAAAUUUAAACAAGGAUCAGUUGACCCCACUUUGUUUCGCAAGAAAGUUGGGAAUCAUCUCAUGCUUGUUCAAAUUUAUGUUGAUGAUAUUAUUUUUGGCUCAACUGACCCAGCAUUGUCAAUUGAAUGCGAAAAUCUAAUGAAGAGUCAAUUUGAAAUGAGUAUGAUGGGAAAAAUCAAUAAUUUUCUUGGUUUGAAUAUAAGACAGAACAGGGAUGGAAUUUUAAUCAAUCAAGAAAAAUACACAAAGAACUUGCUUGAAAAGUUUGGAAUGACCAACAGCACGAAGCUGAGAGUACCUAUGGCAGUGGGAACAAGACUAACUCCUUCAUUAGAUACUCCUGCUGUUGAUUUAACUGUAUAUUGAAGCAUGAUAGGGUCUUUAUUGUACUUAACUGCAAGCAGACCUAAUAUUAUGUUUUCGGUAUGUAAUUGUGCUAGAUAUCAAGCUAAUCCCAGAGAACCUCAUUUAACUGCAAUGAAAACUAUUUUUCGCUAUCUUAAGAGGACUGUUUCGUUAGGACUUUGGUAUCCUUCAAAAUCGGCAUUCUUCAUUCAAGCUUUUUCAUAUUCUGAUCUAGGAGGAUGUACAUUGGAUAGGCAAAGUACAAGUGGUGGAUGUCAACUAUUGGAUGGGAAGUUGGUGAGUUGGCAAUCAAAGAAGCAAACUUGUGUUGCUAUAUCAACUGCUGAGGCUGAAUACAUUUCAGCUNUCGCAAAUUAUUUGGAUUCAGAGUCAACUUCGUGACUAUGCAAUAAACAUGAAAAAUAUUCCCUUGUAUUGUGAUUCGCAAAGUGCAAUUCGCAUUUUUCAUAAUCCAGUACAACAUUCAAAGACAAAACACAUUGCUCUUCGAUAUCAUUUUAUCAAUGAUCAUGUUGAAGAUGGGAAUAUUGAAAUUCAUUUUGUUGUUGAUAUUUUUACUAAACCUCUUGAUGAAAAAUUAGUUGUAAGAAUUUUAGCAAGUUUGGGGAUGAUUGAUUUGAAUUCAGUUUCAAAAUCUCAAGAAUGAAAGGUCCAUUCAGCAGUUCUGAGUCGAAAUCGUUCAGAAGUUACUGUUCAUUCAAAGGCUUCGCAUGGCUUCGCAUCCGUACAACUGGUAACUAAGAAAUUUUUUGUUUUGUUUUCAUUUUCAAAAAUUCAAAAAUCCAAAAAUAUUUUAUUUUGUUAUGUUUUUAUUUGCGAAAAACUUGAAAAAUCAAAAAUAUUUUUUUUGUUUUGUUCUUAUUUUCGAAAAUCCAAAAAUCCAAAAAUAUUUUAUUUUGUUAUGUUUUUAUUUUCGAAAAAUUCAAAAAUCACAAAAAUAUUUUUUUUGUUAACCUUGUUCUUUAAGUAUUAUGUGUUUUUAGUUUAGUCCAGUGCUUAAUGCGAAGAGGUCACGCAUGUAUGUUUCUAUGGGAAGGUAUUGUUUUUUUUAACUUGUACUAGUUAGGAUGUCCCUAGAAGCAUGUUGCAGCAUGUUGACUCAAGCCUCGUAUGACUCUAUGUGUGAGAAAUGAAAGCCUUAAUGAAAUCAUCUCAUGAAAAUUUCUUCCCAAUAAGGCUUGUAUUCGCAUUAGUCAAAAGAGCUACCUUAUUCUUCUUAUAUGAGUUAAGAGUUUUCUGUAUGGUCCACACAUAACAGAGGUACAUUCGAUCUUAUAACCAAUCUUUUUCAUCACAAAAUUCUUAACACAAAUCACACACAAAGACGUAUGUCCGAGAGGUCUCUGAUCAAACCCAUCGAGACCUAGAUAUACAAACAUUCUGUGUUAAUGAUCUGACAUCAUGAGUCCAUGAUAAAGGUGAAACCCAAACAUCUUUCAACUUAAGGAAUUGAUGGGGAACAUUGUUCCAGAUAUUAACGAAACUUUUGUUUCAGUACCAAAAUUUCGAAACUCCAAAUCAUAUUCAAUUCACAUGCAUGGUCUUGAUCAAACAUUCGCAACCCACGAUGUUUGUUACCCAACAAGAUCCAGUACAACAAUUUUUUAUGAAUAUGAUUUCAGUGUGAGUUUCAUUUGCAAAUCCUAGUCAUGAUAAAUAUUUUCAAAAGCCAACUUGUCACUGACUACACUGGUCAUACAAGUAAUUUCAGUUACAAUUUCUCACCUUAUGUUCAGGUUGAUAUGUAAUGAAUUUUGAAAUCAACCAAAAAAUAUCUUUCAAAAGAAGCCCUUUGAUACUUAUCAAAAAGUAUUCGAUUGUAAUUCAUGGGAGCAUACACAAGCUGUUGAUCAUCUCUCUUGAUGAUUAAUGAAGCAACCUUUGCCUGGGGUUUAACUGCCUUCGUGUCAAAUUGAAUUUUUGACAUCACAGAAUUCCAAAAAAAAAUUUGUUUCUUAUCUUAUUUCUUUGGAACACUGCACUCACGAAAUCCUUGAGGUUCUGAGUAAUACCAACUCAGGCUGAUGAUUUCGCAAGUCUGGCAUAUGACUUCACUUUACAUCCCAAAAGUGAAAGAGCCUUUCCUCCAUGCGAGGGGUUCUAACGGUUACAAUUCUAUAACGGGAAAAUUGACAGGCUGUGUACACGAGACGUAUGGUAUUCUGUCCGGUUUUCUAGGCGAUGUGGCAGCUGCUUUUUGAAAAAUGGCUAACUUUUCGUAGUAAUGGUUUGAUUUUCAAGGUGCCACAUCGGAUUACAUUAAAUGCCUCCCGCUUCAAAUUCAAAUCAUUCAAGGUUACAUAUAAAAAGGGGUUCAAGAUUAUCUUAAACAGUUACGCAAUCAAACUCAUACAUUCACAAAUCCUCUGAAUCUUCAUCUUCUUCAAACCCUAACAAUGGCUGCUACUCAAUCCAACACCGAUGAAGUUAUCUCACAGACUCUAAUGAAGAUUCAAAGCACCAACUAUCUUUUUGAUCCUAAACUCUCAUCUUACCCAGAUGAACUAAAUAUGUUGAUUGUUGCAUUGAAAAGAUCACCUUUAGCAACCACAAUGUUCAGUUCUUUUCCGGUUCUGAUGACAUGGUUGUCAAUGGCGGCAUCAACAGCAUCCUACAACUAUGCCACUGAUGUCAUCACCUUCCAAUUGAUGAAUAACAAGAGGGUUCGUUUGAACAAGAAGAUGUUCAUUGAUUUCUUAAACAUUCCCAAUAACCCUCCGUUCUUUAAACCCAUCAAUUCACAAAUUAUCUUUAUGUUCAAUGAGAUGGGUCAUCAACCUACUCUUGAAAAGAUAAGUGAUUUCAGAAAAUCAAGUUUACCCUGCAUGUGGAACUUUCGUUUUUGUAUCUUUCUAUGGUGUUUAACAGGGAGAACUGUCGGUCUAGACAGGGGUCGGAUGGAAGUGUAUGCAAUGGUGAUGGGUCUGUAUUAUGAUGUGAGUGUUGAUUAUGGAACACAACUGUGGAAGGAGUUUGUCAAAAGUAUUGAAAACACAAAUGCUGAGAAAGGAAUUUCGUGUGCCAGAUACUAGAGUCUAAUUCUUGAGAAGGUGUAUGAAAAAGAAGGUAUUCAAGUUCAAGAAGAUGGAGAGGUUGCAGAAUUUUCAUUAUAUCAUUUUCCAAAAGUAGUUGAAGAUGAUGAAAAUAUCUUCACCAACGUAGCUCGCAUUCCAGAUGUGAUGCUUCGCAAAGUGCACUCAACUCAUAAAAUUCGAUAUAUGAAAACUUUUGAUCCAGCUGUACAAACUGGAGUCUUACUGGAAGUUGCCGGAGAAUCCUCCAAGAAGAAGAAGAAAACUCAGAAGGCAGAAAAAGUUCAAUCUUCUAAAGUCUCCCAAGCUGAAGAGGUUGAGAAAGAAGAGACUUCUACAAAAGCGAAGAAGGAGAUAAUACCCUCAAAAUCUGGGGUAUUAAAGAAGCUUCGUAAAUCUUCUCCUAAUAUUCUCAAGAUGGAGAUCAGAAGUAAGGGGGCAGCAUUUCGCGAAGUUCCAGCUCCUGUUUCUCCAGGAUCAAAGCGAAAACGAGCUCAGGAUGUUGCGAAGCAUAUGCAACAAACACUUUCCAAGAAACGCAAGUUGAUCAUUCGAAAUGAAUCCUUUGACGAAGAAGGUGUUCCAGAGACUCCACCUGUUUCUGUUGUGGUAACUGUUUCUCUUCCACCUGUUUCCAUUCCUAUUACUUCGCAAAAUUCCACAACAACCUCUAUUCCACUUGAAGUAGUCACUACCAAAUCAGUUUCUGAGGAGGUACCUACUUCCGAUAUGGUUGUCAACGUAUCUGAUAUGGGGGCACCUAUUACAAGUGUCGAAACCACACUACCUAUCAGACUAUCUGCUUCUUUACCCAUCUCUUCUGAGAAUAUAUCUACUUCAUUACCACCAUUUUCUCUUCCAACCACUACAAUCACUACUUCAUCUAUUUUUUAUCAUCCUCUACAACAUCCAUUUACAACAUUAUUUCCAUCACAAUCACCUGAAACUCCUCAACCGUCACAACCUAUAUCCGAUGAUGAAACCGAAGGAGGAGGUUGUGGAGGGACUUUUGAGGCACUACAUUUCGAUUCAGAGGAGGAGGAGAUACCUGAUCAUAUGCUUAUGUCAGGUAAGCAAUUCAAAAUCCUGAACCGAAAAUUAAAUGCCAUUAUUCAGUCACAAGCAGAUUCUGGUUCAAAAUCAACAAUAACGGGAUUGGAGGUGGAAUAUCUGCUUAAAGAAGCUGAGAAGAGAAUACUUGACAAAGUAGAUCAAUCAGGCAAAACAAUGAGCUUCACAUUAAAGCUCAAGGGAGUUCGUUCAAUGGAGUUGUCAAUGAGUUGAAAAAUAUUGCAAAAGAACGUCAUGUUCUUUUUGUACAAGAUGUCAAGAAGGUUAGGGAAGAUGUGAAUUUUAAAGUUGAAGAAUUAAAGCAGGAACUUGCGUAUGAGCUUCAUGAUAUUACUUCUCAACAUUUGGAAGUACAAAAGAGAGUUGAUGUGGUUGCUACGGCCAUGAACAAGGUUAUCACAGAUUCUCAAUCUUCUACUCUGGUUCUUGAAGCCAACCAAAAAGAAAACAACGAGAAAUUUGAUAAGUUAAUUCAGUUGGUGACUGAAUUGAAAACUUUGGUUUCGCAACCUACCUCUCAGAAAAUUCUCACUCCUGAAUUCUUUUCUCUCAAAGUCAAUACUUUGGAACAAGCUAUUCAGAAGGCAUUAGCCCCAAUUGCGAACUUUACUUCUUUAUUGCCAAAGAAUGCCCCACCUGCUUUCAAAGGGGUGCAAGGGGGAGAGAAGAAAGCAAGUAAAUGGGAUGAUGCGAAGACAGUAGGGAAGGUGAUAUCCACUCAACUCAAAACUACUUUGCCAGUAUUCACGAAGCCAAUUUCCUCAACUGUAACAACAACAAAACCAAUUUCCAAAGGAAUCACAAUUGGUUCAAAAGAUGGAGGUAGUUUGAGUGCGAAACCAUCAACUGAGAAUACAGGGAAAGGAAAAGGGAUAGCGUAUGAAAAAUCGAAAGAAGAAAAGAAAGCAGAAGCAAAAGCUGAAAUGGAAAAAUUAAGACAUGUGCAGAGUAUCAUGAGGCAAAGGGCAAGUGAUCCACCAACAAUGAACAAAGGUGAUCCUACGAAGUUAUAUUCGUAUGAAACAAUUGAAUCCAAAGUGUUAGGGAAUCACUUAUAUGAGUUCGAGAAAAAGCCAAGAAAGAGUUAUGAUGUUGUGAACUCUAAUAGAAGCCAACUUGAUUUUUCGAUAAACGAGAUGAUGUUUAUCACGGCGCAGUACAAGAUAAGUGAAAAUUUUGAAAAUGUUGAUGAAUACACUUAUUUGAAGAUUAGAUUUCAUGUUGUACUUGCGAAGGAUCAAGAUGAAGUGUGUUCCUUAAUGAAGAUAAAGAAAGUUUUAACAGUUAAGAAGGAUGUGAUGUUUGAAGAUAUGCUUCAAAACUUUCGAUAUUUUGUGGUUCGAGCAGACAACAAGGCAUUCGACUUCACCAUUGCUGAUUUUCCGUUAAUGAAUCUAAAUGAUCUCAUUCAAUUGGCAUCCAUUCUCAAAGACAUGCAAGAUAACAAGCUGAAAGGACAUGAUACUAAUGUAUUCAGAUUUGGUUUCGCACAGAUCAAGAUAUUCAUAGAUAACUACUAUGAUUGUUGGGCGUUGACUGAUGAAGAACUUGCAGUGGGUCUUGGAAGAAAAGUUACAUUUGCUUGGGAAUCAACCUUACCUCAAACAGAGUUAAGGAAGUAUGCUGAUGGAGAAAUUUGUUUGAAACCAUUUGGAAUGGUUUUCGUAGGGAAGGAUACAAAAGGAAAGCCGAAGAAGUUUUUGUUCAAAGUCUCAGAGGUUGAAAGAUAUACUUCUUCGCAAUAUACAAAUUUUAUUGUUCGUAUGAAUAACUGCAAGAAGAACAAUGAAGGAGACAAGAAGGAGCUUAAGAAGAUAAUUACUUGGUAUUCUGAAAUUCGAUGAACUAUGCACUCAGCUAUUCAACAUCUCACAAACUGAAUAGUUUCGACUGUUUACAAAGGGGGAGAUUAUAGACUCUAUGUGUUGUAACAGUCGAAGUGUUAGUUUCUUUAAGUUUCGCAUGUUAGUUAUUUUACUAAGUCACAUUUUGUGCGAAGUGUAUUGUAAUAGACUUAGUAUAUUUUUUGUUCACUCAGGUUGCCUAUAAAUAGGGACUGAGGUUAGAAGUAGAAAGUGCUUGUCACGAGUAUUCAUUCUGCUUAUUUUGUAAUCAGAUCUUUAUCAAUAUAAGAUCUGAUUAAUAUUUACUCUCACUGUUUGAAACCAUUUGGAAUGGUUUUCGUAGGGAAGGAUACAAAAGGAAAGCCGAAGAAGUUUUUGUUCAAAGUCUCAGAGGUUGAAAGAUAUACUUCUUCGCAAUAUACGAAUUUUAUUGUUCGUAUGAAUAACUGCAAGAAGAACAAUGAAGGAGACAAGAAGGAGCUUAAGAAGAUAAUUACUUGGUAUUCUGAAAUUCGAUGAACUAUGCACUCAGCUAUUCAACAUCUCACAAACUGAAUAGUUUCGACUGUUUACAAAGGGGGAGAUUAUAGACUCUAUGUGUUGUAACAGUCGAAGUGUUAGUUUCUUUAAGUUUCGCAUGUUAGUUAUUUUACUAAGUCACAUUUUGUGCGAAGUGUAUUGUAAUAGACUUAGUAUAUUUUUUGUUCACUCAGGUUGCCUAUAAAUAGGGACUGAGGUUAGAAGUAGAAAGUGCUUGUCACGAGUAUUCAUUCUGCUUAUUUUGUAAUCAGAUCUUUAUCAAUAUAAGAUCUGAUUAAUAUUUACUCUCACUGUUCAUACUUUUCGUUCAUUCAAACAUGAUUGCUUUCUAAAUAUCAAUAACAAUUCUCUUCAGAUUGUGAAUCGUCCAUAUACAUUGUGAUGAUGUUUGAUCGAUAACCUAUUUAAGAUCAUACAUGUAAUUUAUCGAUAGGGCAAUAUCGACAAUUAAUGUGAUACGCCAAUUUGGUAUGACGGCUCAAUUAAUAUCAAUCAAUGCAGAAAAACCCUAAUAAUUUCUUCAACAUAAGAGAUGUGUAUGAAUUACACAGCCUCCUGCUCUGAUACCAAUUGAUGAGAAUAAAUCUCUAGAUCGUUUAGAUCUAUCACAGGUAUAUUAAUAAAGAACAAACUAUUCAAUCAAAACACGAUAAAGAACACAAUAUAGAAUCAAUAUGAAGCUUAUGAUUCAAACAUAGUUACGCCUCAGUAGAGCUCGAUAAAGAACUUCCACUGUAGAGUUGAGCUAGGGUUUACAAUACUAUGAUAAGAAAAUAAUUAAAGCGCUACUUACUAAGGAUGCAUGCAUGCACCUUAAAUAUUAAAAACCUAGAAUAAAAUAAUGCAUGGUUGGACAGGCCCAAACCCACUACAUAAUUGGGCUAAAAAGAACGAGCCCAAGAUGCAACAUCAUAAUCCCAACAACUCUCCACUCCGAAUUCCUAAUGAUAUUCCGGAAGAUCCUCUUCCGAACCCCACUCCAGAAUAUGUAGUGCAUGAAAACAUGCAGGUCAUCAUAGCCGCUAUAAAAAGAGACAAAGGCAAAAAGCCAAUGACUGCUGAUCAACAAGUCGUCCACUCCAGACAUCCUCUCAAGCAAAAACAAGGAUGGUCCUAGGAGGAAAUCAACAAGGCAUUAGAGGAUAGCAUCCGGAUCCAAGCUUUUAAGGAUAAUCCGGAUCCGAUACGUGGGAUAUCUCCUCUUUGACGUGAAGGCAUACUCCGAGAUGAAGAAAUCGUUCUGUGUAUGUACUAUGAUCUUCCAUCCAACGAUUCCGAACAUCUCGAUCAUCCUCUCACUCCAUACAUCAAGUACUACAUCAAAUUUGCUCCUCUUCACCCAAAUGACGAUCCGGAAGUGAUCCUCCGGAUGGAACAUGAAAGGCUUGAAACAUUCUACUCCAACAAUUCUCAACCGUUUAAGGAGGUAUGGACCAGAAAAAGAAUCACCCAAGUCCAUGGAUUUGUAAGAAAAAUCCUACUGAAAUUCGAACUUAACUGCCCACUAUUUCGAUUUCAUGUCCUCUGGAACAAACCUACCCACCGAACCAUUACUCAUGCAGACUUCCCUUCCUUGAAUCCGAACGACAUCCUGACUCUGGCUGCUCACUUUCGAGGAAUGCAAAACAACGAUAUCGGCAUGGGUGAUUUCCAUGCUGCACUAAGCUUCCUCAAAGAUUACGUUGCAGAAUUCUGCAGAUGCGACUAUGAGUUGGCUCAUCUCUACGGAACUAAAGACUUCGUUGCUAAGAUCACCUAUGUUCUUCCGAAAGCUGAACUGCUUGAAGAUGGUCCAAUUGAUGAUCCGGUUCUAGGGUUUGUCUACUCUACUAAGAAAACAAACAAGAAGGACUUUUCUUGUGUCCUUGACAAACACCUACUCCCAACCAAAGCACUUCGGAAGUUCAUCUCUCGAGCCUAAAAGUAUAAAGCUCCGAAAAAGGUCAAAUCAAAGUUUGUAAGUCAAUUGUCCUGGUAUAUAGAAGUCAGAGAAUGGUUGUUCCAGGCUUACACCUUCAUCAAGGAAGAAGCAGUAUAAUUGAAUGGAUUGCUAAGUUCACUUAGGUGGACAUUGUUGGAACCAGAAAGUGAACCUCUAGAAAUCCUAAGUCUAAACUCCGAAGUACAUGGUCCAUAGUCAACUGUGAAGAGUGGUCUGGAAUCUUUCCGGACCAGAAGAGAAAAAUAUCAAAAGCUGAAGACAUUCCGGAAUGACUCUCAUGUCCAGAAUGGAUGAAGAUCCGGAGUCACAAUUUUUGUCUUGGUGCAUUUAUUAAGUUUGUCUUUGUAUUGGUGUAACUAUUCAUAGGACUUAGUCUUUUGUAAUAUUAGACAAUCAGAAUUUCAGAAACAUUUCUAUUGUCCAGUCUUAUAUAGGAUUUGUAGUUAAUUCGUUGUAACCUUCACUCCUAUUUAUAGGAGCUUUCAAUGCAAAGUCAAAUACGGAUCAUUCACUUAACUUUUGGCACUUACUAAGUUAUUUAAAACAUCUUUCAAACAUUCUUCUUGUUCUUCGUUUAUUAGCUUUACCUUGAUCAUUUAUUCUCAUACUUCAUUUAUGACUUGAUCAUUUAUUGAAUAUAUUAUCUAAGACUUGACUGGUCUUUCCAGCCUUGACUUGAACAUUUGUUAAUAAGUAGACACUGAUCUUAAGCAUUCACUUAAGGUUUGAGUUUUCAAACCUUGUCCCUACGCAUCAGAUCUAUUUUGUUCUCUCAGUGCAAAUAUGGAAAGUAGUUGCAGCAAGAGAAUUCUUCCCAUAAUUAUUCUUUAGGCAAGAGUUGAUGUGUAGCUUAGGAAAGUAGGUAGCUCCACAAUUCAUGUCUUGAAUCCAUUCAACUGUAACCAUGGUUGUUUCGAAUGGAGGUAGAUCCACACGAUUGAUAACCAUUGGGAGAAUUUAAGCAUCUAUGGAUGCAAAGUAAAAGACGAGUGAUUUGAGAAUAUCACAUACGUUUCCAUAUGCUAGUUUGAAGUUAUGGUAUUUUUCAAUCUUCAAGCUGAAGAUCCUUGUGAUGAGGAAUAGCUCUUCUAGAUUCAUGCGGAUGAAUUUAGCUUGUGUUCUGUAAAAUUUAAUGCCUUUACAAGUAAGAGUGUAUUGAAAGAUAUCGACUUUUAAGUUUUCACAUGCCUCCGACUGACUUUUGACCAAAUGUACUUGAUAUAUUUGUUGUUUUUGUUAUUAAAUUGGCAGAGUUUUUCAAAUUCCAUUAGGAAUAUUUGGGAGUCAGGAAUUGUGAGAUCAAAUUUCAUGAACACUUUGAAGACUUGGUCAUUUGGGGAUAGAGGAAUAUCCUUGUACUUUUCGUAUCAUGGAUUUACGAAGGUUUGAUGAGGAACAUGCUAUUCAUCAAAGAUCAUGCAGAUUGAAUUGACCCAUGAGUGAAUUAGGGUUUCGUCCAUUUGAAUGUCAAAGCAUUGGUCACUCCUUAUUUCUUCAGUAAGUUUGAUAGCUCCCUGGUCACUUUUCCUUUAAUAAGUGGCAAGAGAGUCAUUUCUAUGAUCAUUAAACAUGGAUGGUUCUUCUUCGGAGGAGUUUUUCAGAGAUGGAGUGGACGUCUUUGGGGGAGGUGAUUUUGGUGUAGAUUUGGGAGGAGUUGGAGUUAUUAUUUUCUGGGAAGAUGGAGGGGAUUAAUUAGUGGCGUUCUCCUUAGAUUCUUCAGAAUUCUUCUCAGUUGAAGAGUAUGACUUGGAUUUGGAGCCAAAGUUGUACAGAGGUGUCUUGAAGGAGAGUUUGUCAGCGGUGAAGAAUAUGGAAUCUCUAUUUUGGCAGCUCCAUCUAUAUUCACUUCUUUGGCGAACUUUCCCUCAUUUGAGGAUGAAUUCUAUGACUUCUCCUCAAACUUGUUACUUUUAAACUCCUUGAGGAGUUUAAUCACCCUCGCGAAGCCAAAAUUCAUCUUCACAUUCACUUGGUUGGUUGUUAUGAUGUUGGGAUCUUAGAGAUGAUUGAGAAUGUCCUUUUAGAGUUGUAGAAGCUAUUCGUGAGUUUAAGGAGGAGCAUUCAUCAAAUUUAUUGCUUCAACCAUCACUUUUGAUAACUCUUACAAUAAAACACAAUUAUUAUUUUUUGGAUCCUUGAUUUUCGAUUGAAGUUUCGUGUAACUAAAGGUUCAUCAAAUAUUUCUCGAAUCUUCUUCUCAAACACCUGAGAAUUCACCCUAACAUUUUCCUUGAAUUCUUUCAUUUCCUUAACCAUCUAUUUUCCCUUUAGAACCGUCAUAGCUUGGUCUUUCAUCCUUAAUUCAUCUAGUGAUUUGAUUCUCAAAUCGAUGUGAAGCAAUAUGCAUUGAUCCAAAACCUUUUCCCUUUUUUCUAUUUCAGAAACUCUAUCAGCAAGAGAGUUUAUGUUGGUAGGAAUCACUACUUGUUCUCAUAGAGUUUAUAGAUUAAAGACUGCAGCCAAUAUCUUAUCUACUUUUUCAGAAAUAUCAAAUAAUUUUUUCUUUGAGACUGAGGCUUUCUUCUUCAUUUUGGCAUUAACAUUUUUGCUAAAAGAUUUCUAUGCAGCACUUGAUUCUUCAUAAGAUAGAAACAUGUGAAAGUUCUUUGCUUCAUCACCCUUUCCUAUGUCAUCCUUUUCAAGGUCUAGACCAAAAUGUUGGUUCUUUAGUUAUCUACACUUCGGUUCCAUUUGGUUCUUCUUCAUUAACAUGAUUGUCAGUCUCAUCAUUAACAUUCUCCACCAGCAUGAGCUAGGAUUCCUUUAUUUGCUCUCUGUAUGGUUUCUUCCAUCAUUUCCAUCCAAUCUCGAGUCUUAUCAGGAUUCUGAGCAUUCUUUUAUUUGUUGAUCCAAGUUGCAAUAUAUAUUGUCAUUUUUUGGAAGCUUCCUUCCAUAGUGCUUGCUUAUGUUGGGAUGAUAAGUACUUUUCCUUUCUUUCUAUGACUACCUUCUUAAACUUCUCAAAUUUCUCAAGAGCUUCUAUUAUUGGGGCUUAUAAUUUCUACAUCUUUCGCCUGAAACAUCAUUAAAACCAGCAGCCAUCGGGUUGUCCCCCAGGUUCGUAGAACAUUACACAGUUCUGAUGCUUUUGCCUAAUCCGCUUGUAUGAAAUAUUGGCAGGUAUAGGAUUUCUAGGACUUCCUUUGGUCUUCUUGGUCUGAAAUCAAGUUUAUCAUCAAACUUGUUCUGAAAAAAGUAUGUAAAAAAGGAACAUACGAUGUUAUAUGUGUUGUCAUGUAUGUGUUAGUGGUUGAAAGAUAGAGGAAAUCUACUCGAGGGUAAAUAUGUGCAACCUUUUUCUCUUGGAGACUUUAGGAGUUAGUUUGAAAUCAGGAUUCUUUUUUAAUCUCAAUGAGGCUUCGUCUCCACUUUCAUUUGAAAUAGGUGCACCCUUUUCACCUGAGUAGAUAGAUAAAGUAUGAUCGGGUGAUCCACCGCCAGAUCGAAGGGCCUCUAUAUUAUAUCUCUUGAGAAACUUGGUGCCUAAUAUGGUUCGCUUUUUGACUUACUGGGAGGGUAUUUUCAACUUCCUAUUCGUAAAAACAUUAUGUGAAUCACAUUCACUUAAUUCAACAAUUUUCUACUUGGAUUUCUUUGUAUGAGUUGUUUUUUUCUUAAUAACAGUUUUAAGACAUUUGGACUUGGUCUCAGUAUUAGGCUUGUCCGUGGUCCGUUAGGUGGGGCUAGGCAGUGUAGAAUGAUAAGGUGAAAUAUCGUUCGCAGUGUAGAGAUGGAAUCUUGUGAAGAUAUUCAAUAGCGAAGUCGUAUUAGCUUCAUGUUGAAGGUAGUUAUGUUGUUUAUAUCGAAUUUUACGUAAAUUUGAUAUAUUUAUGUUUUUCUAGGAGCAUUUGUAUUCUUUGUACCUAAUAUCGAAGUCUCUUAGUAUAUUUUGAAUCUGUUGAUGGCAUUAUAAAUAGUGUUGAAGCAUAGGUUAUAAAAAAGGUUUGUACUCUCUAUCAUUUUUCACACUAUAACAUGUGUUGCCUUCCAAACUUAAUAGACCUAAACCAAAUUUAUUUACUCUCAUGUUCAUUUACUUUACGAAAUCAAUAAUUGAUUGAAUUCUUGACUCCUCAAGUGGUAACAUACCAAAAUUCAUCUAGUCUUUUGAAGAAAUACUUUUCCGAUUUCAUUUGUUGAUUCAAUCCAUUUGAAUUCAACUUUUCCAUGUUUCUUAAUCAAUUUUCUUUGAACAAAGCUUUUGAUUCUCUGAAUUUGCAGUUAAGUUUCAAUUAAUUUGAUCUGAUUUCUUUUCGAUUUAAUUUUUCCAAUCUUUCUGAUUCAAUCGAUGGCAAAUUUGAAUGUUAAUACAAUGAUGAAUUUAGCAAAUCAUCUCGAUUCAUCAACAAAAUCCCCAAAGUUACUUCCGGAGUAUUAUGACCAGUGGGCUAAUCGAGUGGAAGAUUACCUAAAUGACAUCGACAAAGAUCUAUGUUGUACAAUUAUAGAUGGUCCAUUUUUUGCAACUGCAAUUGAAGUUGUUGGUAUUGUUGCUCAUAAUGAGAACAAGACUGCAACACGAUUGAGGAAAGAAGUGAAUGACAAGAGAUGUAUUCGUGAACUGUGAGUAGCUUUACCUAUCGUUAUUUCCAACUAUAUCCAUGGGUAUAAAACAACACAGGAGAUUAGGAAUACGUUGAAGGAGAAGUUUCAAGGCAAUGAACGAACGAAUAAAAGAGAUUUACCUACAGUUGUUUACUACUAUGACUGAUUCAAUGAUUUGAUUUACAAAUGUUCAAGGUCUAAUGUUGUUCAUACUGUUCCAGAAUGCAACAUUACAUUCAUUCAUGAAAGGAGUUGAAGAAGAUUUGUCUAAUGAUCAAAACUCAAGAAAACUUCGAUUCAUACUCUUUAUCAAAUCUAUACAACAUCUUGAAAGCACAUGAAGCAGAGGUAAAAGAAAUUGCAAACGUAAAGGACAAAGCUAAUUUUGGAGGUCCAUUAGCUCUUAUUUACAAAACCAACAUCCAUGAAUGUAGUUCUAAUAAAGAUGAUGAUAAUGAAGAAGGAAUGAUUGUGAAUUCAAAAGAUGAGGUUGUUACUUAUUAUUCCAAAAAUAAUGUCAAAAACAUUUACAAGAAGCCUAUCAAGUGAAACUUCAAAAGUAAUACAUUUAAGAAGGUAGCUUUGACAUGAAACACUAUUGUCAAGAACAAGAAAGAUGGAAACGUAAGUAAGAAGAAGGUUUACAAGUAUUUUGUUGGUGACUCCAGUUAUGAAUGUAAUUAUUGCAAGUGUAAGAACCAUGUAGUCAGAGAUUGUAUGUUAAAGUCAAAGGAGGAGAAGAAAGAGAAGGUGAAGGAUGAAGCUUAAUAUGUCAUGGAAAUUGAAGAAUUGUGGGCAAAAACAAAGAACCAUUCACGUGUUGUGAAGGGUGUGGAUGAGGAUGAAGGAACAUAUCAAAGAAAUGCGUCAUCUGUCACACCCCCAAACCGAAACAGCGGAAACGUUCGGGGGCGGAGGACGUCAUGUAUAGUAUCAUAACAAUUGCAUAAUAGUAAAACAAGCAACAACAUCCAUUGUAUUUAAAAUAUAGUUAAUACAUGUGUGUUCUUAUAAUUGAUUGUAUGACACCAAAAAUGUAAAUAAAAAUAAAAGAAUAGUCUUUAAUAGGCUCCGUCUUCUCAAAAACUUGGGUGACUAUACCUGUCUACUAGUUCCCUGAGAAUACAAGUUCUUUUGAAAAGAGAGUAUCAACAUUUAAGUUGGUGAGUUCAUACACAUUUAGUAUUUGAAGUUUGUAUUUGUUCCAUGUAAAUGUUUGUAAGUUCCCCAUAAAAUCCCAUAUUUUCUCUAUUAAAUGAAAAGCCGUCUUAGGUCUUAAGACCAAAAUGUUUGUAUGAUUUUGUACUCUGAAAUAGUGUGAGUGUGUGUUUUCCAUAAAUGUAUGUUUUUUGUGAUAGAAAAUAGUGUACUGCACUUGUAUGAACUCUAUAGUGUAAUAGUUCUAGAAAGUAAUGAUAGGUAGUCCUACUACAUAAAAUAAAACCACUGAAGUAAUGUUUGUUUUGUAAGCCAAAAUGUUUUAGUUAAUAUUUAAUGUGAAUGAGAUUUUAACCAUGCUAAACUAACUAGUGGCCUACACAACUUUCUUCAGGCGUUGAAAUUUAUGACAUUUGUCACUUGUAGACCUGCCGGUCCAACUGUAGCUAACAGUCAAGGUGCGGGAUUGUCAAUCCUGUAUAGAUCUAUACACAUAUUCACGCUCUCCCUCUAAGAGACUUUGGUUAUAAAAAGGACUUAGCAAGAACCUUACUAAUUACCCUGAAGUAGUGUUUCACAUUCUAGUAUUAACAUAUAGUGUGUAUAUGUUUUCUUGUUCUUGUAAAUGAAUAAUGUACUUGUAAUGAAAAGUAAUUUGUACUUAUGUAUUGAUUCAUGUAAUGUAUUGUUGAACUAGAUAAAAGUGUGAAUGGAUCUCAAAACUAUACCUAUUAUAGUUUACAAAUGUUAUGUUUGUAUUAAAAUGAUUGAAAAUGUUAUUGAAAUAAUUUUAACACUCAUAUAUAUACUUGGCAUGUACUAAGAGUCGGACUGAUGAUCCUACCCUAAGCCCACUACCAAAAAAUGAAUAGGAGUCAAGGUACGAGCAAUAGUCCUAAGUCUAUUAAAUCCUGAUUAUACAUAAUGAUAUAUAUGAAUAUGAUUUGAUAAAAGUAACAAUUUAAAAGUUUGAAAACAGUUUAAAAUAGUUUAAUAAGUUUAUAAAAAGCAUAAAUAUCUUAAAAAUGGAUUGUUAUCGCAUGUAAGUGUUAACACAACUAUUUUGUGUUUUGCUUGUAUUCUUCCCCUAAAAGCAUUUAAAAAUGGUUAAACAUAGGGGUAUGAACUCACCUUAUGUGAGUGUUCGAGUGAAGAUACGGUGUAAUAGAGUAAAUUCCACAAGUUAAAUCUCGUAACAAAACCGAGACCUAAUAGCAUUUCAAGCAAUAUAUAUGUAUAUAAUUAGUGAAAAUAGUGGUAAAUAUGAUAUGGAAUAGCCUAGAAAGAAAUAAUCACUUACAAUUAGGGGUAUUAGAAUGGAACCGAAAGUGUAAUAGGUGAUUUCGGUCACCUUUGGGUUUUCGGUCACUUGAUGAUUCAAGUGGUGUUCUUGGUUUUUUUGGUGAAACCAAGAGGAUCAAGGUGUUUUCGGUUGGGUUUAAGGAGAUGGAAUGAUGAUUGCUUGAUGGUAUGAAGAACUCUUGAAGAACUCAGUAUGAUCCUAUGAAGAUUCAAGUGGUUUUCGGAUGAUAGUUGAGAGAGAAUGGUGGGUUUUCGGUUGAGUUCUUGAGAGGGGAAAAAGUGUUUUUGGCUAGAAGGUAUGAUAAUGAGGUAUUGAUUUCGGUACCCAUGUAUAUAUGGCCGAAAACAUGAUGGGAAACCUUCUUUGGGAAUAACAAAACACUUAGAAUCUCAUGCCAAUGGAUAGGAUUUAGGGGUUCUCGGUCAGGAACUCUAUCCGAGAAGGGUUUUCGGCCGAGAACAGUUUGCUGUCUGAAGGGUUUAUGGCUGAGAACUCGAUUUCACUUAUGCGAGGGUUUUCAGUCCUCGCAUUUGGACCAUUUAUUUGUAACAAUUAUAAAUAAAAACGGGUUUAGAUAUAUCAAAACUUUCGAUAAGAUUCUAAUGAAUAAAUAAAUAAACAAGUUGACUUUUAUUUAACAAGUUUUGACUUUUGCUGACUUUUACAGACUCGAAAAUAACAGGUUCUCACAUCAUUCCUCCUUUAAAGGGAAUUUUCUCCCGAAAUUAAGUUUAUAAAGAUACACAUGGUCUAGGGAAAAAGAUGUGAGUACUUUUGUUUCAUUUGAUCUUCCCACUCAGAAGUGAAUUCAGGUCCCCGCUUGGCAUUCUAGCGAACCUUCACUAUGGGUAUAUGACUUUGGUUGGUUUGUUUGACUUCCCUAUCCAUGAUUUCUACUGGUUCUUCCACGAAGUUGAGGCUCUCAUUGAUCUUGAUUUCAUUGAGUGGGAUCACAAGAGUCUCAUCAGAUAGACACUUCUUUAGGUUAUACACGUGGAAGGUAGGGUGUACGUUGCUAAGUUCUUGGGGUAGUUUGAGUUUGUAAGCUACUGGGUCGAUUCUAGAGUUAAUCUCGAAAGGCCCAAUCAGUUUUACAUGCUUUCCAAAGCAUAUCAUGCCCUUCCAGGGUGAGACCUUCAAUAGUACACGAUCACCAACCUGGAAUUCCAAGGGUUUUCAUCUUUUGUCUACGUAGCUCUUUUGCCUAUCUCUAGAGGCUUUCAGUCAUUCACGGAUUUGAAUAAUCUUUUCAGUAGUCUUUAUGAUGAUCUUCAGGCCAGUGAGAGUGCUCUCAGGAACUUGUCCUUUAGCUAGUUACAUACCACCAACUUCAGCCCAAAACAGAGGGGAUCUGCACUUCCGGCCACAGAGGGCUACGGAUGGAGAAACUUUGAUACUGGUAUAGUAGCUGUUUUUUGUAUGAAAAUCGACCAAUGGAAAAUGGAUAUCCCACGCUUUACCAAAUUCGAUCACACAAGCUCUCAGUAUGUCUUCUAAUGUUUGAAUCGUUCUCUCACUUUUCCCAUCAGUUUGUGGGUGGUAGGCUGUACUCAUGUCCAACCUAGUUCCAAGGGAUUUUUGUAGUGAGUGCCAGAAUCUUGAGGUGAAUUUACUUUCUCAAUCAUAGAUAAUAGAUAUGGGCACACUAUGCAGUUGUACGAUCUCUCUAAUGUAUGUUGUGGUUAGUUUCUCCAUCUUGUCUGUUUCAUUAAUUGGCAGGAAGUCAGCAGACUUGGUUAACCUGUCAACGAUCACCCAAAUGGUAUUGAGACCACCCGUUGUCUUGGGUAACUUGGUUAUGAAGUCCAUUGUAAUCCGCUCCCACUUCCACUCAGGUAUUUUUGGUUGCUGUAGCAAACCUGAGGGCUUUUGGUAUUCUACCUUAACCUUGGCACAAGUCAGACACUUCCCACAAAGGUAGCAAUCUCUACUUUCAUGUUUGGCCACCAAUAUAACUUCUUGAGGUCUAGAUACAUCUUGUCCGAACCUAGAUGAAUGGAGUAUCGAGUAUUGUGGGCAUCGUUCAUGAAAACGUCUCUAAACCCACCGAACUUCGGUGUCCAGAUCCGAUUCAUGAGAUAACGGACUCCGUCAACCAUGACUUCUAAGUUCUUAUCCAUCCCUCUUAAGGCUUCACCUGCCACAUUCUAUGAUUUCAAGGCUUCCUGCUGAGCCUCUUUGAUUUGUGUAGACAGAUGUGAAUUGAUAGUCAUAAUCAAUGCUUUGACUCUACGACCUGAGUACUCCUUUCGACUAAGGGCGCCAGCUACUACAUUGGUUUUAUCAGGAUAAUAACGAAUUUCACAUUCGUAGUCAUUUAUUAGCUCGACCCACCAUCGUUGUCUCAUGUUGAGCUCCUUCUGGCUGAGUAUAAAUUGAAGACUUUUGUGGUCUGUAAAGAUAGUGCAUUUCGGACCAUACAGGUAGUGUCACUAGAUCUUCAGAGCAAAUACUACUGCUCCUAGAUUAAGAUCAUGAGUAUGUUGGAUAAGGUGUCUAAGUCCAUAACUUAUUUGGUAUAUACUUGACCCGACCCGACAUGGUCCAUUUGGGUUGCACUUCACCCGAACUAUUUAUGGAUAAUUUUAUGAGAGUUAUACACAUAUUUUUAUUAAUAUAUUAUAAGUUAUAAUAUAUUAAUAUGAAGUUAUGUUAUUUAAUUAGUCUUAGUCUUAAAUUAAUUAUGAAUUAAUUUAGAGAUUAAAAGGAAGACUAAUUAGAUUGUGGGCUAUUGGUUUUAUAUAGUGUGGGCUAACACUCAUUUGUUNAUAUUAAUAUGAAGUUACGUUAUUUAAUUAGUUUUAGUCUUAAAUUAAUUAUGGAUUAAUUUAGAGAUUAAAAGGAAUACUAAUUAAAUUAUGGGCUAUUUGUUUUAUAUAGUGUGGGCUAAUACUCAUUUGUUAAUGGGCUAGGCUUAUGUGGAAGUCCAUGGAUGAUCCAUGGAGCUUUUAACCCAUGGAUCCUUGGAAUAGGAAAAGACAUGGGUUAUUAGGGUUUCACCCUAACCAUGCAUACUAUAUAAGCAUGCUUAUGGAGCAUGAAAGAGAGCCUAAGAUAGCCUAAGAGAAAGCUAGUGUUCUAGUGUGUGUGUGCAUGUGUGUGGCCGAAAAUACAAGAGUGUGUAUACUCUCUCAAAGUUUUCCAAGAGUUUGUGGUGUUUGUGAUUCCAUUUGAGGCAUUCACACUAUUGGUGCUUGGCCCUCAAACUCCUAAGAACCCAACACAACAAAGGUAUGUAAUCUCUUCUAACUCUUUUAUGUUGAAAUGUUCCCCAUGCCAUGUUAGAUAGGUUAUAAACCUUGGAAAAUUAUUAUUUUGCAUGUAUUUAGACAAACAUAGAUCCAAGGUUUAUUAGGGUUGCAUGCACACUUAGGAAGUGUUAGAUUGCUCAAAACCCAACAGUGGUAUCAGAGCCUAGGCUUGCUUGUUUGAUACUUGAUGCAAAAUAGUGAAAAAAGUCGAAAUCGUUGCUGUCUGCAUGCUAGACUCGCCGAGUCCAUUGGGGGGACUCGCCGAGUCCAAGGCAAACUUCAACCUACUCGACGAGUCCGUUCGUGCACUCGGCGAGUAGGAUCGAAAGAAUGCAGAAUCUCGACUUUUGCUGCUGGAAAUGGACUGGAAACAUUACCCUAAAUUGUUUUGGUGUUGUAAAACUUAUUUUAGUUGGUGUAAUGGUUGUUCUAAUCCAUUUACAAUAGCAUAUAUCAAAAAUCCAUGAUUUUAUGUGUUCAUAUAAUUCUUGAAUUUUUGAUGAUCAUGUUCAUGUUCUUAUGAAUUUAGAAAAUGAUAGGAAUUAUUUGCUGAAUUGUUUAGAAUUAAUUCUUAAUCAUUUAUGUGUUUUAAUGGAGUCCAUAAUUUGUCCUCAAGUUAUGGAUUACCAAAGGUCACUUUCAUUUAACACACACUUAAAACACAUAAGUUACAUGAAAAUGAAGAGUCUUCAUUUUUAUGAACCUUUAAUUCAUAAGUUAUGAAAUGAAGAGUUUUGCAAAGUUACAAAACUUGUCCUCAAGUUUUGGAAUUUGUAAAGUUUCACACACUUUAAUAAACUUUAAUUCCAAACCUUAGAGUUUUAAUAGUUAAAAUUCAACCCUUAUACUAUUUAUAACAUUAAUGGUUAAUUAUUAUAUAUAUGUAUAAGAAUAAGUCGUUUUACCGUUAGUAGGCCUCAUUCACGAAGCCGGUCUAUAAGGUGGGUAUAAGGUUGUUGCCUAUAAAAUGGCGACUUAAUGGGUGUAUACUCUCACCCACCGCUUGCUUGAUCGGUGGAGGGUCGUUAGCCGAACGGGUAGAACAACGACUUUAAAUCCUCAUUAAAAGUAUAAUGAAUAUUAUAAAAUAACUAAACAUUUUUAAUUCCUAAUCUUAGUUACUUUAGGAAAAUGUGAACAUGGUGCUAGUCCAUGGAAUUCACACUUUGUACCUUACCAAGUCGUUGGUGGAGCGCGUGUGGUUAACCGGCACACUAACUUGGACUAGUAAGGAUCCCGAAGGGUGACUUAAUGUUUGUCAUAGAUCAAUGGAGCGUGUGUGGUUAACCGGCACAUUGAUUAGGUGAUAAUAUUAAGGGUACCAAGUGAAUUAGCAUGGUUAUUCACACCUUGUUUUGUGAUCCUCGGCAUCCCAGUCACAAAACUUGAAGGGCACAAUCGAGAUUGAAACAUGCCAUUGAAAAGUUCAAUGAAUCUCAUAAGAAUCUAGGCAUUUCAAAUCCAAUUAAAACCUAAUAACUCAUUUUGUUUUCAUGGUGGAAAUUGGUGAAUCGUCAUUCACCUACCUUUCAAAUAUAUUAUUACUUAGAUUACGGCAUCCCUCUUCUAAGUAUAAUAUAUUGUGAUUGGAUCCUAGCCUUAAUAUUACAUUUGGGUGUCUUAUUAAGGAUUCUAUAUAUCUAAUCUAAACUUGCUUUCUUCUUUCAGAUGUCUUCCAACACUAAUGCUUCGGGCUCUAACCCAACUGGUUAUUUCUCUCUCAUGAAUCUGUGUGGGAGAGUUAUCUUUGAUGGUUCCAACUUCAUGGAUUGGAUUAGGAACAUCAGGAUGGUUACUCGUUAUGAGGACAAGGAAUAUGUCCUCGAUAAGGAGUUAAAAGAGCUUGAUGAUUCUACUGCUACUCCUGAGGAGAUCACUGAAUUCAGGACACAUGAGCGAGAUGCUACUAAGGUGGCAUGCAUCAUGAUGGCCACAAUGACAGCCGAGCUCCAAAAGUCCUAUGAGGACUUCUACCCUUUUGAGAUGCACCAAGACCUGAUGGAAAGGUAUCAUCAGAGUGCUCGUCAGGAGCGGUAUGAACUUCCCUGAGGAGUUGGCAAAGGUAUGUGGACCGUUUGCUGAAGUCGAAUGUGAACUUCCCUGAGGAGUUGGCAAUUGACAUCAUUUUGUACUCCUUACCUUCUUGUUAUGACCACUUUUGUAUGACAUAUCAUAUGAACAAGGAGGAAGUUACCCUCAGCAAACUUUAAGGACUCUUGAAGACCGCUGAAACCGGUCUUAAGGGCAAGGCAGUUGUUACCUCUACUACUCCUACUCCAACAUCUACCCCAGUUUUGGCUAUCGGGCAAGGCAAAGGGAAAAAGAGGAAGCACCCUUCGAAGGGUACCAAGGGAAAGUCUCUUGAAGGCUCCUCAUCCAAGACUAAGAACGGUUCUGUCACUCCUUCUGCCAUUCCAAAGGAUGCUGAAUGCUUUUAUUGCCAUGAAAAGGCACACUGGAAGCGAAACUGCCCUAAGUACUUGCAGGAUCUAAAGGAUGGGAAAGUGAAACCCACCUAUGCAGGUAUUUACACUAUAUUGUCUAAUUACUCAACAUAUUCUAACUCUUGGGUGCUUGAUACAGGAUGUGGUAUUCACAUAUGUUCUGAUUUGCAGGGCCUAAGAAGAAGUGAGGAUGUGGAGCACGGGAAGAUAAACUUAAUCAUGGGGAAUAGGAAGGCUUCACCUGUUUCCAAGAUUGGAGUUUAUACUUUGUUGCUUAAUAAUGGGUUAAAAUUAGAUUUGAAUAAAUGUGUAUACUCGUCUGAAAUGGCGAGGAAUAUUAUUUCUUUUCAUGCUUUGUACAAACAAGGUUUUACCUUUUCGUUUGAUAAUGAAUGUGGUGGUAUUAAUGCUUUCUUUAAUAAUGUGUUUUAUUUUAAAGCAUUACCUUGUGAUGGCGUGUAUGAAACUGUGUCGAUUGUAGACAACUUAGGAAAUAAUGUGUUGUAUAUUGAUUCUUCUACUAGCCUAGAUAAAGCAUCAUUGUGGCAUUGUCGUCUUGGACAUGUAAACAAGAAACGCAUAGACCAACUCCAAAAGAGUGGAGUCUUGGAAUCAUUUGACCUCAAAUCAGAUGAUAGUUGUGAAUCUUGUCUACUUGGAAAAAUGACAAAAUCACCCUUCACUGGAACUUGUGAGAGGGGUGAAGGUUUGUUGGACCUAAUACAUACUGAUGUAUGUGGGCCAUUCAAAACCGCCACAAGGGACGCUAAUCGGUAUUAUGUGACUUUUAUUGAUGAUUAUAGUAGAUAUGGGUAUGUCUACUUGAUCAAACACAAGUCCGAAACCUUUGAAAGGUUUAAGGAAUUCAAACAGGAAGUAGAAAAUCAAUUGGGCAGGAACAUUAAGAUGCUUCGAUCCGAUCGAGGUGGUGAGUAUCUUAGUACCGAGUUCCUUGACUAUCUUAAGGAGUGUGGGAUUGUCUCACAAUUGACUCCUCCCAGGACACCACAGCUGAAUGGUGUAGCUGAGAGGCGUAAUCGUACCUUGUUGGACAUGGUUCGCUCUAUGAUGAGUCGAGUUUCGUUACCAAUCUCUUUUUGGGGGUAUGCCUUAGAGACUGCCGCCCAUAUCCUUAAUCUAGUCCCUACAAAGAAGGUUACCAAAACACCUCAUGAGAUGUGGACUGGGAAGGUUCCCAAUUUGGACCACAUCAAAAUUUGGGGUUGCGAAGCCUUCGUGAGGCGUGAAACUCAUGAUAAGCUUGAACCCCGAAGUGAAAGGUGUAUUUUCAUCGGCUACCCACAGAAAUCCUUCGGUUACCUUUUCUACAGACCCAGUGAGAAUGUGGUCUUUGUAGCACGAAGAGGGAUCUUUCGCGAGAAAGAAUUUAUAAGCCAAGGAGACAGUGGGAGGCAGAUUGAUCUUGAAGAAAUUCAAGAAUCAAUUGGUGAAGGAACCUCAGACACUAGCAAUCAACCUGAGGUAGAAACUCCUGUUGAUCCAGCUGACGAGUCUGUACCUCCGAGACGUUCCACACGGGUUAGGAACACACCUUCGUUUUAUUAUGGUUUUCAUAUUACUACGGAAGGUGAUACGUUUAUUAGUGAUAGUACACUAGUAAAUUUGGAUGAACCUAGCAGUGUUAAGGAAGCCAUGGCAGGCCCGGAGUCUGCUAAAUGGAAGGAGGCUAUGGACAGCGAGAUACAGUCCAUGUAUGACAAUCAAGUUUGGAACUUGGUUGACAAUGUACCAGGCCGUAAAACAGUCGGGUGCAAAUGGAUCUUCAAGAAGAAGACCGACAUGGAAGGAAAGGUGCAUACUUAUAAGGCUCGACUGGUUGCGAAGGGUUUUACUCAGACUCAGGGUAUUGAUUAUGAUGAAACCUUCUCGCCGGUAGCAAAGAUUAAGUCUAUUAGGGUUAUGCUAGCCAUUGCAGCAUUUCAUGAUUAUGAAAUAUGGCAAAUGGAUGUCAAAACCGCUUUCCUUAAUGGAAAGUUGGCUGAGGAUGUGUACAUGAAUCAGCCAGAGGGUUUUGUCAGUGCAGAGUACCCUAAUAGAGUAUGCAAGCUUGAGAAAUCCAUUUAUGGAUUAAAACAAGCAUCUCGUAGCUGGAAUCUUUGUUUUGAUGAGAAGGUCAAAGAGUUUGGCUUCUCGAGAAGUGAAGAUGAUUCUUGCGUGUAUGUCAGAGCUAGUGGGAGUAUAGUUAGCUUCUUGGUACUGUAUGUGGAUGACAUACUACUUAUAGGAAAUGACAUCCCAACCUUGCAGGAGGUUAAGUCCUGGCUUGGGAAGUGCUUUGCUAUGAAGGACCUAGGGGAAGCUGCCUAUAUCCUAGGGAUAAGGAUAUUAAGAGAAAGGAGUAAAAGACUAAUUGGACUUAGUUAGAGUACCUACUUGGAUAAGGUGUUGAAAAGGUUCAACAUGUAGAAUUCCAAGAAAGGAGAUUUACCGAUCCAAAGCAAUUCCAAACUGAGUAUGACUCAGAGUCUGAAUACAGAGGUAGAGAUAGCUGAUAUGAGCCAAUUACCUAUGCUUCCGNNNNNNNNNNNNNNNNNNNNNNNNNNNNNNNNNNNNNNNNNNNNNNNNNNNNNNNNNNNNNNNNNNNNNNNNNNNNNNNNNNNNNNNNNNNNNNNNNNNNNNNNNNNNNNNNNNNNNNNNNNNNNNNNNNNNNNNNNNNNNNNNNNNNNNNNNNNNNNNNNNNNNNNNNNNNNNNNNNNNNNNNNNNNNNNNNNNNNNNNNNNNNNNNNNNNNNNNNNNNNNNNNNNNNNNNNNNNNNNNNNNNNNNNNNNNNNNNNNNNNNNNNNNNNNNNNNNNNNNNNNNNNNNNNNNNNNNNNNNNNNNNNNNNNNNNNNNNNNNNNNNNNNNNNNNNNNNNNNNNNNNNNNNNNNNNNNNNNNNNNNNNNNNNNNNNNNNNNNNNNNNNNNNNNNNNNNNNNNNNNNNNNNNNNNNNNNNNNNNNNNNNNNNNNNNNNNNNNNNNNNNNNNNNNNNNNNNNNNNNNNNNNNNNNNNNNNNNNNNNNNNNNNNNNNNNNNNNNNNNNNNNNNNNNNNNNNNNNNNNNNNNNNNNNNNNNNNNNNNNNNNNNNNNNNNNNNNNNNNNNNNNNNNNNNNNNNNNNNNNNNNNNNNNNNNNNNNNNNNNNNNNNNNNNNNNNNNNNNNNNNNNNNNNNNNNNNNNNNNNNNNNNNNUCAUUGUCAAUUAUUUACUAUUGUUUCAGUUUUGCAUGUUUUGACUUCCAGAAUAAUUAAUUUAUUCAAACCUCCACAAUCGGUCAUAUGUCGGAAGUAGGUAUGAAUCAAGAUUGUCAUGAAUUGGGAUUGUAGAUGGCUAAAGAAGUUUACACAUGGCAAUGGUUGCUGCAACGUUCAUGAGUACUCAUAAGUUAUGAGUAUUGGUAUAAACCCACGCUCACUUGUAUCACUUCAUGGAAUUUAUCUCGAGUGAUCGUGAGACGAUAAUAUCAUAUAAGUCUUCAAACCUAGAAAUAUGAGUUGUUACCUAUGAGUUGGUUGUGCAUUGAUUGCACGUAAAUGCAUCAGUAACUUGAUGUUAUAAAACGUGCCUUUGUGUACAAUUCAACAAGUAGUAGAACAAGCAUAUGAGUCGAAGUUUAUCUGUUCCUUCUAGAAAUAGAAGCGAUAUCUGGGCCCCUCGAUGAUUUUGUGUUGACCCAUGCACCGGGCCCGGUCAGAACUAAACUGAUGUAAUCAAUAAAGUUCUUUGUCCAACAAAUCAGAGAUCGAGAAACAACUGGCAGACAAUAAGCAAGACAUAGUUCCAUGUGUUUGUCCGGCUGAUAUCAUGAGAACAGAGGAUUAUAUGAUCACUUGUCUUAAAAUGGCGCUUCAUAGUUCAACAGAGUUUUCGAGAGCUACGAUUGCUGGUUGGUUCCUGAAGUUAUAUAGGCAAAUACAGUUAUUAGACUUAUCCAAGUGGGAGUCUGUUGGAUAAGGUGUCUAAGUCCAUAACUUAUUUGGUAUAUACUUGACCCGACCCGGCAUGGUCCAUUUGGGUUGCACUUCACCCGAACUAUUUAUGGAUAAUUUUAUGAGAGUUAUACACAUAUGUUUAUUAAUAUAUUAUAAGUUAUAAUAUAUUAAUAUGAAGUUAUGUUAUUUAAUUAGUCUUAGUCUUAAAUUAAUUAUGAAUUAAUUUAGAGAUUAAAAGGAAGACUAAUUAGAUUGUGGGCUAUUGGUUUUAUAUAGUGUGGGCUAACACUCAUUUGUUAAUGGGCUAGGC